AUUAUACAAUAUCCUAGCUUAGCAACCAAAUUCACCUAGCCAACAUCUUAGCUAAUCAUGUCUGACAUUUCCCUCUACCAACCUCAUUUCUUAACAUAAAUAAAUGUGUAUGCUUUACCUUGGGAGUAUCGAUCACAAGACACAUGGACUCUUACCCCAACAGGUAUAUGAGUAAACAUGUAGUCUUGUUCUAGUUUCUUUUACUCUAUAUCUCCCUUCUCUGAAUCCUUUUUAUCUCAAUUCCAAUGAACAAAGAUGUUGAUUCAGUCCAUCUUAUUCACCUUCUUUUCGAUUUUUUUAUUAUUUUUAUUUUUUUUUCUUCUUUUUUUUCUUUUUCUAUUCUUGACAAAGUGUAGGCGAAUAGUGGGGUCAUCAGUAAUGUACCUACCCCUCGCUUCCAACAAUGUGUGAUCAUUCUAUUAGAGUAGAAUAAUGGGGUCAUCGGUAAUGUACCUACCCCUCUAAACCGCAAGAAAUCAUCUCAAUCUUUUAUUUUAUUUUAUUAAGAUGCCAAAAGGAGGAGAGAAGGAAACCAAAAUCACUCAGACUUUUACCUUUCAGACCUGAAGGAGGAAUCCGAUCCAGUGUAUACCAAGCCCCAAGACAAGCAGUUAAGUAAAGUAGGUUGGAGGUCAGCUUCGGUUCCUUCAAACAAUCUCAGCAAGUGUGAACAUAGUUGACAGGUUGAUCCACUUUAGUAUCUUUAGUACUAUCUGCAAUCAGUAAGUCUAGAAUGGUGCUAAAGAGUGGUUAGAUAACAAGCAUGAAUCUAAUAAGUUCAUUAUCCCCUUCUUGACUCAAUAAAACAGUUUUGAAAACAUUUUAUAAAACUCAAUAGAUAAGCAAAUAUCAGUAAACAUCCCCCCAGAUUUAAAUUACACUGUCCCCAGUGUAUAUCUAGUCAGAGUUAUGGUUAGAACAUAAAUAAUAAGUAGACAAUUUAACAAGUAAGAACGAUUACGUGCUCGACAUCAGUGUCGAUCGACACAAUGAAUAGACAAUCGAUCGAUGUUGAUGAAGUGCUGUCGAUUGAUAGUGACAUGGUCUCAUCGGUCGAUGGCUAGAGCAAUCAUUCGACACAAUGAAGAGAUAAUCGAUUGUUAGAUAUGAAGCGCUGUCGAUCGAUAUCGAGCUGGUGUCAUCGGUCGAUGUGCUGAGCAAUCGUCUACUAGGAUCUGUUUUUUUUUUUUAACUCACUAAAACACAAUAUUAGUAGAACCUCCCCAGACCUAAACAACACUAUCACUAGCGCUAUCCAGUCUAAGAUUGGUUGGAAAAUAAAUCAUAAGGACAAUAUUUAACAAGGAAAAACGGUAUACCUGCUUGGAUGUGAGUGUCGAGCAACACAGUUAAGUGGCGAUCGAUACUUUUGAUGCUCUGUCGAUCGAUGCUACGUAGCCAUCAUCGAUUCUCCUGCAAUCUCGUCUUCCUCGGAUCUUGUCCUUUUACUUAACAUAAACAAAACAUUUAAUACAAUUAAUAAAUAAAUAAUAAAACCAAUAAUCAAUAAAAAUAAUAAUAAUAAUAUUUUUUUUCGAUGAACAGUGCUUUGCUACAGUGUCGCUCGAUGUUGCUGCUACAGUAUCUCUGCUACAGUACUGUCGUUACUGUUCAUCUUUUUUUUUUUUUUUACCUGAAAUCUUUAGAAAACAAAGAAUCAGUAAUAAAUGAAAAAUAAACCAUAUUUAAAAUUACUUAACAAUGGGUUGCCUCCCACUCAGCGCUUAUUUUUAGUCAUUAGCUUGACUUCUGGAGAUCUGAUUAAGUCCGCAUAAGAAUGAGAACUUGCUCCAAAUCAAGUCUUAAUGUCUACUCUUUGAAGCUUUAUCAUUCUUGUGUGAAAGCCUCCUCCAUAUACCCUUCUCCUUUGUCUAUCAUUUCAGCAAUAAGGAGUGCUUUGAGCUUUGCAAAAGGCUGUGAGAAGCAUCUGCUGCGCACUCUGGGUUUUCUGACACCAUCUGAGAAGUGGGGAAUCAAUAAUAAGUGAGGAUCUCCCUUGAUCAGCGUGUGCGUGCUCGGUCGCUACGUAGCGACCGAGAAGCGUGUGUGUGCUCGGUUGCUACGUAGCGACCGAGCAACCUGUGCGUGCCCAGUCGCUACGUAGCAACCGAGCUAGGUAAUCGUUUUGUUGUGUUUCCUUUUUCCGCGAUUAACCUAGGGUUUUUCAGCGGUUUUUGGGAGAACAAGUUUUAUCCUUCCGAAAUAUCAACAGAAAACAUGUUUUGGUAAAACCCUUACGCAUCGAAAUUUCUUUUGUUCGGUAAUGAGUCAAACUUAUGGGGUUUGAUAAGAUUUAUCGUUUCCCUUUACAUUUAGAAAGAGAAAUCGCGAGCUUGUUUUAGUGCUCUUCCUGUGGCGGAAGGUCGCAGCAAGGCUUUCAAUUUUGUUGAACAUAGGAGCAGUCAGUGCUGUGAGUUUGUCUUUCAUAUAUCCAGACAUAGUUUCGAUCAAGCGUUUUGUGGCCAUGAGUAAGAGUAAUCCGUAACCCCCCCUCCUUCUAGCGCCAAACUGUGGGAACCAAAAUUCGCACUGUCGAUUUCCGUUUAAAUAAGGAAACUAGGGAAACCCUUAUUUCCCAGAGGUCCCGGAUCUCUGCGAGAGCCAACGACAAGUGACCAAAUAUAUGCGGAAAUUAUGAAAAGAUAACAAACGAGUUUAGAGAAAACAGCUGAUCUUAUUUCGAAUCUGCGUAAGAUCGUUGCGAUCAUUACAAGAGAUCAUAAAAGCUUUGGCCGCAAAGGCUGUCAGUGAGUUACCUAGUUCUAGCGGCCUAAAAGCUCAAACCUAGUUAAGUCGCAGCUCGAAAACAAAAGACGUAAAAGAUACAAAAAAAAUUUUUGAUUGAUUUUGGAUUGAACCUUGUUAAAGGCUGCCUACGUACCCCUUUUGAGGAUCAAGCCGAACGUAGUUCAAUUGAUAGAGCUGGACAAGAGAUCGAACUGCCUGGGCGAGUUCGUCUAGUAAUUGAGUGCCAGUCAUAGAAACCGAACUUGUCCAGAAUAAAGCCUAAAGUUUCUAAGUGCAGAGAAUUCCAAAUCUAAAAAGUUCUCCCCCAUGCCUCUCGCCUAGGACUCCUUAUAUACUAGCUCCAAGGUCGGUUUACACUUUUACUCUUCUGCCCUUAAGCCGUCAUAGCAUAAAAUGGAGAUAUUCCAUUUUUUCCGAUCUUCGUAUUUAUCCUCAAAAUUUCGUAUUUAUCCGCGGAAACUUUGACAUUUAUCCUUCCUUGCGCGCCAAGCGUAAACCGUCAUAUGGUUUAUGGGCUUUUGGUUAAGAAAUCAUAAGUUGGACCUCGAGUCGUGUCUUAGGUCCCUUUGGGCCGUCUUCCGACUCGAAACGUUUAUUACGACUUCUUUCGAUAAAGAACGAACUUUCCGCGGUUUUUACCGCAAAGUUUGAUUGAUGUCUUAGAAUGGUCGGAAGACAUGAACUGAGUUCGCUACGGUCUUCGGGAGAUAGCAUCAUAGGAUAGACGAGAAUGCAUGAAUUGGUGUAGUAUCGAUGUUUCGGAAGAGUUUGGUCGCUACGUAACGACCGAACAGCAUGCACGCUCGGUCGCUACGUAGCGACCGAGCGGGACGGACGCUCGGUCGCUACGUAGCGACCGAGCUGUGUGCAUGCUUGGUCGCCGCGUAUCGAUCGAGCUUGGCUUGUCCGUGAUCCGAUUGCCGUACUCGAGCUUGUCCGCGGCCGAAUUGGAUACAUGUUUGUUUCCUUCGUAUAAUCGGUAUUGAGAUUUGAUUGAGGUUUGAACAAGAUUUUACCGCAAGGCUCUUUGUAAAGAUAUCUUUACGAAGAUUACUUUUUCGUAAAAACGUUCAUGCUGACUUUUACGGACUUUCAGGCAUUGAUUCCGUCGUGACCGAUUUUGACCCCAACAUCGAUCGACACCAAGAGAUGCCUCGACAGAUGAAGAUUAAUAUCGAUCGAUGUACACAAGUACCAUCGAUCGAUGUCGAGACAUUGGACACACAAAAUUUUGGAUCCAGCGCACUUAAAACCCAAGUCCAAGCCAAAUUACAAAAAUGCCCUAACGAGUUUUUAACCUAGUAGAUUAUACACUGCCUAAGUGUUUUGUCGGCAUGAGAGAAAGCUUUUUGUUACAGUUUCACUUUGAGAGAGAAGAGAGAGUUUUGGAGAGAAGAUCACUUGUGAUUGGAACUCCUUGUUUUCAUUUCUUUUCAUCUAUACUAUGAAUUUCCAUUUCUUCAUUGUUAUGAAUUGCUUUGCUAUGUCUGAGUAGUUCAUUUAUUAGAUCCAGGGUUCAGAUAGGUUUGUGGGAUUAGCCCCAAACUAUAGAUCUGCCUUGUUGUGAUAUUCAUGAUAGAUUUGUAUUCAUUGCUUGUUUUAGCCUUGCUAACUAGAACUUGAUCAUAGGAUUGCAUAGUCAAGCACCCUUGUUAUCCCAUAUUGACAUCUAUCUAUCAUAUUAGGACUGCUAGAGAGGGCUAACCGCCAAUUUAGUAUCUUAAUAGGACAUAUCAUACUCGCGCAUAGGACUGGCUAGAACUCGUCGAUCGAUGUCCUCAACUGACUAUCGGUCGACGUAGGGAAAGGUGUAUCGGUCGACGUCCCAAUAUGACCAUCGAUCGACACUCUUUUAUUGUCAACAUACUAACCGUUGAGACACGAGAUCUAGCUUGUUAACCAGUGAAACAUGCGACAGCUGAUCACUGAGUUAAGCGGUUGAGUCCUAACACAUCAUGCAUGCAACAAAUAGGCAUCUAUAGAUAUUAUAAUCACCAACACCUGAAUAGUGGCCCUGCAUCUAAUAUCAUUUCCAACCAAGUUACAUUUACUAUUUACUUCGCUUGUUACUAUUGCUAUUCCAUUUAAACAUUUACAACUCUUAGAAUUAAUAAACACUAGAUUUAAUUGUUCCCUAGCUCCUUGUGGAUUCGAUCUCUAAGUACUACAUCUGAACCUCUUUUGAUGAGAGUAACACUCCUUAGGGUAAUUUGAGUGGUAUCAGUUCCAUUCAGGUACAUGAGAACCCUCUUCACCAUGCGCCAGUGAUGCUCUUUUGGAGCUUGCAUAUGUUGGCUCACGUGAUUCACAGCAAAACAAAUGUAUGGCCUAGUGAUGGUCAAGUAUAUCAGCUUCCCCACAAGCUUUCUAUAAAGCUUUGGAUCAUGGAACAACUUGCUGUCUUCAAUCUCCCCCUCACGUGGAACCUUGUACCCAUCCUCCAUGGGAUUUUGGCUGUUCUUCCUCCAUACGCACCAGCAUCCUUCAAGAGAUCCAAUGCAUACUUCCUUUGAGAGAUAAACAACCCUUCCUUGGAUCUGCAUAGCUCAAUCCCAAGAAAGUACUUCAUCUCUCCCAAAUCCUUUAUAUCAAAUACUGAUUUCAUAAACUCUUUGGUGGCUCGGAUUCCUUCCUUAUCACUGCCUGUUAUGAUGAUGUCAUCCACAUACACAAGCAAAACAAUGAUACCUGAUGGAGUAUUGAGAGUAAAGAGAGUGUGAUCAAGCUCGGACUUCCUGAAGCCUCUACCAUUCAGUGUUGUGCUUAGCUUAUUGUAGCAUGCUCUAGGUGAUUGUUUCAAUCCAUAGAUGGCUUUCUUCAGUCUAAGAACGUUUCCUGGCUUCACCAUUCCUUCAAGACCCGGAUGUGGUAGCAUAUAGACUUCAUCUUCUAGCUCUCCUUGGAGGAAAGCAUUCUUCAUAUCCACUUGCCAAAGAUCCCACCCAAGGUUGGUUGCAACUGAUAGUACAAUCCUAAUGGUAUGAAGCUUUGCAACAGGUGCAAAAGUAUCAAUGUAAUCCUCUCCAUAGGUUUGUGUGAAACCUCUUGCUACCAGCCUUGUCUUACGCCUAUCAAUCUUCCCAUUAGGUAAAUACUUGAUGGUGAAGAUCCACUUGCAUGACACAGCUCUCUUCCCCUUAGGCAGCUCACUCUCAUACCAUGUAUCAUUUCUAAUCAUGGACUCAGCCUCAUCAUUGACUGAAUCCCUCCACUCUUGAAUCAGCAUUGCUUCUUCAUAGCUUCUUGGCACAUAGCUUUCAUCUAAGCUUACUAUAAAGGAGUAGUGAUCUUCUGGAAACUCAGCAAAGGAGCACACCGCUUGGGAAGAAUGUUCCACAGCCUCGGCAUUGUAUAACACUCUCGUGUUUACCCAAUUUCUUGUGUUUGCCCACUCAGAAGCAUCCCUCCUUACCCAUGUGCUUCUUCUCAAAGGAACUUCUACUUGUUCCUCAACAACUUCCUCUUGUGUCUGGAUUUCUUCUCCAGCUUCCUGACCUUCAUUCUGAACUUCUCUUCCUGAUUCAUCUCUACUUUGGACUGGAGAAUCUGAGCCUUGAUCUUCUAGACCUCCAGCUUCUUCUGAGCAUUGAUCUUUUAACCCUUCAGCUUCAGAUUCACUUCCCCCUCAUGUUCAAAGUGGGUUGUUUCUUCAGCGGCCACUUGAGUAGGCUCUUCACGCCUGCUCUGAUCCUGGGACAUGCCAAUACCGAGUUCUUCUAAUAUGUUUCUCAAACUAGCAGCUCUAUCUGAUGGUUGAGAAAGCCCUUCAAGCUCCUCCCAAUUCUUGUCUUCAUAAUACCCUUUAUCUUCCAUGAACUUCACAUCCCUAGACACCAAGACUAUUCUAGCAGUGGGAUCAAAGCACUUGUAUCCCUUUUGAGAUGCGGAAUAGCCAAUAAGCAUAGCCUUGGUGCUCUUUGCUUCAAGUUUGUUUCUCAUCUCUCCUGGCACCAGUACAUAGCACACACACCCAAAUGUCCUCAAGUGAUCUAGAACUGGUCGACUCUUGUUGAGUACCUCAAAUAGAGACUGAUCCUCUAGGAUUCUGGUUGGUAUCCUGUUGAUUAGAUAGCAAGCAGUCAUCACAGCAUAACUCCAAAAUCUCUUAGGGACACUCUUGUGGAACAUCAUUAAACGAGCCAUUUCCAUGAGGUGUAUGUUCUUCCUUUCAGCAACUCCAUUCUGUUGUGGAGUGUAAGGACAGCUAGUCUGAUGUAGAAUCCCAUGUUGAGCUAGGUGAUCUUUGAAUGUGUGGCCUAUGUAUUCCCCACCAUUAUCUGACCUGAAAAUCUUAAUCUUGGCAUGAUUAUAAUGGUUAGUAACAUAGCUUUGAAAAUUUUUAAAUGCAUCAAGAACCCUAUCUUUUGUUUUGAUGAGUGUUAACCAGGUGUAUUUGGAUUUUUCAUCAAUGAAUGUGACAUAAUACUUAUAAUCAUCCCUAGAUAAAUAAGGCGCAGUCCAAACAUCAGAGUGAAUCAAAUCAAAGCAAUUCUCAUAAAUAGUGGAUGAUCUUUGAAACACUGUCCUACAAUGUUUGCCUAAAUCUAUGCCUCACAAUCAUUAUUUUUAAACAUGACACCUGGUAACAUAAUGCUUAAAGCCCAAACAUGUGGAUGUCCAAGUCUAGGAUGCCACAAUGCAUCUUUACUUAAGGAAGAAACAUAACUAAAAGAGAAACAAGAACUAGAGUGGGACUAAGAUCUUCAAGCAUAUAAAGGUCUCCUUUGGUUGCUCCUUGUCCAAUCAACUUACUGCUAUUAAUAUCCUGAAACUUAACAUCAUCAGAACUAAAGAUAACCUUGCAUUGAAAAUCAGUGGUGCAUCUUUUGACAGAUAAAAGAUUAGAAGUAAACUCAGGCAUAAAAAAUGCUUUUGAAUCCUUAUCAAACAGUUUUAGUUUCCCAAUUCCUCUAAUAAAAAUUCUAUCACCAUUAACAAUCAUAACAUGUCCAUGAGCCGGUUCUAUGUCUCUAAUCAGGUUAUUAUCACUAAUCAUAUGAUGAGAUGCACCAAAAUCAAUAAUCAAAGGUUUAUGCAUGUUUCUAGUAAUCUCAGUUCUUGAUGGUUCAUUUUGUUUAAUCAGGUUUUCUAGUAAUCCUAACAGUUUACUAGUUAUACUAGGCUCACUAGCAACAGUAUAGGCGCUUUUAAAAAUGUCUAGUAACUUAUCAGUAUUACUAGGAUUACUAGCAAUAGUGUAAGAGCUUUUAAAAAUGUCUAGUAAUUUAUCAGUAUUACUAGGCAAUGUAUGAGCAGCAUAUGAGUAUCCAAGGGUGUUUCCGAGGGUGUUACCAGACUCCUUAAGAGCUUUGAAGAAGGCUUCAAGGUCAGCUCUCUUGAACACCUCCUGAUCCAUACCCUUUCCAAUCAGUUGAUGAGACGUCAAGGCUCUACUUUCACUUUCAUCCACCUUAGCGCCUGAGCUAGCUUUGGAUGAACCAGCACCAUUUGCUUCAGCAGAAAGAUGAGCCUUUGCUUCCCUAUCCCUGUUGACCCCGCGUGGCCUGAGGUUAGGAUGUAGGAUCCAACACUCACUCUUCUUGUGACCGGUCCUCUUGCAAUGCUCACAGCUUCCCUCAUACUUUUCACACUUCCUUCCUGAGCCUCUGUAUGCAGCCUUGUUUGCUUGCAUUCCUUCAGCUUAAUGAGCCAUAGUAAGCUCACCCUUGCCUCCAAACAGGCCAAGAUAUCCCUCCUCCUUCUGAAGUUGCGCGCAUACUUCCUCCAUGGAUGGUAGGUUAGGCGAUCUCAAGAUGUGUUUGAUGACAUCCUUGUAGCAAGGAUCCAAUGUCAUCAACAACCCAAACACUUGAUCUUGUUCUCUUCUUUCCAUAAGAGUUGCUUGAUCAGUGGUGUUAGGUCUUAGACUUUCAAGUUCAGACCAUAAUGAUCCAAACUUUCCCAUGUGUUUGGUGAGCUCUCCUCCAUCUUGCUUCAUGGAGUUAAUGACUCUCUUCAGCUCAAGCACACGGCUGAUGUUGGAGACGUUUCCAAACGUCUUUGAGAGGGUCUCCCACAAGUGUUUGAGAGUCUCACAGUAGCUGUAAGCUUCAAGAAGAGGAACAUCAAGAGAUCCUUGCAGCACGGAGAGCACCAUCAAGUCUUCUUGUACCCACUUCUUGGAUUCAGUUUUGGUGAGAGUCUAUUCCUCUUCACCUUCUUCAGUUUCUUUGGCCACUGGCUUCGGACCAUCAUCAGUGAUGUGGGUCCACAGCCCUAGCCUUCAAAUGGCAGUCUUCACCAAUCUAGACCACAAGAGGUAGUUUGAACCACCCUUCAACGCAACCGGGACAAUAACUAGCUUGCUGAAGUUGUUUCCUUCCAUCUUCUCUUGCUUGAACCAGAAAUGACCAUAAAGCUUCAAACUUGCAACUCAGCUGAAGAACACACAGUACCAGACUUCAAAAACACACAAACUCAAAGCACAGCACCACAGAACUCAACUUUAUCAUACAGCUUCACGGAACCCUCAAGAACACAAGAGCAAGAACACAAGGACACAAGAGCUAGAGAAAGAAAGAAAUGGAACGAGGUUUCUCAAUACCAAAGCCAACCUUGCUUUGAUACCAUAUGAUUUUAGAGAGUAGAGUAGGUAUUGAGAGAUUAAAGGUAGAUUAGAGAAUGUUAAUGGGAGAUUUGUAGAGAGAUUAGGUAGUAAUUAUGUUUAAGAGUAUUUAAGAAGAAUCAUGAACAAGAAAGAGAGUCUAGAGAGAUAAUCUCAUACUUCUUAUUAUUAAACUGAUCAGAGUUUACAAUAUAUAUGAGGAGGCAACACUAGGAUGAGGGUUUCAUAAAGUGAUACUAUUACAAGAGAUAAGUUUGCUUUAUAUCAAACCAUCCAAUGAGCUUCUUCCUUGUGCAUAAAGCUCCUUUUGCUUUAUCUAGCUCUUCUCCAGCCUGUCACACACGCCUCCUCUUCCCUUACAACGGACUGAUGCCUUAGCUAAGGGAAUAGGGCUUCUCUUCUUCUUCCAAAGUUACCCGGGUAACUAGUAUAACUAGUAUACUAAUAUUACAAGGGUAACUUUGGUUUACCCUUUGUAAGCUACUCGGGUAACUAGUAUUACUACGGCCUCUUCAUCAUACUCAACUCCUCAUGACUUUCUCAUCCUAUAUAUUGAUCUCAUCUCAACAGCCAGAACCAACUCUCCUAAGCUUUUAUCAUUCUUACCAAAGAGAUUUGUUGUUAAAGGUGUUAUGAUGGCUAUUGGACUUGAUAUUAACGAUUGCUUAGAUAAUAUUCAACCAAAGUGACUAGGCCUAAGGUUGAUAGAUUGAUUGAAAGCUGCCACCUUUAGAUUGAAACUUGAUCGCCCAAGGUCAAUUCUCUUAGCCCAUGAGUUCUUCCAUCUCAUUAAAAGAGAAAGCUUUGUUCUUUAUUGCAUUUUAGUAGUAUUCUAGCUCAAAAUCAUCUCACCAAUUGAUAGCAUUUAGAUUAAGCAUGGUCUUGCAUUUCCUUUGCUUUAGAAUCACUUAGAACUCAUUUGAUAUCCUUUAUACUAUAACAUUUGAUUAAGAGCCUUGAAAACUCUUAACAUCAAAUUGGCGCCGUUGCCACAUUCUAAGUUGAUUGUGAUAUUGGGAUUUAGUCACUUUCUUGAGACUAAGUGAUACCACUCAAAUUACCCUAAGGAGUGUUACUCUCAUCAAAAGAGGUUCAGAUGUAGUACUUAGGGAUCGAAUCCACAAGGAGCUAGGGAACAAUUAAAUCUAGUGUUUAUUAAUUCUAAAGGUUGUAAUGUUUUAAAUAAAAUAGCAAUAGUAACUAGCGAGUAAAUGAUAUAUGUAACUUAGGUUGGAAAUGAUAUUAGAUGCAGGGUCACUAUUCAGGUGUUGGAGAUUAUAAUUCCUAUAGAUGCAUAACUGUUGCAUGCAUGAUAUAUUAGAGCUCAUUCGCUUAACUCAGUGAUCAGCUGUCGCAUGUACCACUGGUUAACAGACUAGAUCUUGUGUCUCACCGGUUAGAUGCAAACACAAGAGAGUGUCGAUCGAUAAUCUAUUAAGACGUCGACUGAUACACUUUUGCCAACAUCGAUCGAUUGUCACUUGAGGACAUCGAUCGACGCUUUCUAGCCAGGCCUAUGCGCGAGUAUGAAAAUGCUCUACUAAGACUCUAAAUUGGCGGUUAGCCCUCUCUAGCAAUCCUAAUAUGAUAGAUAGAUUUCAGGAUGGGAUAACAAGGGGGCUUGAAUAUGCAAUCCUAUGAUCAAGUUCUAGUUAGCUAGGCUAAAACAAGCAAUGAAUACAAAUCUAUCAUGAAUAUCACGACAAGGCAUAUCUAUAGUUUGGGGCUAAUCCCACAAACCUAUCUGAACCCUGGAUCUAACAGUUGAACUACUCAGACAUAGCAAAGCAAUUCAUAUCAAUAGAUAAAUAGAAACUCAUAGAAUAGUGUGGGAACGGAAAUUCGCACUGUCGAUUUCCGUUUAAAUAAGGAAACUAGGAAAAACCUAAUUUACCAGAGGACCCGGAUAUCUGCUAAUUACCACACGUCAAGCAAUCAGAACACGAGAAUAACAACGAUAAAGUAUAAGAAAUCGAAAAAGAGAGCAAAGAAGAUCUUAUUUCCGAAUUUGCGUAUGAGCGCUUACAACAAGGUAUAAGCCUGGGCUCGAGAGCUGUCGGCGAGAUUCCUAGUUCUAGCAACCCUAAGACGGCUAAACCUAAUUGAGUCGCAGCUCGAAAUAACAAAAACGGAAAAAUGCCUAAAUCGCUCUAAGUGCUAAGUUUGCUCUGAAAAAGUUCUCCCUCACGCUCCUCGCCUAGGACUCCUGAUAUACUAGCUCCAAGGUCGGUUUACGCUUUUACUCUUCUGCCCUUAAGCCAUCAUAGCAUAAAAAUGGAGAUAUUCCAUUUUUCCCGAUCUUCACAAUUAUCUUCAAAACUUCCGUAUUUAUCCGCGGAAACUUGACAUUUAUCCUUCCAUGUGGACCAAGCGUAUGUGGGAACCGAAAUUCGCACUGUCGAUUUCCGUUUAAAUAAGGAAACUAGGAAAACCCUAAUUUCCCAGAGGUCCCGGAUCUCUGCGAGAGCCAACGACAAGUGAUCGAAUAUAUGCGGAAAUCAUGAAAAGAUAACAAACGAGUUUAGAGAAAACAGUAGAUCUUAUUUCGAGUCCGCGUAAGAGAGUUGCGAUCAUUACAAGAGAAUACAAAGGCUUUGGCCGCAGGGGCCGUCAGCGAGUUACUUAGUUCUAGCAACAUAAAACCCUAAUCCUAGUUGAGUCGCAGCUCGAUAACAAAGGACGACAAAGAUAUCUAAAAGGCUUAGAUUGAUUUCGGACUGAACCUUAUUAAAGGCUGCCUACGUACCCCUUUCGAGGAUCAAGCCGAACGUAGUUCAAUUGAUAGAGCUGGACAAGAGAUCGAACUGCAUGGGCGAGUUCGUCUAGUAAUUGAGUGCCAGUCAUAGAAACCGAACUUGUCGAGAAUAAGCCUAAAGUUUCUAAGUGCAGAGAAUUCCGAGUCUAAAAAGCUCUCCUCUUGCUCCUCGCCUAGGACUCCUUAUAUACUAGCUCCAAGGUCGGUUUACGCUUUUACUCUUCUGCCCUUAAGCCGUCAUAGCAUAAAAAUGGAGAUAUUCCAUUUUUCCCGAUCUUCACAAUUAUCUUCAAAACUUCCGUAUUUAUCCGCGGAAACUUGACAUUUAUCCUUCCUUGUGGACCAAGCGUAAACCAGGCUGUGGUUUACAGGCUUUUGGUUAGGAAAAUCAUAGGAUGGGCCUCGAGUCGUGUUUUAGGUCCCUUUGGGCCGUCUUCCGACUCGACACGUUUACUACGAGUUUUUCGCGGUUUCUAAUCCGCGAAGUUUGAUUGAUGAAUUAGAAUGGCGGGAAACAUGGACUGAGCUUGCUACGGUCUUCGGGAGAUAGCAUUCGAAGGUUUUGACGAGAAUGCAUGAACUGGUGUCGUAUUGACGUUCGGAAAGGUUCAAUCGCUACACAGCAACCGAACUUUGGUCGAGCCCGGUCGCUACGUAGCGACCGAGCGGGACGAUCGCUCGGUCACUACGUAGCGACCGAGCUUGGCUGAGCUCGGUCGCUACGUAGCGACCGAGCGGGACGAUCGCUCGGUCUCUACGUAGCGACCGAGCUUUGGCUCGAGCUCGGUCGCUACGUAGCGACCGAGCGGGACGAUCGCUCGGUCGCUACGUAACGACCGAGCUUUGGCUCGAGCUCGGUCGCUACGUAGCGACCGAGCGGGACGAUCGCUCGGUCACUACGUAGCGACCGAGCUUGGCUGAGCUCGGUCGCUACGUAGUGACCGAGCGGGACGAUCGCUCGGUCGCUACGUAGCGACCGAGCGGGACGAUCGCUCGGUCACUACGUAGCGACCGAGCUUGGUUGAGCUCAGUCGCUACGUAGCGACCGAGCGGGACGAUCGCUCGGUCGCUACGUAGCGACCAAGCGGGACGAUCGCUCGGUCGCUACGUAGCGACCGAGCGGGACGAUCGCUCGGUCGCUACGUAGCGACCGAGCUUGGCUCGAGCUCGGUCGCUACGUAGCGAUCGAGCGGGAUGAUCGCUCGGUCGCUACGUAUCGACCGAGCGGGACGAUCGCUCGGUCGCUAUGUAGCGACCGAGCUUUGGCUCGAGCUUGGUCGCUACGUAGCGACCGAGCGGGACGAUCGCUCGGUCGCUACGUAGCGACCGAGGUUUGGCUCGAGCUCGGUCGCUACGUAGCGACCGAGCGGGACGAUCGCUCGGUCGCUACGUAGCGAUCGAGCGGGACGAUCGCUCGGUUGCUACGUAGCGACCGAGGUUUGGCUCGAGCUCGGUCGCUACGUAGCGACCGAGCGGGACGAUCGCUGAGCUCGGUCGCUACGUAGCGACCGAGCGGGACGAUCGCUGAGCUCGGUCGCUACGUAGCGACCGAGGGACGAUCGCUCGGUCGCUACGUAGCGACCGAGCUUUGGCUCGAGCUCGGUCGCUACGUAGCGACCGAGCUUUGGCUCGAGCUCGGUCGCUACGUAGCGACCGAGCGGGACGAUCGCUCGUCCGCGGCCGAUUUGGAUACAUGUCCGUUGCCUUCGGACAAUCGGUAUUUAGUGGUUCGAUUGAGAUUUGGACGAUAUUUUACUGCAAGGCUGUUCGUAAAGAUAUCUUUACGAAGAUUACUUUUCGUAAAAACGGUUAUGCUGAUUUUUACGGACUUUCAGACAUUGAUUCCGUCGUAACCGAUUUUGACCCCAACAGUUAGCCCCCCAGCUCGUUAGAAUCAUUGAGCUUCUAGCGUGAGGUUCUAGCAAGUGGCUUUAGGCAAGUUAGGUGAGUUAGGCGGAAUUAAUGGUUGAAAAGGUCUGUGGUAAGUGAUCUUCUCGCUCUCCUAAAAGUAGAAAAUGCGAUAAGAUUGGGGCUGCGCCUUAUGACGGCUGCCUACGUACCCUUGUUGAAGGGAUCAAGCCUUUCGUAGUUCAUCUUGGAGUUAAGGUUCUUAUGACUAGUUUUCCAGUAGGACCUUUAUGGUCUAGUUUUUAUGUAGCGGUUAUAAGGCGUGUUGCUGCCGAUGGCGUUUGUAUGGGUGUAGAGGGAAGACUACGAGUUGUCGUCUCGUAAUCUAACUCUGUGUGAAUUGCCAUAUCCAUAAUCUGUUUCGAGAGUUUUCCGCAGUGUGUAAACUUGCGGGAUUUUUCUGAAGACGUUCGAAUAUUGGCAAAGAGACAAAUUUUGGGAUCUCGUAUCAGGGUGUUUGAUACUAUGCCUAGAGAUGUUAGAGACCAGUGCGCUGGGUUUAGGGCAAGACCUAGGUUUACUUUCGGUUUAAGGAUUGUGCGGUGACUGGCCGCUAUCGUUUUUCCGUUGCGAUUUCUUCCUGAUUCGUAUCGAUUUAAAGUCCGCGAUAGGUUCUCGGCUUAUACGACUUGUUGAUACGAAUCGAGCAUCUCUCCGGAAACCGGAAGUGCUAGACCAAAAUUUCGGAUUUCUUUUAUAGCGCUAUUAUCCUUGUGUCGGAUGUAAGAGAGUCAUCUUCUACGAGAUGGCUAAGUCUGUUUAGGACGUUAAGAGUUUGUUGUGAUCAGCAACAAACUUAAUGGUAAAAAUUACUAUUUUGAGUCUUCGCGAAGAAUAUGUUUUGAGAAGAUGUUAGUGCGUAUGACUGUCUGGUCUUCCAUGAAGGUGUUUUUAUCGAGGAAGGAAAUUUCGUCGAAGAACUAAUCUUCAGGCGUCCGCGACGUCUCGCGAUGCUGAAGAUUUGUUAUUCUUUCGUAUGCCACGUUUCGUGCUUGAAAUGUUCGCGGGCUUUGAAGAUAUUUCGCGAUGUUGCGAGGGUUUAGUAUUAGCCCUGUGUUUGAGAAACAUUCUGGUUUGACUAAGAAUGUUCGCAGCCAAAAAUUGUUGUUCCUGCUCGGAUGCUAAUAGUUUUGUUUGCGAUCGAGGAAUUAUGACUGAGGUGUCGUGUAAAUUUGUCCAUGGGAACAAGCGUUUUACUUCAUGGUGCUUUGUGAAGAGUUGGCCUUCCGAGAUGUAUUUCGUGCAUUUUUUAGGAUGUUUCGUAUAGCUCUAGAAGCUUUGUUACGAAUUUUUUCUUACAUGCCGCGUAUUAUGGUUAAAACGUUGCGGGCUUAAAGUGAAUUGUGGAGCGUAUUGGACUUGGUCCAUUUUCUAAAAGUUUAGAUUUUCCGUUAACCGUUUGGUUGUUAGGACUUAGUUUCGUUACGAAGAAUUUAUCAUAUGAUUUCCGACUGUGGGCUAUACGAUAAUUUAUCAUAUCAUAUAACCGAUUUUACGAAGGUCGUAAAUCAGUGAUAUGUAUACAUAUGUCAAAGUAGCAUUGUUUUUGCGGGUUCUACGAGAAACGUUCCCGCUGUGAUUUUGAUCUUAGGUGAAAGUUGCUUGGAGUUACCCAUGGAGUAUUACCGAAGUUUAUUUCAAUACGAUCAAGUAGCGGAACGUUUUUCAUAGAUUUUUCGAGAGGAUUCUCAUGACACAUUCGUUUCUUGAACGAAUUGGUCAACCAGAAGUGGAUCUAGCUAACCAUCGGGAGGAAAGUGCUCCUUUUAAUGUGCACGAUGCUACAUAUAUUCUCGAGUUUUCUUCGUCGCAAACGUUUUCGAUGCUUUUCCGUGACUUACUUGGUACAACGGAAACUGAAAGAAGUUCUUUGGUGAUUGAAGAUUUCUCGUAAAAUUUUUUUAAAACGAAACUGGCUUUCUGAAGCCGGAAAAGGCUUCAAUACUUUGGCUAAUCGUCGAGUUUCAGUUUGAUAUUGGUACAAGUUUUCUGUACGCAUGAUUGCGACAAGAACUGAUGUAUAGUUUUUGAGAUUAUGUACAUGAUCGUCUGGAUAUGUUGCCAGCGUUUAGACGAAUAUUAAGAUUGUCGUUUGCCUAUUCUUGACGAUUUGCAGAAGUUUUUUGAAGUUUGGGAGUAUACGAGUAUAGUAUACGUACCUACUCCCCCUUUUUUUUACGAAAGAAAAAACGGUUGAACCGAUACUUUGAAGGGUUGUGUACGUUUCCUCUCCUGAUGUUUGGAAUGAUCGAUAAUUCGGGACGAUUUAUAGACGACGCUUGGACUGUGAUUUGGUUGUUUCCACGUUGACGACUUGGGAUAUGUCGGUUCCGAGAAAAUUGCCAGAAACGAAUCGGUUUUAAGACGACGUUCAUGUCUCUAACUUUUUCUCUCUUUAGGAAGCGAGCUUGAUAUGCGUGGCGAUCGUUUCUCGACUUUCGGAGAGUUUAGAUCGGUUUGCAAGAUCUGGAUGAACAAUUAUGGAACAAUAUAUCGAGACAGGAAAAAUCGCUUAAAACUUAGUUCGCUAGACUAUCCGCCUAGGUUUUACGUUCCCUAAAGUUCUAUGGCAGCCUCAAAGUAAUUUCCUACGAAAAUUCCAAGUCUGAUUUCAAAAAUUUCAAGUCGGAAAUACCUUAGUUCUCUCGAAGAUGCAGUUUUGUCCCUUCUCAGUUUUGCGUGCUCAUUUCCGUUUCCUAUUCUCGUGUAUGUUCGCCAUUUCCGAUAUUGGUGUUUAUCCUUUGAAACUUGACAUUUAUCUUCCGAACUUGACUGUUAUCUUCUCCUUAGAUAAGACGUCGAUUUUUGUAAAAAGGUUCAACGUAAUCGUAUAGUUAAGGCGGCUAAGGUGUUAAGUUAACCAUUGCCGUUUUAUACGAUUAAUCUGAAUCCAUGCGAGAAAAUAGGUCUUUGCGGUUUUUUUUUUUAUAUCGUAAAGUCCCAAUGGUAACUUCAAUCGAAGCGAAACAAGAGACGUUUCGAUCGAGAUUCGAAAGUGAACGCAAAGAUGGAGGUAGGGUGAGCAGAAACAAGCCAAGGAGUUUAAGAUGACGUUUACUUGUUUUUGUCGUAAAAUCUCAACGGAAACUCCGAUUGAGACGAAACGAAAAGCAUUUCGAUGAGAAUUCAAAGGGGAACGCAAGGGAGGAACCCUUUGAGGACUUACAGGUCGCUAUGUAGCGACUGACAGUCUGACAGGUCGCUACGUAGCGAAUGGAAGCAAGCCGAGAAGCGUCCUACUUGUUUUCGUCGUAAAUUCUCAACGGAAACUCCGAUUGAGACGAAACGAAAAGCGUUUCGAUGAGGAUUCUAAAGUCAACCCAAAGGAGGACCUUUCUGAGGCCUUACGGGUCGCUACGUAGCGACUGACAGUCUGACAGGUCGCUACGUAGCGAGUGGAAGCAAGCCGAGACGAGUCCCACUUGUUUUCGUCGUAAAAUCUCAACGGAAACUCCGAUUGAGACGAAACGAAAAGCGUUUCGACGAGGAUUCAAAAGAGAACCCAAAGGAGGACCUUUCUGAGGCCUUACAGGUCGCUACGUAGCGACUGACAGUCUGACAGGUCGCUACGUAGCGAGUGGAAGCAAGCCGAGAAGAGUCCUACUUGUUUUCGUCGUAAAAUCUCAACGGAAAUUCCGAUUGAGACGAAACGAAAAGCGUUUCGACGAGGAUUCAAAAGAGAACCCAAAGGAGGACCUUUCUGAGGCCUUACAGGUCGCUAUGUAGCGACUGACAGUCUGACAGGUCGCUACGUAGCGAGUGGAAGCAAGCCGAGAAGAGUCCUACUUGUUUUCGUCGUAAAAUCUCAACGGAAACUCCGAUUGAGACGAAACGAAAAGCGUUUCGACGAGGAUUCAAAGAGAACCCAAAGGAGGACCUUUCUGAGGCCUUACAGGUCGCUACGUAGCGACUGACAGUCUGACAGGUCGCUACGUAGCGAGUGGAAGCAAGCCGAGAAGAGUCCCACUUGUUUUCGUCGUAAAAUCUCAACGGAAACUCCGAUUGAGACGAAACGAAAAGCGUUUCGACGAGGAUUCAAAAGAGAACCCAAAGGAGGACCUUUCUGAGGCCUUUCAGGUCGCUACGUAGCGACUGACAGUCUGACAGGUCGCUACGUAGCGAGUGGAAGCAAGCCGAGAAGAGUCCUACUUGUUUUCGUCGUAAAAUCUCAACGGAAACUCCGAUUGAGACGAAACGAAAAGCGUUUCGACGAGGAUUCAAAAGAGAACCCAAAGGAGGACCUUUCUGAGGCCUUAGAGGUCCCUAUGUAGCGACUGACAGUCUGACAGGUCGCUACGUAGCGAGUGGAAGCAAGCCGAGAAGAGUCCUACUUGUUUUCGUCGUAAAAUCUCAACGGAAACUCCGAUUGAGACGAAACGAAAAGCGUUUCGACGAGGAUUCAAAAGAGAACCCAAAGGAGGACCUUUCUGAGGCCUUACAGGUCGCUAUGUAGCGAGUGGAGAGUUGGUUUGAGCUCGGUCACUAUGUAGCGACCGAGCAGUCUGUGUGCUCGCUCGGUCGCUACGUAGCAACCGAGCAGUGUGCGUGCUCGGUCGCUACGUAGCUCCGAGCUGCGUGUGUGUGCUCGGUCGCUACGUACGACCGAGCCGUGUGCGUGCUUCGGUCGCUACGUAGCGACCGACAGCGUGUGCGCUCGGUCGCUACGUAGCGACCGAGCAGCGUGUGCGUGCUCGGUCGCUACGUAGCGACCGAGCCGUGUGCGUGCUUUGGUCGCUACGUAGCGACCGGGAAGCGUGUGUGCUCGGUCGCUACGUAGCGACCGAGCAGCGUGGCUCGGUCGCUACGUAGCGACCGAGCAGCGUGUGUGCUCGGUCGCUACGUAGCGACCGCGAGCAGCGUGUGUGCUCGGUCGCUACGUAGCGACCGAGCAGCGUGUGUGCUCGGUCGCUACGUAGCGACCGAGCCGUGUGCGUGCUCGGUCGCUACGUAGCGACCGAGCAGCGUGUGCGUGCUCGGUCGCUACGUAGCGACCGAGCAGGUGCGUGCUCGGUCGCUACGUUGCGACCGAGCUGUGUAAUCGUUUUGUGUUUCCUUUUUCCGCGAUUAACGUAGGGGUUUUUCAGCGGUUUUUUUUGGGAGAACAAGUUUUAUCCUUCCGAAAUGUUUUCGGAAAACGUGUUUUGGUAAAACCCUUACGCAUCGAGAUUUGUUUACGGGGUUUUGAUAAGAUUUAUCGUUUCCCUUCUUGUUUACAGGGAGAAAUCGCGAGCUUGUUUUAGUGCUCUUCCUGUGGCGGAAGGUCGCGACUAAGUUUUCGAUUUUGUUGAAAACUACGGCGUUUGCGUAAGCGUUGGCCAUAGGAGCAGUCAGUGCUGCGAGUUUGUCUUUCAUAUAUCCAAACAUCGUUUCGAUCAAGCGUUUUGUGGCCAUGAGUAAGAGUAAUCCGUAACCCCCCCCUCCUUCUAGCGCCAAACUGUGGGAACCGAAAUUCGCACUGUCGAUUUCCGUUUAAAUAAGGAAACUAGGAAAACCCUAAUUUCCCAGAGGUCCCGGAUCUCUGCGAGAGCCAACGACAAGUGAUCGAAUAUAUGCGGAAAUCAUGAAAAGAUAACAAACGAGUUUAGAGAAAACAGUAGAUCUUAUUUCGAGUCCGCGUAAGAGCGUUGCGAUCAUUACAAGAGAAUACAAAGGCUUUGGCCGCAGGGGCCGUCAGCGAGUUACCUAGUUCUAGCAACAUAAAACCCUAAUCCUAGUUGAGUCGCAGCUCGAUAACAAAGGACGAAAAAGAUAUCUAAAAGGCUUAGAUUGAUUUCGGACUGAACCUUGUUAAAGGCUGCCUACGUACCCCUUUCGAGGAUCAAGCCGAACGUAGUUCAAUUGAUAGAGCUGGACAAGAGAUCGAACUGCCUGGGCGAGUUCGUCUAGUAAUUGAGUGCCAGUCAUAGAAACCGAACUUGUCGAGAAUAAGCCUAAAGUUUCUAAGUGCAGAGAAUUCCGAAUCUAAAAAGUUCUCCUCUCUUGCUCCUCGCCUAGGACUCCUUAUAUACUAGCUCCAAGGUCGGUUUACGCUUUUACUCUUCUGCCCUUAAGCCGUCAUAGCAUAAAAAUGGAGAUAUUCCAUUUUUCCCGAUCUUCACAAUUAUCUUCAAAACUUCCGUAUUUAUCCGCGGAAACUUGACAUUUAUCCUUCCUUGUGGACCAAGCGUAAACCAGGCUGUGGUUUACGGGCUUUUGGUUAGGAAAAUCAUAGGAUGGGCCUCGAGUCGUGUUUUAGGUCCCUUUGGGCCGUCUUCCGACUCGACACGUUUACUACGAGUUUUCCGCGGUUUCUAAUCCGCGAAGUUUGAUCGAUGAAUUAGAAUGGCGGGAAACAUGGACUGAGCUUGCUACGGUCUUCGGGAGAUAGCAUUCGAAGGUUUUGACGAGAAUGCAAGAACUGGUGUCGUAUUGACGUUCGGAAAGGUUCAAUCGCUACACAGCGACCGAACUUUGGCUCGAGCCCGGUCGCUUCGUAGCGACCGAGCGGGACGAGCGCUCGGUCGCUACGUAGCGACCGAGCUUGGCUGAGCUCGGUCGCUACGUAGCGACCGAGCGGGACGAUCGCUCGGUCGCUACGUAGCGACCGAGCUUUGGCUCGAGCUCGGUCGCUACGUAGCGACCGAGCGGGACGAUCGCUCGGUCGCUACGUAGCGACCGAGCUUGGCUGAGCUCGGUCGCUACGUAGCGACCGAGCGGGACGAUCGCUCGGUCGCUACGUAGCGACCGAGCUUUGGCUCGAGCUCGGUCGCUACGUAGCGACCGAGCGGGACGAUCGCUCGGUCGCUACGUAGCGACCGAGCUUGGCUGAGCUCGGUCGCUACGUAGCGACCGAGCGGGACGAUCGCUCGGUCGCUACGUAGCGACCGAGCUUUGGCUCGAGCUCGGUCGCUACGUAGCGACCGAGCUUUGGCUCGAGCUCGGUCGCUACGUAGCGACCGAGCGGGACGAUCGCUCGGUCUACGUAGCGACCGAGCUUGGCUGAGCUCGGUCGCUACGUAGCGACCGAGCGGGACGAUCGCUCGGUCGCUACGUAGCGACCGAGCUUUGGCUCGAGCUCGGUCGCUACGUAGCGACCGAGCGGGAGAUCGCUCGGUCGCUACGUAGCGACCGAGCGGGACGAUCGCUCGGUCGCUACGUAGCGACCGAGCUUGGCUCGAGCUCGGUCGCUACGUAGCGACCGAGCUGUGUGCAUGCUUGGUCGCCGCGUAUCGAUCGAGCUUGGCUUGUCCGCGGUCUGAUUUCCAUACUCGAGCUUGUCCGCGGCCGAUUUGGAUACAUGUCCGUUGCCUUCGGACAAUCGGUAUUUAGUGGUUCGAUUGAGAUUUGGACGAUAUUUUACUGCAAGGCUGUUCGUAAAGAUAUCUUUACGAAGAUUACUUUUCGUAAAAACGGUUAUGCUGAUUUUUACGGACUUUCAGACAUUGAUUCCGUCGUGACCGAUUUUGACCCCAACAGUUAGCCCCCCAGCUCGUUAGAAUCAUGAGCUUCUAGCGUGAGGUUCUAGCGAGUGGCUUUAGGCAAGUUAGGUGAGUUAGGCGGAAUUAAUGGUUGAAAAGGUCUGUGGUAAGUGAUCUUCUCGCUCUCCUAAAAGUAGAAAACGCGAUAAGAUUGGGGCUGCGCCUUAUGACGGCUGCCUACGUACCCUUGUUGAAGGGAUCAAGCCUUUCGUAGUUCAUCUUGGAGUUAAGGUUCUUAUGACUAGUUUUCCAGUAGGACCUUUAUGGUCUAGUUUUUAUGUAGCGGUUAUAAGGCGUGUUGCUGCCGAUGGCAUUUUGUAUGGGUGUAGAGGGAAGACUACGAGUUGUCGUCUCGUAAUCUAACUCUGUGUGAAUUGCCAUAUCCAUAAUCUGUUUCGAGAGUUUUCCGCAGUGUGUAAACUUGCGGGAUUUUCUGAAGACGUUCGAAUAUUGGCAAAGAGACAAAUUUUGGGAUCUCGUAUCAGGGUGUUUGAUACUAUGCCUAGAGAUGUUAGAGACCAGUGCGCUGGGUUUAGGGCAAGACCUAGGUUUACUCCUGGUUUUAGAGGGUGCGAUGACUAAUUCGACUUACGUAUCCCGUUUCAGUUUCAUCCUGAUUCCAUACCGAUUUAAAGUCCGCGAUAGGUUCUCGGCUUAUACGACUUGUAUGGUUGGAAUCGAGCAUCUCUCCGGAGACCGGAAGUGCUGGACCAAAAUUUCGGAUUUCUUUUAUAGCGCUAUUAUCCUUGUGUCGGAUGUAAGAGAGUCAUCUUCUACGAGAUGGCUAAGUCUGUUUAGGACGUUAAGAGUUUGUUGUGAUCAGCAACAAACUUAAUGGUAAAAAUUACUAUUUUGAGUCUUCGCGAAGAAUAUGUUUUGAGAAGAUGUUAGUGCGUAUGACUGUCUGGUCUUCCAUGAAGGUGUUUUUAUCGAGGAAGGAAAUUUCGUCGAAGAACUAAUCUUCAGGCGUCCGCGACGUCUCGCGAUGCUGAAGAUUUGUUAUUCUUUCGUAUGCCACGUUUCGUGCUUGAAAUGUUCGCGGGCUUUGAAGAUAUUUCGCGAUGUUGCGAGGGUUUAGUAUUAGCCCUGUGUUUGAGAAACAUUCUGGUUUGACUAAGAAUGUUCGCAGCCAAAAAUUGUUGUUCCUGUUCGGAUGCUAAUAGUUUUGUUUGCGAUCGAGGAAUUAUGACUGAGGUGUCGUGUAAAUUUGUCCAUGGGAACAAGCGUUUUCCUUCAUGGUGCUUUGUGAAGAGUUGGCCUUCCGAGAUGUAUUUCGUGCAUUUUUUAGGAUGUUUCGUAUAGCUCUAGAAGCUUUGUUACGAAUUUUUCCUUACAUGCCGCGUAUUAUGGUUAAAACGUUGCGGGCUUAAAGUGAAUUGUGGAGCGUAUUGAACUUGGUCAAUUUUCGAAAAGUUUAGAUUUUCCGUUAACCGUUUGGUUGUUAGGAUUUAGUUUCGUUACGAAGAAUUUAUCAUAUGAUUUCCGACUGUGGGCUAUACGAUAAUUUAUCAUAUCAUAUAACCGAUUUUACGAAGGUCGUAAAUCAGUGAUAUGUAUACAUAUGUCAAAGUAGCAUUGUUUCUGCGGGUUCUACGAGAAACGUUCCCGCUGUGAUUUUGAUCUUAGGUGAAAGUUGCUUGGAGUUACCCAUAGAGUUUUACCAAAGUUUAUUUCAAUACGAUCUAGUCGCGGAACGUUUUUCAUAGGUUUUUCGAGAGGAUACUCAUGACACAUUCGUUUCUUGAACGAAUUGGUCAACCAGAAGUGGAUCUAGCUAACCAUCGGGAGGAAAGUGCUCCUUUUAAUGUGCACGAUGCUACAUAUAUUCUCGAGUUUUCUUCGUCGCAAACGUUUUCGAUGCUUUUCCGUGACUUACUUGGUAAAACGAAAACUGAAAGAAAUGCUUUGGUGAUUGAAGAUUUCUCGUAGAAAUUUUUUAAAACGAAACUGGCUUUCUGAAGCCGGAAAAGGCUUCAAUACUUUGGCUAAUCGUCGAGUUUCAGUUUGAUAUUGGUACAAGUUUUCUGUACGCAUAAUUGCGACAAGAAAUGAUGUAUAGUUUUUGAGAUUAUGUUCAUGAUCGUCUGGAUAUGUUGCUAGCGUUUAGACGAAUAUUAAGAUUGUCGUUUGCCUAUUCUUGACGAUUUGCAGAAGUUUUUUGAAGUUUGGGAGUAUACGAGUAUAGUAUACGUACCUACUCCCCCUUUUUUUUUACGAAAGAAAACGGUUGAACCGAUACUUUGAAGGGUUGUGUACGUUUCCUCUCUGAUGUUUGGAAUGAUCGAUAAUUCGGGACGAUUUAUAGACGACGCUUGGACUGUGAUUUGGUUGUUUCCACGUUGACGACUUGGGAUAUGUCGGUUCCGAGAAAAUUGCCAGAAACGAAUCGGUUUUAAGACGACGUUCAUGUCUCUAACUUUUUCUCUCUUUAGGAAGCGAGCUUGAUAUGCGUGGCGAUCGUUUCUCGACUUUCGGAGAGUUUAGAUCGGUUUGCAAGAUCUGGAUGAACAAUUAUGGAACAAUAUAUCGAGACAGGAAAAAUCGCUUAAAACUUAGUUCGCUAGACUAUCCGCCUAGGUUUUACGUUCCCUAAAGUUCUAUGGCAGCCUCAAAGUAAUUUCCUACGAAAAUUCCAAGUCUGAUUUCAAAAAUUUCAAGUCGGAAAUACCUUAGUUCUCUCGAAGAUGCAGUUUUGUCCCUUCUCAGUUUUGCGUGCUCAUUUCCGUUUCCUAUUCUCGUGUAUGUUCGCCAUUUCCGAUAUUGGUGUUUAUCCUUUGAAACUUGACAUUUAUCUUCCGAACUUGACUGUUAUCUUCUCCUUAGAUAAGACGUCGAUUUUUGUAAAAAGGUUCAACGUAAUCGUAUAGUUAAGGCGGCUAAGGUGUUAAGUUAACCAUUGCCGUUUUAUACGAUUAAUCUGAAUCCAUGCGAGAAAAUAGGUCUUUGCGGUUUUUUUUUUUAUAUCGUAAAGUCUCAAUGGUAACUUCAAUCGAGGCGAAACAAGAGACGUUUCGAUCGAGAUUCGAAAGUGAACGCAAAGAUGGAGGUAGGGUGAGCAGAAACAAGCCAAGGAGUUUAAGAUGAGGUUUACUUGUUUUUGUCGUAAAAUCUCAACGGAAACUCCGAUUGAGACGAAACGAAAAGCGUUUCGAUGAGAAUUCAAAGGAGAACGCAAAGGAGGACCCUUUGAGGCCUGACAGGUCGCUAUAGCGAGUGAGGAUGUCUGACGGUCGCUAUAGCGAGUGGAAGGGAGCCGAGACGAGUCCCACUUGUUUUCGUCGUAAAAUCUCAACGGAAACUCCGAUUGAGACGAAACGAAAAGCGUUUCGAUGAGGAUUCAAAGAGAACCCAAAGGAGGACCUUUGAGGACUUACAGGUCGCUACGUAGCGACUGACAGUCUGACAGGUCGCUACGUAGCGAGUGGAAGCAAGCCGAGAAGAGUCCUACUUGUUUUCGUCGUAAAAUCUCAACGGAAACUCCGAUUGAGACGAAACGAAAAGCGUUUCGAUGAGGAUUCAAAAGAGAACCCAAAGGAGGACCUUUCUGAGGCCUUACAGGUCGCUACGUAGCGACUGACAGUCUGACAGGUCGCUACGUAGCGAGUGGAAGCAAGCCGAGAAGAGUCCUACUUGUUUUCGUCGUAAAAUCUCAACGGAAACUCCGAUUGAGACGAAACGAAAAGCGUUUCGACGAGGAUUCAAAAGAGAACCCAAAGGAGGACCUUUCUGAGGCCUUACAGGUCGCUACGUAGCGACUGACAGUCUGACAGGUCGCUACGUAGCGAGUGGAAGCAAGCCGAGAAGAGUCCUACUUGUUUUCGUCGUAAAAUCUCAACGGAAACUCCGAUUGAGACGAAACGAAAAGCGUUUCGACGAGGAUUCAAAAGAGAACCCAAAGGAGGACCUUUCUGAGGCCUUACAGGUCGCUACGUAGCGACUGACAGUCUGACAGGUCGCUACGUAGCGAGUGGAAGCAAGCCGAGAAGAGUCCUACUUGUUUUCGUCGUAAAAUCUCAACGGAAACUCCGAUUGAGACGAAACGAAAAGCGUUUCGACGAGGAUUCAAAAGAGAACCCAAAGGAGGACCUUUCUGAGGCCUUACAGGUCGCUACGUAGCGACUGACAGUCUGACAGGUCGCUACGUAGCGAGUGGAAGCAAGCCGAGAAGAGUCCCACUUGUUUUCGUCGUAAAAUCUCAACGGAAACUCCGAUUGAGACGAAACGAAAAGCGUUUCGACGAGGAUUCAAAAGAGAACCCAAAGGAGGACCUUUCUGAGGCCUUCAGGUCGCUACGUAGCGACUGACAGUCUGACAGGUCGCUACGUAGCGAGUGGAAGCAAGCCGAGAAGAGUCCUACUUGUUUUCGUCGUAAAAUCUCAACGGAAACUCCGAUUGAGACGAAACGAAAAGCGUUUCGACGAGGAUUCAAAAGAGAACCCAAAGGAGGACCUUUCUGAGGCCUUACAGGUCCCUAUGUAGCGACUGACAGUCUGACAGGUCGCUACGUAGCGAGUGGAAGCAAGCCGAGAAGAGUCCUACUUGUUUUCGUCGUAAAAUCUCAACGGAAACUCCGAUUGAGACGAAACGAAAAGCGUUUCGACGAGGAUUCAAAAGAGAACCCAAAGGAGGACCUUUAUGAGGCCUUUACAGGUCGCUAUGUAGCGAGUGGAGAGUUGGUUUGAGCUCGGUCACUACGUAGCGACCGAGCAGUCUGUGUGCUCGCUCGGUCGCUACGUAGCGACCGAGCCGUGUGCGUGCUUCGGUCGCUACGUAGUGAUCGAGCAGCGUGUGUGCUCGGUCGCUACGUAGCGACCGAGCAGCGUGUGCGUGCUCGGUCGCUACGUAGCGACCGAGCAGCGUGUGUGCUCGGUCGCUAUGUAGCGACCGAGCAGCGUGCGUGCUCGGUCGCUACUUAGCAACCGAGCAGCGUGUGUGCUCGGUCGCUACGUAGCGACCGAGCCGUGUGCGUGCUCGUCGCUACGUAGCGACCGAGCAGCGUGUGCGUGCUCGGUCGCUACGUAGCGACCGAGCAGUGUGCAUGCUCGGUCGCUACGUUGCGACCGAGCUGUGUAAUCGUUUUGUUGGGUCUCCUUUUUCCGCGAUUAACGUAGGGGUUUUUCAGCGGUUUUUUUGGGAGAACAAGUUUUAUCCUUCCGAAAUGUUUUCGGAAAACGUGUUUUGGUAGAACCCUUACGCAUCGAGAUUUCUUUACGGGGUUUUGAUAAGAUUUAUCGUUUCCCUUCUUCUUUACAGGGAGAAAUCGCGAGCUUGUUUUAGUGUUCUUCCUGUGGCGGAAGGUCGCGACUAAGUUUUCGAUUUUGUUGAAAACUACGGCGUUUGCGUAAGCGUUGGCCAUAGGAGCAGUCAGUGCUGCGAGUUUGUCUUUCAUAUAUACAAACAUCGUUUCGAUCAAGCGUUUUGUGGCCAUGAGUAAGAGUAAUCCGUAACCCACCCCUCCUUCUAGCGCCAAACUGUGGGAACCGAAAUUCGCACUGUCGAUUUCCGUUUAAAUAAGGAAACUAGGAAAACCCUAAUUUCCCAGAGGUCCCGGAUCUCUGCGAGAGCCAACGACAAGUGAUCGAAUAUAUGCGGAAAUCAUGAAAAGAUAACAAACGAGUUUAGAGAAAACAGUAGAUCUUAUUUCGAGUCCGCGUAAGAGAGUUGCGAUCAUUACAAGAGAAUACAAAGGCUUUGGCCGCAGGGGCCGUCAGCGAGUUACUUAGUUCUAGCAACAUAAAACCCUAAUCCUAGUUGAGUCGCAGCUCGAUAACAAAGGACGACAAAGAUAUCUAAAAGGCUUAGAUUGAUUUCGGACUGAACCUUAUUAAAGGCUGCCUACGUACCCCUUUCGAGGAUCAAGCCGAACGUAGUUCAAUUGAUAGAGCUGGACAAGAGAUCGAACUGCCUGGGCGAGUUCGUCUAGUAAUUGAGUGCCAGUCAUAGAAACCGAACUUGUCGAGAAUAAGCCUAAAGUUUCUAAGUGCAGAGAAUUCCGAGUCUAAAAAGCUCUCCUCUUGCUCCUCGCCUAGGACUCCUUAUAUACUAGCUCCAAGGUCGGUUUACGCUUUUACUCUUCUGCCCUUAAGCCGUCAUGGCAUAAAAAUGGAGAUAUUCCAUUUUUCUCGAUCUUCACAAUUAUCUUCAAAACUUCCGUAUUUAUCCGCGGAAACUUGACAUUUAUCCUUCCUUGUGGACCAAGCGUAAACCAGGCUGUGGUUUACGGGCUUUUGGUUAGGAAAAUCAUAGGAUGGGCCUCGAGUCGUGUUUUAGGUCCCUUUGGGCCGUCUUCCGACUCGACACGUUUACUACGAGUUUUUCGCGGUUUCUAAUCCGCGAAGUUUGAUCGAUGAAUUAGAACGGCGGGAAACAUGGACUGAGCUUGCUACGGUCUUCGGGAGAUAGCAUUCGAAGGUUUUGACGAGAAUGCAAGAACUGGUGUCGUAUUGACGUUCGGAAAGGUUCAAUCGCUACACAGCGACCGAACUUUGGCUCGAGCCCGGUCGCUUCGUAGCGACCGAGCGGGACGAGCGCUCGGUCGCUACGUAGCGAACGAGCUUGGCUGAGCUCGGUCGCUACGUAGCGACCGAGCGGGACGAUCGCUCGGUCAAUACGUAGCGACCGAGCUUGGCUGAGCUCGGUCGCUACGUAGCGACCGAGAGGAACGAUUGCUCGGUCGCUACGUAGCGACCGAGCGGGACGAUCGCUCGGUCGCUAUGUAGCGACCGAGCGGGACGAUCGCUCGGUCGCUACGUAGCGACCGAGCGGGACGAUCGCUCGGUCGCUACGUAGCGACCGAGCGGGACGAUCGCUCGGUCGCUACUUAGCGACCGAGCGGGACGAUCGCUCGGUCGCUAUGUAGCGACCGAGCUUUGGCUCGAGCUCGGUCGCUACGUAGCGACCGAGCCGUGUGCAUGCUUGGUCGUAUCGAUCGAGCUUGGCUUGUCCGCGGUCUGAUUUCCAUACUCGAGCUUGUCCGCGGCCGAUUUGGAUACAUGUCUGUUGCCUUCGGACAAUCGGUAGUUAGUGGUUCGAUUGAGAUUUAGACGAUAUUUUACUGCAAGGCUGUUCGUAAAGAUAUCUUUACGAAGAUUACUUUUCGUAAAAACGGAUAUGCUGAUUUUUACGGACUUUCAGACAUUGAUUCCGUCGUAACCGAUUUUGACCCCAACAGCGUAAACCGUGCUGCGGUUUACAGGCUUUUGGUUAAGAAAUCGUAGGAUGGGCUGAUAUGAGUUCAGUACACGGAUCAGUACACGGAUCAGUACACGGACAGUCCACGGGAAGGCCUCGAGUCGUGUUUUAGGUUCCUUUGGGCCGUUUUCCGACUCGACACGUUUACUACGAAUUUUCCGCGGUUUCUAAUCCGCGAAGUUUGAUCGAUGAGUUAGAAUAGCGGAAAACAUGGACUGAGCUUGCUACGGUCUUCAGGAGAUAGUAUUCGAAGGUUUGAUGAGAAUGCAUGGAUUGGUGUCGUAUCGAUGUUCGGAAGGGUUCAAUCGCUAGACAGCGACCGAGCUUUGGCUCGAGCUCGGUCGGUACGUAGCGACCGAGCGGGACGAGCGCUCAGUCGCUACGUAGCGACCGAGCUUUGGCUCGAGCUCGGUCACUACGUAGCGACCGAGCGGGACGAGCGCUCGGUCGCUACAUAGCGACCGAGCGGGACGAGCGCUCGGUCGCUACGUAGCGACCGAGUUGGUCGGACGUUCGGUCGCUAUGUAGCGGCCGAUAUCGGCCCGUACUUGGUUGCUACGUAGCGACCGGACGGCGUGUAUGCGCGGUAAUUACGCAACGACCGAGUUUGAUUUGUUUGGUUUGAAUCUUCAAGGAUACUUCUUCGCAAAAACUUUGUAUUGGUUAUAUUUUACGAAAGUUGUAUCCUUCUUUUUACUAUCUCUUUCGGAAAUACGAUCUCUGAGGAUUUUCGGGUGGUAAUUCCGUCGUAACCAUUUUUAACCCCAACAGUUAGCCCCCCAGCCCGUUACGAUCAUGCAUCGUAGGAUCCUAGCGUGCGGUUAGGCAUGUUUGGCAAGUUAGGCGUGUUAGAGGGAAUUAAUAUUCGAAAAUCCGAGCUUGAAUAGUAAAUCCUCAUGCCUAUAAGAAGGGAGGUAACUUGUUUCAUAAUUUUUUCACUUUCUUGUCUUCUCAAAGUUUUUAGAGUGAAGAGAUCCUUUCAACUUUCUCUCUCUUAUUGUUGAGAUUUUUCCUUUUCCUCCUUGUUGAGAAUGUCUCAAGGGAUUUCGGGAAACGCUCGGCCUACUAUCUUCAAUCGCGGAACUGUCCGUGAUGGACGCAGUGAGGUUGUCCGAGAGAUCAAAUUCGUGGCACAUUCCGUUGAUCCCGCCGAGGCCGACGCAUAUUGGGUGGCUAUGUGCAAUGUGGAAGAACCGCCUCCCGAGCCGUGGGUUCCCAUGAGGCCUUUCUCGGAAAGGGUCGUUGGGAGACCGAGCAGGUGUACCCUUCCGUUUCUUGGAGCCGUACGCAGCUUCUGUCACGUUCCAGAAAACGUGGACUUUCGAUUACCCCUCGAGGGGGAGAGGGCUGACGAGCCUCCCGAAGGCUUUUUUACUUUGUACGAGGACCAUCUGAUGCGCGCUCGUUUAUGGUUUCCCAUUCCGUCGGUUUUAGUAGAGUUUCUGAACCGUUUGGACGUUUCGAUAAGUCAGAUUUCUCCCCGCGGUAUAAAGCAUCUCGUCGGGUUGCUAGUUUUGGGAUAUGAGCGAGGCAUGGAGCUCACUGCUGAUUAUCUCGAAGCUUUCCUUACCCUGUCUCGUGUUGGGACCGAUCGUCUGUAUGGUUUUAAACCGCGUAAUUUUAUGGAAGUCCUGAAAGGAUUCCCUCAAGGCGAUCGUGGAUGGAAGAGUUACUUUUUCUACGUUAGAUUGGAUCAAGCCUCGGUCGCCGCGGAGUGCCUUCCCUCGUUUAGGCGACUGUGGGGGGUAGGAGGUAACGUGUUGAAUAAUUGCUCGUUGUUUUCUUACCACCCGUUUUUUUUUUAUUCUUCCAUAUCUGAACUACGUCCAUUUUGCAGUACACAACCCCAUUCCUCCUUUUCCGGAAGAUUUGUGCAUCGUCCGAGACCUUCUCCGUGGUGGUCCGCUGUUUUGGGGUCAUUUCACUCCCGAGAGGGUCCGUGCGGCGGUCGGGGCUCACCAAUCUCAUUUCAGCUCAUCAAUUGAUAAUGUUAUGGGGGCUUCUUUUGAAGAUACCUCCUCGUCCGCUGUCUAUACCACUGGGCAGAGCAGCGGUCGAGGGUCGCUUGACGCUGACAAAGACGGAGAGUCGACCAUAGAGGAUCCUGUUUGGAUGGACUGAUCCUUUGUAUUGAUGGUUGAGUUCGAUUAUCAUUUUAUCUGUUUUCGGCCGAGUGUGGCCUUUUGAAUUUGGAUUUUGCUUAGGCCUAGACGGCCGUAUUUGUAUUUACCGGGACUGGCCGUUGGUGGCUUUGAAUCCCUUGCCGCCUUACGCGGUUUAUUUAUAUGAUGAAUUUUUCGUUUCUCGAAUUUUCCUGAGUAGGUUUGAAGUAAAUAUGAGUUGUCGUCUCAUUUUUAAUUCCGAUGGUACGUUCAAUCUGUUGGUUCGUUCGUGAUUUUCGUAAGAAUUACCUAUCUUUACAAUUUUCGAGAACAUUGAGAUACGAACGGAGAGACAUGGUUUAAGAUCUCGUAUCUUUUAGAUAUCAUGCCUUGAGAUGUUUGAGACCAGAGCGUUGGGUUUAGGGCAAGACCUAGGUUUACUUUCGGUUAAGGUUUGUGCGGUGACUAGCCGGCUAUCGUUUUUCCUGUUGCGAUUUCUUCCUGACUCGCACCGAUUUAAAGUCCGCGAUAUGUUCUCGGCUUAUAUGACUUGUAUGGUACGACUCGAGCAUCUUCUCAGAGUUAUCUGGAAGUGCUAAACCAAAAUUUCGGAUUUUUGUUGUAGCGCGCUUUUGUCCUUGUGCUGGACGUUUUGAAGAUCAAAAGAGUGAUCGAAUUGCGUUUGUUAAAGACGGCUAGCGUGUUCGUCGGGGCCAAUCGACGAACGGGGUGUAAGGUUUUGGUGGUCGCGUUCGGACAAUUUGUUAGUAUUAUCCUCGAAUUUUAACUUUUGCGACGUCUCGCAGUUAUUUCGAGGAUUGUACAUGUAUCUUUGAAUGUUUGAAAUAUGAUGAUUUUACGAUUUUUGGGCCGAAUGAGACCGCAGACAAAAGUCUUAAUGUUUCCAGGCGUGUCCUGAAAGUUUCUUUUAUGUUUUACUGAAGCGUAAGCGUUUUCGAUAAAAGGGACAACGUAUAUUUUAGUAAAAGUUUUUGGAUUUUCUAAAAACUCGAUUACAAUAAUGAAGAGUUUUCUAAGUGGGAGUAUACGAGUAUACGCACCCACUCCCCCCCCCCCUUUUUAGAGAGGGGGAUAGCUGAACUCGUCUUUUGACGAGCUGCCUACGUACCCCUUUCGAGGAUCAAGCCAUCUCGUAGUUCUGUUUCAUGCCGCGAGUGUUCUUACUCGGCGGUAGACGUCACGAUGUCCGCCGUGGCCAUGUCAAUCGUGGCUGGAUCAACGCUAUUUUCCGGAUGUUCCGGUUGAGUUGUAGCGUGGGCUUCGGACUUGUGUCGAGCUUCGACGUCCGAUGCGUUUGCGUCGGUAGACAAUUUUAACUCGUCUUUUCCUGGGGCGCUUUUGGCCGAAGAUCGGUCUAUCUUUGUGCGCUUGCCGUUUACAGCUGCAGAAGUCGUGAUUUGCCUUAACUUGUGCUAUGCGAGGAAGCAUAGCCGCGACUGUUUUUGGCAUCCCCAGAUGGCCGCGACUCCGCUUGGGGUUGGGAAUUUGAGACCCAGGUGGUAAGUUGACGGAACUGCCUGCAUGGCGUUGAGCCAUGGGGUUCCCAUGAUCACGUUGUAGAUAGCAGGAUGAUCGACUACCGCGAACUCGACGAUUUUCGUGAUCUCCUUGUCCAUGACUGGCAAUUGGAUCGAUCCAAGAGUCAUCGAUACUUCGCCUGAAAAACCCGUGAGUGGUUUCGGCGUCGGAAUUACUUCUCUGAGUUUGAUACUCAUCCGCUUGAGAGUGUUGCGGAAGAUUACGUUGACCGUGCUUCCCGUAUCGACGAGUACCCUUCCGACUUCUAAAUCUCGUAUGACGAGAUCUAUGACGAGCGGGUCGCAGUAAGGUUGGUCGAUACCGCCAGCUUCUUCCUUUGUUAAGGUGAUCGAGCAAUUUUGGCCAUCUCGAGGGGGAGACCAUGUAGGCCAAUUUGCACUCGACUCUGCCUUCCGUUGGUAAGCCUUGAUGGCCGACACAGUAUCGCCGCAGUAUUGUGAUCCUCCGAUGAUCAUAUUGACUCUGCGACGAUUGUUAUCGUUUCCCUUGUCGUCUGGCCUCCUACCGCGUUUAUCCCCAGGCUGGUUUCGUUGAUGGGAUUUUUCAGCUGGCGGAUUUCUAUCCGUCUUUGGAGGGCGAUCAUAAUCGACGAUGAGAUCCUUGACGCUAGUUACUUCCGAGAGCUCUCCAGCGAGUAGCUUCGCGGCCAGUCUUGCUCCCAAGACUUUGCAGUUGGUCGUGGAGUGUCCUCGGGAUUGGUGGAACUCUCAGAAGGUGUUUUCGUCAUACCCUUGAUUGCGAGUCCAUGUGUUGCCCGUGGUCCGGCCCUGAUCCGAAUUAAUCGCAUAGUUAUGCGCCCCCUGGAGAUCUUCCCCCUCGUGAUGGACGUACUUGUCGUUACGAGAGUUCUUCUUUUUCCCUUUCGGAUCCACGUCUUUCGAGGAUGGGCUUACCGCCUUAUGUUUUUGUGAUAAGACUUUAGUUUCCUCCUCUACUAUGAUGUAGUCCGUUGCUUUGUGGAGGGCGUCCUGGAUUGUUCGUGGUUUGUCGAGAGUUAUCCACUUUCUGAAUUUCGACUUGUACCAGAGCGUCUUUCUCAGCGCGUCGAUGGCUACUUUGUCGCUUAUCCCACUGACCCUUGACAUUAUCAGCUUGAACCGACUGAUAAACUCUCGGAGGGGUUCGUCUUCCCUCUGGGAGAGACUCCAGAGAUCAACAUUGGAAGUUUCUCUGUCUAUGAAUACAGAGUAUUGUUUGAGAAAUUCCGAUGCGAGCUGUCGGAAACUCCCGAUGGUGUUGCGACGAAGGCGUGCGAACCAUUCGAGCGCUGCUCCUUCAAGAUUUUCGACAAAUAGGCGGCAAUAGCCGGCAUCUUUUUCGCCGUCCUUCAGUCUUGCUCUUCCCAUCGCGAUGUGGAAAGCCUGAAGGUGCGCUUUUGGAUCGGCCGUACCAUCGUACUUCGGUACAUUGAUUUUUCCCGGAUCGGACACCCUCAUGUCUGAAAUGCGACUGGUAAAGGGGGUCUUUCGAGCUCCAUCUAGCAGUCGAUCGAUCUCGGGGGCAGCACAAGUACAUGAUGGAUUUGAAACUUUAGGGCUCUCACUUCUGCCGCAGUCUUGGUGAUGUAGUCGCGAAGAUCGCGGAUAUCCGAUGUCUCGUCAGUGGAUUUCCGAGCUUGUCGGCGUUUACUGCGAGUGAGCUCGGUUUGCUUUUCAGCCAGCUCCUCUUGUUCGUUCCAAUAGGCGACUUCCUCUUCUUCCGUCAUUGGUUUUUCGAACGGGGAGCCUUCCCGAGCGGACCGGCUUCUGGUCCUUCUUGGAUGUUUAUUGACGUCUUCGUCGGUGUCGUUGGAGACAUCGCUAGGAUCCAGGUCAAUGUGCUCGGCUUCGUUAUCCUCCGAGUCCUUUGCAGGGGGCGGAAGACUUUCAGGGUUCACCUUUUCGAUGGGAGAUUUCUCGCUAGGGUUUUGUCCGGAAGGUCGCUCCCGCGCGACUCCUGAUCUGUCGAGUGGGGUAGCGAAGUCGAGCCUCUUUCCGCAGAUUUUGGUGGUUCCGCGGGGACGGAUUGCUUGGGUCCUUGCCGUUAAGGUUUCAACCUGUUUGGUCAUAGUAUUCACGAGCUUAUCCUGUUCUUCCGACCUUUUCUCAUAGGUGGCGAACAUCUUUUUAAACUCCUCGAGAGUUGCGGCGUUGGCUUGUGCGUUGGCCGCGGAUACGUCCACUACUGGAGUGUGGAGAUCGGUGCCGCUGCCUCCGUUAAGAGGGGUUUGCACGUUAUCCGCAUCGUUAUUUGACAUGUAUGAUUGAGAGUAAUGUGGCUUUUGCGGGUUAGAUUGAUCCGUACCCCCCCCCCUCCUUCUAGUGCCAAACUGUGGGAACCGAUAUUCGCACUGUCGAUUUCCGUUUAAAUAAGGAAACUAAGAAAACCCUAAUUUCCCAGAGGACCCGGAUAUCUGCUAAUUACCACACGUCAAGCAAUCUGAACACGAGAAUAACAACGAUAAAGUAUAAGAAAUCGAAAUAGAGAGCAAAGAAGAUCUUAUUUCCAAAUUUGCGUAUGAUCGUUUACAACAAGGUAUAAGCCUGGGCUCGAGAGCUGUCGGCAAGAUUCAUAGUUCUAGCAACCCUAUGACGGCUAAACCUAAUUGAGUCGCAGCUCGAAAUAACAAAAACGGAAAAAUGCCUAAAUCGCUAUAAGUGCUAAGUUUGCUCUGAAAAAGUUCUCCCCCACGCUCCUCGCCUAGGACUCCUUAUAUACUAGCUCCAAGGUCGGUUUACGCUUUUACUCUUCUGCCCUUAAGACGUCAUAGCAUAAAAAUGGAGAUAUUUCAUUAUCCCGAUCUUCACAAUUAUCUUCAAAACUUCCGUAUUUAUCCGUGGAAACUUGACAUUUAUCCUUCCUUGUGGACCAAGCGUAAACCGUGCUGCGGUUUACGGGCUUUUGGUUAAGAAAUCAUAGGAUGGGCCUCGAGUCGUGUUUUAGGUUCCUUUGGGCCGUUUUCUGACUUGACAGUUUACUACGAAUUUUCCGCGGUUUCUAAUCCGCGAAGUUUGAUCGAUGAGUUAGAAUAGCGGAAAACAUGGACUGAUCUUGCUACGGUCUUCGGGAGAUAGUAUUCGAAGGUUUGACGAGAAUGCAUGGAUUGGUGUCGUAUCGAUGUUCGGAAGGGUUCAAUCGCUACACAGCGACCGAGCUUUGGCUCGAGAUCGGUCGGUACGUAAAAAGAAGGAUACAACUUUCGUAAAAUAUAACCAAUACGAAGUUUUUGCGAAGAAGUAUCCUUGAAGAUUCAAACCAAACAAAUCAAGCUCGGUCGUUGCGUAAUUACCGCGCAUACACGCCGUCCUUUCGCUACGUAGCAACCAAGUCCGGGCCGAUAUCGGCCGCUACAUAGCGACCGAACGUCCGACCCACUCGGUCGCUACGUAACGACCGAGCUCGAGCCAAAGCUUGGUCGCUACGUAGCAACCAAGUCCGGGCCGAUAUCGGCCGCUACAUAGCCAAAGCUCGAGCUCGCUCGUUACGUAGCGACCGAGUGGGUCGGACGUUCGGUCGCUAUGUAGCGGCCGAUAUCGGCCCGAACUUGGUUGCUACGUAGCGACCGGACGGCGUGUAUGCGCGUUAAUUACGCAACGACCGAGCUUGAUUUGUUUGGUUUGAAUCUUCAAGGAUACUUCUUCGCAAAAACUUCGUAUUGGUUAUAUUUUACGAAAGUUGUAUUAUUUUUUUACUAUCUCUUUCGGAAAUACGAUCUCUGAGGAUUUUUGAGUGGUAAUUCCAUCGUAACCGUUUUUAACCCCAACAAAUAGAUGAUAAGAAAAUGAAACAAGGAGUUCCAAUCACAAGUGAUCUUCUCUCCAAAUGAAACUUGUAACAAAACUAUGUCUAGAAAAGAAAAAGCUCUCCCUGCCGUCAAACACUUAGGCAGUAUAUAUUCUACUAGGUUAAAAACUUGUCAGGGCACUUUGGUAAUUUAGCUUGGCCUAGGUAUUUAGUCUGCUGAAUCCAAAAUGUCGCGUCUGGUGUCUCGACAUCGAUCGACGGUACUUGUGAACAUCGAUCGAUAUUAAUCUUCAUCUGUCGAGGCAUUUCUUGAUAUCGAUCGUCAGCACUGAUGCGCAUCGAUCGAUUAUUCUUCCUCUCGUCGACCUCUAAGUGGUCAGCUCGGGUGAAAUGUCCUUUAUGCUCCAAAAUGCUCCAAAGUCAUAGCUUUACUCCGAAAUGCACCUGAACCUGAAUACAUACCUAGAAGAGUAGAAAAUAGAGAUAUAUAUAUAGUAAUAUAAUAAUAUACCAUGGAUAAAAAUGGGUCAAAUCCAAGGUAUAUCAACUCCCCCAGACUUACCCUUUUGCUUGUCCUCAAGCAAAACAUACAGGCAGUUUCUCUGAAAGAGGUUUGAAAAUAUUUGGGAACUUAAGAUUUUAAAAACAUAGAAAUCUUUCCUCAACAAUUUUGCAACCACAUUUAAAAAGUCCUAAUCACAAAAGCACACUAUGCAAUAUCCUAGCUUAGCAACCAUUUCUAACAUAACACAACUCAUCAAUUCACGUCUGACAUCUCCUCUACUGAUUUCAUUUCUUAGCAUAAAUAUAAAGUGAAUGCUUUACCUUGGGAGUAUCGAUCACAGGAUGCAAGAAUUUCAGACAGGUAUCUGGAGCUGCAGGUAAAAAAGCUAGUUCCUAGUUUCUCUCUCUCUAAAUUUCUCUCUUGAGUCAAAGUCUGCUUCCAUUGCAGGAUCAGUGACCAAGAUUGGACAGGCUUCCAUGAAUCAAAACUUAAUGGUGGUUGCCACCAAGUAAUGUUCACUUCUUUUUGACCUAUAUCCAAGAGUUCUUUGCGAAAGCGAGGCUUGAAGAUUGCCGCCUCCAAGUCUCGUUUCAAACUCUUUUAUUUGAGUCUUUAUGAAUCAAGCCUUAAUGGUUUUAGCCACCAAGUCCUGUUUAGACUCAUCCUAAUUAAACAAUAGAUCUUGUUGGGGUCAAAAAUGGUUACGACGGAAUUACCACCCGAAAAUCCUCGGAGAUCGUAUUUCCAAAAAAAGAUAGUAAAAGGAGAGAUGUAAUUUUCGUAAAAAUAACCAAUACGAAGUUUUUACGAAGAAGUAUCCUUUGGGUUUCAAACCGAACAAACCAAGCCCGGUCACCACGCAUACACGCCGUCCGAUCGCUAUGCAGCAACCAAACUUGAGCCAAGCUCGGUCGCUACGUAGCGACCGAGCGAUCGUCCCGCUCGGUCACUACGUAGCGACCGAGCUCGAGCCAAAGCUCGGUCGCUACGUAGCGACCGAGCCCGAGCCAAAGCUCGGUCGCUACGUAUCGACCGAGCGAUCGUCCCGCUCGGUCGCUACGUAGCGACCGAGCUCGAGCCAAAGCUCGGUCGCUACGUAGCGACCGAGCGAUCGUGCCGCUAAGUCGCUACGUAGCGACCGAGCGAUCGUCCCGCUCGGUCGCUACGUAGCGACCGAGCGAUCAUCCCGCUCGGUCGCUACGUAGCGAUCGUCCCGCUCGGUCGCUACGUAGCAACCGAGCUCAACCAAGCUCGGUCACUACGUAGCGACCGAGCGAUCGUCCCGCUCGGUCGCUACGUAGUGACCGAGCUCGAGCCGAAGCUCGGUCGCUACGUAGCGACCGAGCGAUCGUCCCGCUUGGUAGGCUACGUAGCGACUGAGCUUUGGCUCGAGCUCGGUCGCUACAUAGUGACCGAGCGAUCAUCCCGCUCGGUCGCUACGUAGCGACCGAGCCCGAGCCAAAGCUCGGUCGCUACGUAGCGACCGAGCGAUCGUCCCGCUCGGUCGCUACGUAGCGACCGAGCUCAGCCAAGCUCGGUCGCUACAUAGCGAUCGAACGAUCGUCCCGCUCGGUCGCUACGUAGCGACCGAGCGAUCGUCCCGCUCGGUCGCUACGUAGCGACCGAGCUCGAGCCAAAGCUCGGUUGCUACGUAGCGACCGAGCGAUCGUCCCGCUCAGUCGCUACGUUGCGACCGAGCUCAAGCCAAAGCUCGGUCGCUACAUAGCGACCGAGCACUCGUCUCGCUCGGUCGCUACGUAGCGACCGGGCUCGAGCCAAAGUUCGGUCGCUGUGUAGCGAUUGAACCUUUCCGAACAUCAAUACGACACCAAUCCUUGCAUUCUCGUCAAACCUUCGAAUGCUAUCUCCCGAAGACUGUAGCAAGCUCAGUCCAUGUUUCCCGCUAUCCUAAUUCAUCGAUCAAACUUCGCGGAUUAGAAACCGCAGAAAAUUCGUAGUAAACGUGUCGAGACGGAAGACGGCCCAAAGAGACCUAAAACACGACUCGAGGCCCAUCCUACGAUUUUCUAACAAAAAGCCCGUAAACCACAGCAUGGUUCAUGCUUGGCCCACAAGGAAGGAUAAAUGUCAAGUUUCCGCGGAUAAAUACGGAAGUUUUGAAGAUAAUUGUGAAGAUCGGGAAAAAUGGAAUAUCUCCAUUUUUAUGCUAUGACGGCUUAAGGGCAGAAGAGUAAAAGCGUAAACCGACCUUGGAGCUAGUAUAUAAGGAGUCCUAGGCGAGAAGCAAGAGAGGAGAACUUUUUCCAGAGCAAACUUAGCACUUAGAGCAAUUUAGGCAAUUUUCCGUUUUUGUUAUUUCGAGCUGCGACUCAAUUAGGUUUAGCCGUCUUAGGGUUGCUAGAACUAGGAAUCUCGCCGACAGCUCUCGAGCCCAGGCUGAUACCUUGUUGUAACGCUCAUACGCAGAUUCGGAAUAAAGAUCUACUUUGCUCUCUUUUCGAUUUUUUAUUUUUAUCGUUGUUAUUCUCGUGUUCUGAUUGUUUGACGUGUGGUAAUUAACAGAUAUCCGGGUCCUCUGGGAAAUUAGGGUUUUCCUAGUUUCCUUACUUAAACGGAAAUCGACAGUGCGAAUUUCGGUUCCCACAGUUUGGCGCUAGAAGGAGGGAGACUUACGGAUCAAUCUAACCCGCAAAAGCCACACACAAUCUGACAUGUCAACCAACGACGCGGAUAACGUGCAAACUCCUCUUAAUGGAGGCAGCGGCACCGAUCUCCACACUCCAAUAGCGGACGUAUCCGCGGCCAACGCGCAAGCCAACGCCGCGACGCUCGAGGAGUUCAAAAAGAUGUUCGCCACCUAUGAGAAAAGGUCGGAAGAACAGGAUAAGCUCGUGAAUACCUUGACCAAACAGGUUGAAACCUUAACGGCAAGGACCCAAGCUAUCCGUCCCCGCGGAACCACCAAAAUCCGCGGGAAGAGGCUCGACUUCGCCACCCCACUCGAUAGAGCAGGACUCGCGCGGGAACGACCUUCCGGUCAAAACCCUAGCGAGAAAUCUCCCGUCGAAAAGGGGAACCCUGAAAAUCUUCCGCCCCCUGCAAAGGACUCGGGGAUAACGAAGCCGAACACAUUGACCUGGAUCCUAGCGAUGUCUCCAACGACACCGACGAGGAUGUCGACAGACAUCCAAGAAGGACCAGAAGCCGAUCCGCUCGGGAAGGCUCCCCGUUCGAAAAACCAAUGACGGAAGAAGAAGAAGUCGCCUAUUGGAACGAACAAGAGGAGCUGGCCGAAAGGCAAACCGAGCUCACUCGCAGUAAACGCCGACAGGCUCGGAAAUCUACUGACGAGACAUCGGAUAUCCGCGAUCUUCGCGACUACAUCACUAAGACUGCGGCAGAAGUGAGAGCCGUAAAGUCUCAAAUCCAUCAUGCUACUAGUGCUGCCCCCGAGAUCGAUCGACUGCUGGAAGGAGCUCGAAAGACCCCCUUUACCAGUCGCAUUUCGGACAUGAGGGUGUCCGAUCCGGGAAAGAUCAAAGUACCAAAGUACGAUGGUACGGCCGAUCCAAAAGCGCACCUUCAGGCUUUCCACAUCGCGAUGGGAAGAGCAAGACUGAAGGACGGCGAAAAAGAUGCCGGCUAUUGCCGCCUGUUCGUCGAAAAUCUCGAAGGAGCAGCGCUCGAAUGGUUCGCACGCCUUCGUCGCAACACCAUCGGGAGUUUUCGACAGCUCGCAUCGGAAUUCCUCAAACAGUACUCUGUAUUCAUAGACAGAGAAACCUCCGAUGUUGACCUCUGGAGUCUCUCCCAGAGGGAAGACGAACCCCUCCGCGAGUUUAUCAGUCGGUUCAAGCUGAUAAUGUCCAGGGUCAGCGGGAUAAGCGACAAAGUGGCCAUCGACGCGCUGAGAAAGACGCUCUGGUACAAGUCGAAAUUCAGAAAAUGGAUAACUCUCGACAAACCGCGAACGAUCCAGGACGCCCUCCACAAAGCAACGGACUACAUCAUAGUCGAGGAAGAAACUAAAGUCUUAUCGCAAAAACAUAAGCCGGCAAGACCAUCCUCGAAAGACGCAGAUCCGAAGGGGAAAAAGAAGAACUCUCGUAACGACAAGUACGUCCAUCACGAGGGGGAAGAUCUCCAAGGGGCGCAUAACUAUGCGAUCAAUUCGGAUCAAGGCCGGACCACGGGCAACACAUGGACUCGCAAUCAAGGGUAUGACGAAAACACCUUCUGCGAGUUCCACCAAUCCCGAGGACACUCCACGACCAAUUGCAAAGUCUUGGGAGCAAGACUGGCCGCGAAGCUACUCGCUGGAGAGCUUUCGGAAGUAACUAGCGUCAAGGAUCUCAUCCUCGAUUCUGAUCGGCCUCCAAAGACGGAUAGAAAUCCGCCCGCUGAAAAAUCCCCUCAACGAAACCAACCUGGGGAUAAACGCGGUAGGAGGCCGGAUGACAAAGGGAACGAUAACAAUCGUCGCAGAGUCAAUAUGAUCAUCGGAGGAUCACAAUACUGCGGCGAUACCGUGUCGGCCAUCAAGGCUUACCAACGGAAGGCAGAAUCAAGUGCAAAUUGGCCUACAUGGUCUCCUCCUCGAGACGGCCAAAGUUGCUCGAUCACCUUCACAGAGGAAGAAGCCGGCGGUAUCGACCAACCUCACUGCGACCCGCUCGUCAUAGAUCUCGUCAUACGAGAUUUAGAAGUCGAAAGGGUACUCGUCGACACGGGAAGCACGGUCAACGUAAUCUUCCGCGACACUCUCAAGCGGAUGAGUAUCGAACUCGGAGAAGUAAUUCCGACGCCAAAACCACUCACGGGUUUUUCAGGCGAAGUGUCGAUGACUCUCGGAUCAAUCCAAUUGCCAGUCAUGGCCAAGGAGAUCACGAAAAUCAUCGAAUUCGCGGUAGUCGAUCAUCCCGCUAUCUACAACGUGAUCAUGGGAACCCCAUGGCUCAACGCCAUGCAGGCAGUUCCGUCAACUUACCACCUGGGUCUCAAGUUCCCAACGCCGAGCGGAGUCGCGGCCAUCUGGGGAUGCCAAAAACAGUCGCGACUAUGUUUCCUCGCGGAGCACAAGUUAAGGCAAAUCAUGGCUUCUGCAACUGCAAACGGCAAACGCGCGAAGAUAGAUCGAUCUUCAGCCAAAAGCGUCCCGGUAAAAGACGAAUUAAAAUCGUCUACCGACGCAAACGCAUCGGACGUCGAAGCUCGACAUAAAUCCGAAGCCCACGCGACAACUCAACCGGAAAAUCCGGAAAAUAGCGUCGACCCAGCCACGAUCGACAAGGUCAAGGCGGACAUCGCGACAUCUACCGCCGAGUAAGAACACUCGUGGCAUGAAACAGAACUACGAGAUGGCUUGAUCCUCGAAAGGGGUACGUAGGCAGCUCGUCAAAAGACGAGUUCAGCUAUCCCCCUCUCUAAAAAGGGGGGGGGAGUGGGUGCGUAUACUCGUAUACUCCCACUUAGAAAAAUCUUCAUUAUUGUAAUCGAGUUUUUAGAAACUUCAAAAACUUUUACAAUAUACGUUGUCCUUUUUAUCGAAAACGCUUACGCUUCAGUAAAACAAAAAGAAACUUUCAGGACACGCCUGAAAACAUUAAGACUCUUAACGCUUGCCUGCGGCCUCAUCCGGCCCAAAAAUCGUAAAGAUUAUCAUCUUUCAAACACGCAAUACAAAAAUACACGUAUAAUCCUCGAAAUAACUGCGAGACGUCGCAAAAGUUAAAAUUCGAGGACAAUGCUAACAAAUUGUCCGAACGCGACCACCAAAAACCUUACACCCCGUUCGUCGAUUGGCCCCGACGAACACGCCAGCCGUCUUAAACAAACGCAAUUCGAUCACUCUUUUGAUCUUUAAAAACGUCCAGCACAAGGACAAAAGCGCGCUACAACAAAAAUCCGAAAUUUUGGUUUAGCACUUCCAGUUGAUUCUGAGAAGAUGCUCGAUUCGUACCACACAAGUCAUAUAAGCCGAGAACAUAUCGCGGACUUUAAAUCGGUGCGAGUCAGGAAGAAAUCGCAACAUGAAAAACGAUAGCCGGCUAGUCACCGCACAAACCUUAACCGAAAGUAAACCCAGGUCUUGCCCUAAACCCAACGCUCUGGUCUCAAACAUCUCAAGGCAUGAGAUCUAAAAGAUACGAGAUCCUAAACCAUGUCUCUCCGUUCGCAUCUCAAUGUUCUCAAAAAUCGUAAAGAUGAGUAAAUUUUUACGAAAAUCAUGAACGAACCAACAGAUUGAACGUCUAAUCAGAACUAAAUAUGAGACGACAACUCGUAUUUACUUCAACCCUACUAAGGAAAACUCGAAACGAAACUUUCAUCAUAUAAAUAAACCGCAUAAAGCGGCAAGGGAUUCAAAGCCACCAACGGCCAGUCCCGGUAAAUACAAAUACGGCCAUCUAGGCCUAAACAAAAUCCAAAUUCAUAGGGCCACACUCCGCCGAAAACAGAUAAAAGGAUAACUAAUCCACCCCUCAUAAUCCAAAGUCAAAGUCCCCGGACAACGAAGCACCGAACGCAUCCGCGGGAUGAUCCCCUUCCUCGCCACCAUCGGGAAACCCGGUCGGAACCUCCUCGGUAUCAGGGGAAACCGGGAUGGAAUCCCAGAACCCUUGAAUCCGCUCGUCGAUCAGAGAGAUAAGCGCCUCAGCAUGGGCACGUUCAUUCAUCCCACUCUUCAUCAAGCUCAUUUCCUCUUCAAACACAUAGUCAUCGGCUCACGUCCUCCAAAGACUUCCGACCGAACCGCGGCACUCGCGAAAGUCACCCACCGAGGUAAAGGCAUUCUUGAGGUUCCCAUACUCAACCUGGAAUUGAGAGGCACGAGUCUUCAUAACCUCGACGAUUUCUCUUUUGCCUUUCCUCUCCGCCUGACGAACAGCCCGCGCAUGAUCACGAGAAAGUUGCGCCUCUCGCUCCAACAUCUCGCCUUGCACGCGAGAGAGAUCCCACUCCGCUUUCUCCGCUUUGAAGCGGUAGACCAUGGCUUCUCUAUGGCCCGCCUCAAUGGCCGAGCCCAGCAAGCUCAGGCCCUGCAAAAUCGAUUGACAUGUUAUAGAUAUAUAUACAUAGGACAAUCACCAAAAAAAAAUAAUUCUCAAAAAACUAACCCCAUUGAUGAUGCGAGAUCCUUCCGCAACGACUCUCGGCCUCGCCGAUUCUUUCGUAGGAGGAGGAGCAUCGAAACCCGGUGGCAGUCCAGCAAAGAAAUCAUCGAAAUCUGGAAUAGGGGCCUCGCUCGAACCACUCCCAUCACCGUAAGCAAGGUUCGGAUCCCAUCCUGGAAGCAUAGAGUCAUCCAUCGAAAAUUCUAUGUCGCCAAGAUCGACGUCUUUUCCCUUCCAAGAGCUCGACUCCGGCACAGCUUUUGGAGCUUCGACGGGAUUCUGGUCGUCAGGUUCGGAGUCGCUUCCCGUGUUCGCAGGCGAAGCAGGACCGGGUUGCACGAAUCUCAAUGCCCUCCGAACCCUCUUCGGCGUAAAAGAAGUCCAGAAGAAAGGACCGUUCCUGAGAAGAUCCCUCACCGCAAUGAUGUCCUCGGGGAACGGAGCAAGAGGGUUGAUGAAGGGACGAUCAUUCGGCAACCUCCGGAACAGUGGAAUGCAACUCUCUUCGACGGACGCAGCGUCUAUACGAACAAAGAAAAAGAACUUCUUCCACGAGUUGAAGUUCGAAAUGAACUUCUUAACCACUGACAUAAAUUUCCGAGGGACCAACCUAUGCUUAUCCGUAUCCGUGACAAGUUGAAGCCUCAAAAGCGCUUCAUAAUGAUCUACGGAAAGGGAAAGGCCAUGCUCGUAGCUUAGGAUCAGGAUCCCAAUAAGAUGCUGAAUGGCAAGGGGAGUCAACUGACUUAUCGCAACUUCGAAACGAUCCAACACUCGGACGAGAAUUUCGGGUAUGGGGAACCAUAGGCGACAACGCACUAUGAACGCCUCAUAGCAAGUAAAGUAACCCUCCGGGGGGCUGUUAGCACAUUCCCCGCGGCGGGGAACCCGGAACUCCACAGCAUCCAGGACAUGGUAGAACGAUCGCAUCAUCGCAAGAAACUCGUCGGUAGUCCUGCUUGCAUCCUCUUCCUCGACUCCACGAUGGACCAGGACCGGGAACGGCUUCUCCUUGGGAGGGGUCAACGAGCCAUAAUGAGCAACCCACCAUGCCUCGUUCUCGGCAGGAUGCACCGAGUGAGGCACGAACUCCAUCUUCGGAACGAUGAGCGUUUCAUAAGGACUCGCGGACGAAGACCCUUUUUUCGCAAUCGUUUUCUUGCUCGACAUCUUUACACUUCUCUUGAGAGAAUAGAGGAAAAGGGUGGAGAGAAAGAUAGAAAGUUUUUCUUAAGAAAGAUCUUAGAGAAAGACAAGAAAGUGAAAAAAUUAUGGAACAAGUUACCUCCCUUCUUAUAGACAUGAGGAUUUACUAUUCAAGCUCGGACUUUCGGAUAUUAAUUCCAUCCAUCACGCAUAACUUGCCAAACAUGCCUAACCGCACGCUAGGAUCCUACGAUGCAUGAUCCUAACGGGCUGGGGGGCUAACUGUUGGGGUCAAAAACGGUUACGACGGAAUUACCACCCGAAAAUCCUCGGAGAUCGUAUUUCCAAAAAAGAUAGUAAAAUGAGAGAUGUAAUUUUUGUAAAAAUAACCAAUACGAAGUUUUUACGAAGAAGUAUCCUUGGGAUUCAAACCGAACUAACCAAGCCCGGUCACCACGCAUACACGCUGUCCGAUCGCUAUGCAGCAACCAAACUUGAGCCAAGCUCGGUCGCUACGUAGCGACCGAGCGCUCGUCCCGCUUGGUCGCUACGUAGCGACCGAACUCGAGCCAAGCUCGGUCGCUACGUAGCGACCGAGCGAUCGUCCCGCUAGGUCGCUACGUAGCGACCGAGCUCGAGCCAAAGCUCGGUCGCUAUGUAGCGACCGAGCGAUCGUCCCGCUCGGUCCGAUCGCUCGGUCGCUACAUAGCGACCGAGCUCGAGCCAAAGCUAGGUCGCUACGUAGCGACCGAGCGAUCGUCCCACUCGGUCGCUACGUAGCGACCGAGCUCAAGCCAAAGCUCGGUCGCUACGUAGCGACCGAGCACUUGUCUCGCUCGGUCGCUACGUAGCGACCGGGCUCGAGCCAAAGUUCGGUCGCUGUGUAGCGAUUGAACCUUUCCGAACAUCGAUACGACACCAAUCCUUGCAUUCUCGUCAAACCUUCGAAUUCUAUCUCCCGAAGACCUUAGCAAGCUCAGUCCAUGUUUCCCGCUAUCCUAAUUCAUCGAUCAAACUUUGCGGAUUAGAAACCGCGAAAAAGUCGUAGUAAACGCGUCGAGACGGAAGACGGCCCAAAGAGACCUAAAACACGACUCGAGGCCCAUCCUAUGAUUUUCCUAACAAAAAGCCCGUAAACCACAGCAUGGUUCACGCUUGGCCCACAAGGAAGGAUAAAUGUCAAGUUUCCGUGGAUAAGUACGGAAGUUUUGAAGAUAAUUGUGAAGAUCGGGAAAAAUGGAAUAUCUUCAUUUUUAUGCUAUGACGGCUUAAGGGCAGAAGAGUAAAAGCGUAAACCGACCUUGGAGCUAGUAUAUAAGGAGUCCUAGGCGAGAAGCAAGAGAGGAGAACUUUUUCCAGAGCAAACUUAGCACUUAGAGCAAUUUAGGCAAUUUUCCAUUUUUGUUAUUUCGAGCUGCGACUCAAUUAGGUUUAGCCGUCUUAGGGUUGCUAGAACUAGGAAUCUCGCCGACAGCUCUCGAGCCCAGGCUGAUACCUUGUUGUAACGCUCAUACGCAGAUUCGGAAUAAAAAUCUACUUUGCUCUCUUUUCGAUUUCUUAUUUUUAUCGUUGUUAUUCUCGUGUUCUGAUUGCUUGACGUGUGGUAAUUAACAGAUAUCCGGGUCCUCUGGGAAAUUAGGGUUUUCCUAGUUUCCUUAUUUAAACGGAAGUCGACAGUGCGAAUUUCGGUUCCCACAGAUCUUAUUUAUUUUUUUUUUAAUAUUAUUUUUUAUUUUUAUUAUUAUUAUUAUAUAUAUAUAUAUUUUUUUUUAGCAGAACUAAUCUAGGGUCGAAAUCUAGAGAGAGAAAAUGUGAUAAAUAAUCUAAACCAGACGUUACCUUCCAGACCUAUCUGAAGAAUCCGAUCCCAUGUAUACAAAACCCCAAGACAAGCGGUUAUGUCAGGUUUAGUGUUGGAAAUCAGCUUUGGUUACUUCAUACGGUUCUAGGCAAGUGUUUAGUUGAUAGGUUGAUCUGCAUUAGCAUCUUUAGUGCUAUCAGUAAAUCUAAAAUGGUGCUACAGAUUGGUUAGAUAUUCAUGUUUAAACCAAUAUAAGAUUAUAGUCCCUAUUUUCAAUAGCUAAGCAUAAUUUAUUUGAAAUUCCUUUUUACGUAAGAAUAAAAUAAGUUAUAUCAGUAAAUCUCCCCCCAGACUUAAAUUACACUGUCCCAGUGUAACUCAGCCGGAGUUAUGAUGAAAAGUGUAUGAUGUACGAAAUGUAACAAGUAGGUAAGAUACAUCUGACCGGAUUAAAUAUCGAUCGAUGGGUAAGUGUUACAUCGAUCGUCGUGUGGUUGCCUAUGUCGAACGAUGUCGACGUCUCGUCGUCGGUCGAUAUUCAAGUCCUCCUACUUGGUUCUCCUAAAUCUGAAAGAGAUAAAACGAAAAAAAAUUAAAUGCUAGCUAAUAAAACCAAAGUAAAAUACCUAAUAGUGGGUUGCCUCCCACUCAGCGCUUGGUUAUAGUCAUUUAGCUUGACUGUGGUAGUGAUUGGCUAUUGGGUGGAGAAGCAGCUGCUUGUUGGAAAGCAAGCAUCCACGUCAUCUCUGCGCAUUCUGGACCAUGAUGCAAUGAAACUUCUUGUGGCCUCAUCAUUUCUUGUCCAUUUGUCAUCCAUCUUCCCAAGUACAUUGGAGAUGUUCUGUAGCCUUUCUUGAAUGUUGUCAAUGCUGACCUGGUGCCACCCUAUGUUGUCAUAGGCGUAUGCUGAAAGAUCUGUCAGUUCCUUUUGCAUUGACUCUACUGCCUUGUGUAUCAGCUGCUCGCCGAUUGGUAUAGACUCGGCAUCGAUCGAUGUGAUUAUGUGGUCGUUGGUCGAUCUCGGUGAGUUGCCGUCGAUCGAUUUUGCUUUUGUCCUGGCGAUCGAUGCUGAUAUCUGAUGUGGAGCUGCGAGUUGCCUCUGAAUGGCUUUGACUUCUUUCUGUAGCCAUUCUGCGUGGUUGUCUAGUCCACUGGUUUUGUUGUCGAAUGGAAAGUAGAUGUCAUCACAGCGUUUGUCAAGUCGUUCCUCCAUGGUGUCUAGAGCAGUGUAGAUCUUGGAUGUGAUCUUGUCAACCUCUGCUGCUGUGUAAGGAAGUAACUCCACAGGUUUCUUGCCAUCGAUCCAGGGUCCUCUUAGCCUGUCGAUCGAUGCUGAUUUUACCUGCAAAAAACUUUGAUUAGUAAUGUUCUCAAUAUCCUUUUGGCAUCAAGUAAUUGACUAGACAAUUUGUUUAAAUCUAUCAUGACUGGUGAUAUAAAACGGUCAUGCAUAUCCUCGUAAGUCCUCAGCCUCUCAUUCAUUGCUGAGACUUUGGCGUCGAGCGAUGUGAAGGUGCACAUGUCGAUCGAUGUGGCUGGAUGUUGGUCCUUCUUGUGAAUGGUGUCCAGAUCUUGCUGUAGUAGCUCGAUUUUAGUGCUUAGCCAGUCCACGUUGUUGUUGAGAGGGCAGUAAACGUCGUUUAUCCUCGUGUCGAUGUAUGAGAUUUCCCAUUCAUCCUUGUGUUGUGUUGAACAUUGCGGUUCUGCAAGGAUCUUAGCUGUAGGAAGACUGACGUCGAUCGAUGUUGCACGUGGUGCGUCGAUCGAUGCUGAGGUCGUAGCUUCCUUCUCAAGUUGCUGACGUAAACUUUCAAUUUCUGUCCUCAUUUCUGCCAUACAUCUGAAAAGCUCAUUGUAGCCUCUAUCCAAAGGCUGAUGUGUUUCAUCUACCAGUGUUUUAAGCUCAUCUCCCAGUUUCUCCUAAGUCCACAAAUACCAAACACCAUUUCAUCGAUUUCUUCUUUGGUGUAGAGUUCUGGUGCCAGUCUUGUGAGUGUGAAGGAAGUGGCAUGUUCUGGAAGAGAGAUGUGGCUCUCUUCAAAAAGAGAUGCUCUUUCCAGUAUUUUCCUGAUGUUGUCCUUUGUGACAGGUAUCAUCUCACCAGCUGCACUUCGUGCGUGUCCACGCUCAUCUCUGUAGACUCCAUAUUCGUCCCUUUGUUCCCAAGUGAACUUUCUGGCUCCAUACAUGUUGAAAGCGCGGCUCCCACAUUUAUAGCGUCUGACGAUCGACGUCGGAUCAUCCAUAUCGAUCGACGUUGGUGUUACUCUGGCGAUCGAUGUCUCCAUUGUACCAUCGAUCGAUGCUUGCCCUUUUGGUUGGCGUGAUAGGUCUGUGUUGAUCUCUGUUGUGGCGACUCCCGCGUGGUUGUUAGGAUCUGUUAGGAUGACGUCUGGAGUGCCACGUUGCUGUGAGAACAGGUUGUCAGGUCUAUUGGCUACUUGAAGGAUGUCUGCUAUGUCCUCUCUGGACACUUGUAAAAUCCUUCCAUCCAUUGCACGUGCGUUGCCAUCUGGAUCCCUGAAAAUACUAAAUUCAUCAGGUGUUAGAAAACCGUAAUCAAUGUUUGCAUAAUUAUUCAUUUUAGAAAUAGAGAGAUUAGGGUUUAGAGUAGUAUCGAUCGAUGUAGAUACAGUUACAUCGAUCGAUGGCAGAGUAAUUUCUGCAGAACUUGUGUUCUUGAGAUGAUUGCUCUUCAUGGAUUUUUCUGUUGAUGUAGAAGGAAGAGUGUUCAUCUUAUUUGCUUGUGUGUUUUCUCUGAUGUGUGUAGGUGGUUUCGGAGGUGCAAAACGAUUUAUAUAGGUAUCUAUAAACCUAGUUAGGGAGGGAAUAUUCUCCUGCUCCUGAAUUUUCGCUGCGGCGCGAAUAUCGAUCGAUGUUCCUUUCGGUGUGUCGAUCGAUGUGAGCGGUUGUUUUGCUGGACGAGGGUGGGUAUCGACCGAUGUGGAGUGCACAGCGUCGAACGAUGUUGGAAACGUGUUGGUGAACUUCUGUAUUUCAAGUCUUUCAUCCUGCAAAGACAUUUCUAUUGCACGUUCUUUCCAGUAAUCCUCAUCGUAUUCCUCGGUAUGUUCCUCAUGAGGUGAAGUAAUUACAGUGUCAACUGCAAAACUUUCACGGAAACCACUGUCUACCCAACUGCCUAUGGAAUAAUCAUCAUGUCCUCUCCUGGUUGGAGAUUGGAAGGAAAAAUGUUGGUAACAAUGAUUAUGUGAAGCGAAAUGGUCAAGUGGGUGCAUUAUGUCGAGUGACGUGUUGUUGUGGUCAUCGGUCACCAUUGACACAUUGGAAUCGAUCGAUGGAAAGGUUGAGGUGUCGAUCGAUUCCGAGUACUCUGUUUCGUACUCCGAUUCAUACUCUGCUCCACAAUGGCAUGCGCCAACGAAGCCAAGUUCUUUCCCAUAAUCCACAUAAUUAAUUACCUUUCUCUUAGGUCGGAUGGGAUCGUAGUGGAUGUUUGGGUCUAUGAGCGUUAGACACAAUUUGUUUUUGUUCAUGUCACAUACAGCUCCUACUGUAGCUAGGAAGGAUCUUCCAAGCAGAAGUGAAGAGUUCCAGUUAAGCUCGAUGUCUAAGACAUGAAAAUAUAUAGGGACAAGGGCAUUACCAAUCAGUACCUCCAGAUCUCUUAUGAUGCCUCCGGAUCGUUUUUCUGAAAGAUCAACGAAGGUGAAAGAUUUUGUUGAUGGUUCGAUGGUCAAACCAAGCUGGUCUGCCAUAAUCCUAGGAAGGAUACUAACUGAUGCUCCUGUGUCACACAUUGAAUGGGGAAAUUCAACACGCUUGACUAUGCAUGGUAUUGCAAACUUCCCAGGAUCACUCUUCUUCGUCAAUGUGAUCCUGUGUUUCAUCUUUCCACUGACUUGAUGAAACAUUCUCCUAAUGUCCUCCUCAGUUACCUUUGUUUCUCUGAAGAACAUCCACAACCGGUGUGUGAAGUAAACUUCAUCAAAAGGUUUUUCGAUUGGGAUUCUGAGGACUCGUUUAGUGAAACCAUCCAUCUCCUUAUCGUUAGCUUCCCUCUUAAGGUUUUUAGGAAUCUUCUCCUUUCUUUUCCUUAACCUUCUCCCUUCAGAUUCUUGUUCUUCUUGAACAGAUUCUGUUGAACUAGUUAAAGGGUUGGGUUUUGGUUCGGGUGGGUUUGCUAAUGGUUUAGGUGGUGGUCUGAGUGCAUUGAUGUAAUCAUUAUCGAUUGAGGGUAACCGCACUCGGUAUGUCAGAGGUGCCUGUCGAUCGAUGGGAGGUGUGUUGUGACGAUCGACGUCGGACUCACUCUGUCGAUCGAUGGUUGAGUUAACCGAUCGAUCGAUUUUUUCAUAGAAAGGGGAGGGUGGGUGAGGAUGCUUAGCUGCGAAUUCUUCAUGAGUUAGAAUUCGAACCGCAUUGCAUUCAGUCGAAUUGGCAGACGACGUCGAUCGAUGACUGGAGUAAUCCGUCCAUCGAUCUUCAUCAUGGUCUGUCAAUCGAUGCGAGUUCAUCGACAUCGGUCGACACCAUUGGGAUCUGCCGAGACUCAUGGAGCUUUCGAUUUCGAAAUCUCCUUCCUCAAGGUUUUCAUUUCUCACCACUUGCCAGAAUUCAUCAUCUAUGAUGGCAUUUACGUGGUGUUUCCCUUUGUCGGCUCCUGCCUCUCUAGCGAAAGCUUCUUGCCUCUUAAUAGUCUCGCCCGUCUAAAUUACUUGGGUUUCAAGUUUUCUCACCUGAGUCCCUAAGGUCUCGAUUUUGGUGUUCAGAUUGUUGUAGGCAGAGUCUAUCUUACCGUUGAAAUCCACGGUGAUUUGUUGUUAUCCCAACAGUACUCGAUCAAGCAUUUCUUCGAUCUUGCUUUCCUGAGUCUGGGCUGGUGGAUUUUGAUAGUAAGAGUUCGAGUAGCUCUUGCUGUUGUUGAAGGGUUUUUGAAAUUGUGAACUUUGGUUACUUCUUUGGCCAUUUCCAAAGAAGUUUCUGUUUCCGCCCUGGUUUUCAAAUUUUUGGAAUCCGGUACCUCCGAUGUAGUUCACAUCUUCUUCUCCUUUUUUAUCUGCUACUUCUCCUUCAGCUGAACAGACUUGCUUUCUAAGAAGCUCGUGCACCACAUCUAACUUAGCUCUUACUUCGUCCAUCUGUUCCUUCCCGAUAGAGGCUACAGACUUCUUCCGUUCAGAGUCAGUGUUUUUGGUGCUGCUGCUGUUAGCAAGGUUUUCGAUAAGUCUCACAGCUUCCAACGGAUUCCGAGUAGUGAAGUUUCCUUCACUCGCCGUAUCAAGAGCCAUUUGAUACUGUAUGGCGAGACCUCGGAAGAAAGUGCUUAGCAGCUGCACUUCAUUAAAUCCGUGGUGUGGACAGUCUCGCUGGAAAAACCUAAAUAUAAUCCACGCAUCUUUGAAGGACUCUCCAGCCUUCUGCGAGAAUGUGGAAAUUUUGUUCCGAAGUUCUUCAGCGCGCGCUUCAUCGAAGAAGUUUCGUAAGAAAGCAUUCUUGAUGUCGCUUCAGGAUGUUAAAGAUCAUGUGGGUUGCUGCCUAAGCCUGUGCAUCGCUUCUCCAUUCAGCGUGUAUCUGAAGAGCUUGCACAGCAGGUAAUCUUCGGGGACUCCUUCCAUCCGAAUGGCAGCGAUUAGAUCCUCGAACCGUUCCAAAUGGUCCAUAGGAUGCUCGUGCGGUAACCCAGAGUAGGGUAUCUGCGACACGAGAGUGUAGUAUUGAGGCUUCAGCUCGAAAUUCUGCUUCUGGAUCUCCGGAAGUCGAAUCGCUGAUCUGUUGGAAUAGUACUCAUCUGGGCGAUUGUAGUCGGCCAGUGGUUUCGAUCGAGCGUCCUCAUCUACAGGUUGAGCAGCUCCUGUAGCAUCAGCAUCAGGGAUUACAGUUCCCUGAGCAUCUAUUUUCUGACCUGUUGCAUUACGCAGAUGACCGGCCUGGUCAUACAGGUUUCCGUUCUCAUCCUGAGUUAGAAUAAUAAUGUUUACCAUUUUUGACGACACGGUAUCGAUCGACGUACGCGGUGUAGUAUCGAUCGUUUCGAACGAUUGGGAUCGAUCGACGAUGACGGUCUGGUGUCGGUCGACGGUUGGUUGUGCGUAUCGAUCGACGACGAAGUGGUUGCGUCGAGCGAUGUGGAACGUUGACCUCUACGGAUGGUUCCAAAUGAGCAGGAUCGUCUGAGAACAGCAAGUCUUUCUCCUUGUUGCGUCUGGUACCGCUGGGCAUGCACCUGAAAAGACAAGAAAAAGAAAGAUUAUUAGAAAAGGGGGUAAAGAAAAGAAUAAGAAUUAAUAAAACUAAAUCUAAUGGCGAUCAAAGCUCCCCGGCAACGGCGCCAAAUUUGAUACCACUCAAAUUACCCUAAGGAGUGUUACUCUCAUCAAAAGAGGUUCAGAUGUAGUACUUAGGGAUUAAAUCCACAAGGAGCUAGGGAACCAUUAAAUCUAGUGUUUAUUAAUUCUAAAGGUUGUAAUGUUUUAAAUAAAAUAGCAAUAGUAACUAGCGAGUAAAUGAUAAAUGUAACUUAGGUUGGAAAUGAUAUUAGAUGCAGGGUCACUAUUCAGGUGUUGGAGAUUAUAAUUCCUCUAGAUGCCUAACUGUUGCAUGCAUGAUAUAUUAGAGCUCAUUCGCUUAACUCAGUGAUCAGCUGUCGCAUGUACCACAGGUUAACAGACUAGAUCUUGUGUCUCACCGGUUAGAUGCAGACACAAGAGAGUGUCGAUCGAUAGUCUAUUAAGACGUCGACCGAUACACUUUUGCCAACAUUGAUCGACUGUCAGUUGAGGACAUCGAUCGACGGGUUCUAGCCAGGCCUAUGCGCGAGUAUAAAAAUGCUCUACUAAGACUCUAAAUUGGCGGUUAGCCCUCUCUAGCAAUCCUAAUAUGAUAGAUAGAUGUCAGGAUGGGAUAACAAGGGUGCCUGAAUAUGCAAUCCUAUGAUCAAGUUCUAGUUAGCUAGGCUAAAACAAGCAAUGAACCCUGGAUCUAACAGUUGAACUACUCAGACAUAGCAAAGCAAUUCAUAUCAAUAGAUAAAUAGAAACUCAUAAAAUAGAUGAUAAGAAAAUGAAACAAGGAGUUCCAAUCACAAGUGAUCUUCUCUCCAAAUGAAACUUGUAACAAAACUAGGUCUAGAAAAGAAAAAGCUCUCCCUGCCGUCAAACACUUAGGCAGUAUAUAUUCUACUAGGUUAAAAACUCGUCAGGGCACUUUGGUAAUUUGGCUUGGCCUUGGUCUUUAGUCUGCUGAAUCCAAAAUGUCAUGUCUGGUGUCUCGACAUCGAUCGACGGUACUUGUGUACAUCGAUCGAUAUUAAUCUUCAUCUGUCGAGGCAUUUCCUGAUAUCGAUCGUCAGCACUGAUGCGCAUCGAUCGAUUAUUCUUCCUCUCGUCGACCUCUAAGUGGUCAGCUCGGGUGAAAUGUCCUUUAUGCUCCAAAAUGCUCCAAAGUCAUAACUUUACUCCGAAAAGCACCUGAACCUGAAAACAUACCUAGAAGAGUAGAAAACAUAGAUAUAUAUGUAGUAAAAUAAUAAUAUACCAUGGAUAAAAAUGGGUCAAAUCCAAGGAAUAUCACUAAGUCAUUUUUCUUUUAUUGUGUUAGUGAUUCUCCUUCUUCUUCUCCCUUUGCUUUUCAGGUGUAUGAUCACAAGAGGCAGAGGUGCAUCCAACUUGGUUCCCACUGUUUAAGAGAUUGCUACACUUGAGCGGGAGAUAGGAAGACAUAGAAGAGCAGUAGAGCACCAGGCUCACUUGCAAAGGUUGGAUUUUGAUAUGGAAAAUCUGCCUCAAGAUGGUGAUGCCCUAGGGGGCAAUGGUCCAAGAGCUGAUCAUCUUAGACCAUAGCGCCAGCCACAACAUCAACCGCGCCAAGCUCGUGCAAUUAGAGCCUAUGAUCAACCUCACACUAAUGGUCAUAGGUUGGGAAUCAGAGCACCAGCAGUGAAGAACAACAACUUUGAGAUCAAGUCAGAGCUGCUCAACACCAUAGAGAACAACAAGUAUCAUGGCCUUGCUGCUGAAGACCCUUUUGAUCACUUGUACAAGUUUCAUAAAUAUUGUGGCUUGUCCAAGACAAAUGGUGGUUCUGAAAAUGCUUUCAAGUUGAAGUUGUUCCCUUUCUCUUUGGGAGACAAAGCACACCAUUGGGAGAAGACUCUCCCAAGUGAGUGACAUGGGAAGAGUGUAAGAUAGCUUUCCUACACAAGUUCUUCUCUACAUCAAGGACAACUAAUAUCAGGAAUGAAAUCUCUGGGUUUCAACAGAAGAAUCUUGAGAGCUUAAGUGAAGCAUGAGAGAAAUUCAAGGGCUAUUGGUCUCAAUGCCCUCAUCAUGCUUUCAACAAGGAGAGUUUGCUUAGCACAUUCUAUAGAGGAGCUCUACCACAGUGCAGAAACAGGCUUGAUACUGUCAGAAAUGGUUUUUUCUCGGAUAUAACUGAGGAAGAGGCAGAGGAACUGGUAGAGAACAUGGCCUAGAGUGACUCAGUCCACAGUGAGGAGCAUGAUAGGGUCAACAUAAGUGAUGAUCAGCAGACAAAUAAAGAGAUCAAGUCCUUGCAAGAGAGGAUGUAUUUGCUUCUUUCCAACCAAGCUAAACAGGAGCAGGUGAACUUUGUGGGUGGUCCUAGUCAAGAGGUUCCUCUUAAAGUCAAUGAGAUUGAUGGUUUGGAAGGCCAAGAAGAGCUAUGCUUCAUCAACAACAAUGGUACUUGGUACAGGAAGGAACCUAACUUUCAGUACAACACCUACCAGCAAAGGUCUUACUCUAACAACCAGCAAGGAGGAUACUAGCCCAAGCAAAACACUCAGCAAAGAGCUAUCAGACUAGGCAAAAAAUCCCUCCUGGUUUCAGAAAUCACGGCAAUCAGUCUACUCAAGCUCAAGGCAGUUCUUCACAAGCUCCAGCUUCACAUACAAGUGUGGAUGUAAUGUUCAAGCAACUCUUGGAUUUCAGGCAAAGAAUGAGAAAACAAUGGGCUAUGAGUUCAAGAACAUUCACUCCAAGAUUGAUGGAAGCUACAAUGAGCUCAACAACAAGAUCAGAGCUUUGGAGAACCAGUUUGCUUCUAUGAACUCUCAGCCAAGUCGCCAACAAGGGUAAUGAGAUCCUAGGAUGAUUCUCUGGAACAGAUGGGAUAAUCCUUGCAGAAACGAAUCAAAAGACUCAAUGUGGAUCGAAUGGUGACACAAGAGGCUGCGAAAAGGCUCCUUGAUACUCCUAGGCAAUAGAUCGGAUAUGACACACCGAACUAGAGCCCUUAGUCUGUGGAUAUUACACACCAUAAGUUGGAUAUUACACACCAACACUCAAUCAACUGGACAAGCAAGAAGAAAAGAGAAAACAAAGGUUUUUGAUAAAAGAUGGAUACUGAUACAAGGGGGCCACGACCACAAUGUAAAGGAGAAGCCUUGUACAUGCACAAGGUCUCGAAAAUACAAGGGAGAUAAAGACAAAGGCUCUCUUGGAAACAUAACAAAAACUAGAGUUUUCGAAACCUAAAUAAUAUAAAAGCAUAGCGUAAAAUAUAACAUAAGGUCUUCAUGUGGACAGACCAAGAUCAAUCAUCUAGGAGAUAGGAGAAGUAGACUUGUGGCCUCGUUAAAAACCUUCCUUUGGAAAACCAAGUGGGACAAAACGAAAGGUUAGGAAAAGAACACACACAAGCUACUUGCCUAGAUGAUGAUCAGCUUGAAGGUGGAGUAGUUUGAAUGAUGGUUAAGGUGUCUUGGAUGAUCAAGCUUCGACCAAGACUAAUGUAUUCUUCUUGCUUCCAAGCAUUCUUCAAUGUUGCAUACUCAGCUACAGUCUCUUCAGGUUCAGGUUUAGACUUCCAUUCCUUGGUGCUUUCCAUGAUCACAUCAAAGGGUCAUUACCUGGAAAGCCAGAGCAAAACCCCAAGGAAACAAUGAAGGCAAUCACCCUAAGGAGUGGUAAAGAGUUUCCUCCAAGAGUUCUCACCAAGGAUGGUGAGAAACAAGGUGGGUAGGUGACCAUCAACAUUGAUGAUGAAGUGGUGAUUGUAGAUGAGAAGGUUGAUGAAGAUAUUCUGGAAAAGAUUGUUGAAGCUAAGGGUAAAGGAAAGGUUGGAGAAGAGAACAGGAAAGUGAAACAUGGUGAAAUUGCUACUCCAACAAAGGAAUGCUCUUUUGUUCCUCCUCCCUAGGAGCCAAGGCUACCAUUCCCUGGAAGAUUCAAGAGACAUCUAUUGGAGAAGUACAAGGCACUCUUUGAGAAACAAAUGAGUGAAGUUCAGGUAACAAUGCCCAUAAUUGAUGCUUUUAUGUUGGUCCCUCAGUACAGCAAGUUCUUAAAAGAUGUUGUAGCUGCAAAGAAGAAAGAGAUGGAAGGCAUGAUGAUUCUUACUCAUGAGUGCAGCACCAUUAUCCAGAGGUUAAAUGUUCCAAGGAAGCUAGAGGAUCCAGGAUGUUUCACCUUACCUUGUGCUCUUGGACCCAUGGUGUUUGAGAGGUGUCUAUGCGAUCUUGGAGCUAGUGUCAGCUUGACGCAUUUGUCUAUUGCAAAGAAGCUUGGAUUUACUCAAUACAAGAAGUGUAGACUCUCUUUGGUGUUGGCUGAUAGAUCAGUGAAGAUUCUUGUUGGUAUCCUAGAAGACCUUCUUGUGAUGGUUGGUAACUUUGAGAUCCCUACUGAUUUUGUUACGUUGGAGAUGGGUGAGGAAGCCAAAGACCCUUUGAUCCUUGGAAGACCAUUCUUAGCCACAGCAGGAGCUACUGGGAAUGUCAGAGAAGGAAAUAUUGAUCUUCAUCUUGGAAAAGGAAACAUCCUCCACUUUGACAUCAACGAAGUGAUGAAGAGGCCAACCAUCCAAAACCAAGUUUUCUACAUAGAUGAAAUAGAUGCUCUAGAUGAUGAGCUUCUAGAGGAGUUGGCACUUGAAGACCCUCUAUAACAUGCUUUGACAAUUGAAAGAGAGGUCCAAGUGGUUGAGAACAAGGAAAGUAAUGCCUAUGUGAGGAUGUUGGAUUCUCACAAGGGGAUUGGUGGUGAAGAUCAGUAUGAGGAGUAGAGGUGUCACCUGGGCAGGCGGACCAUGGGUUAGCCCACUCCAAUUCAUUUUUGGCGGGCUAUGGACGUGCCCAAUUAAUAAAUGGUCCAAGUGGGCAAAAAAACAAUUGGUACAUGGUCAAAUUGGGCGAAGACCAACUGGACAAUGGGUGUCCAUAGGCUUCCUAAAACAUAAUUUCGUGAGUUUAAUAAAAGAAAACAUAGCAAUACAAUUUAAUGAUUUUGACAGAAAACAAUGGCCGAGCCAAGCAAGUUUAGGCCCUGCAAGACCGAUUGACACGUUAUAAGUGGAAAAAGAAAUACUUAAAGCAAAUCGCCAAAAUAUUCUUGAAAACUAAUUCCGUUGAUGAUGUGAGACCCUUCCGCGACGACUUUCGGCCUCCCCGAUUCGUUCGUAGGCGGAGGAGCAUUGAAGCCCGAGGGUAAACCAGCAAAGAAAUCUUCGAAGUCCGGAAUAGGAACCUCUCUCGUACCGCUUCCAUUGCCGUAAGCAAGGUCUGGAUCCCACCUUGGAAGCAUAGAGUCAUCCACCAAAAACUCUAUGUCACCAAGGUCAAUAUCUUUCCCCUUCGAAGAGUUCAACCCCGUCGCAACCGUUGGAGCUGCGUCGGGACCCUGGUCAUCGGGUUCGGAGUCGCUUCCUGUUUCUGUUGGGGUAAAAAUCGGUCACAACGGAAUCAAUGCCUGAAAGUCCGUAAAAAUCAGCAUGAACGUUUUUACGAAAAAGUAAUCUUCGUAAAGAUAUCUUUACAAAGAGUCUUGCGGUAAAAUCUUGUUCAAAUCUCAAUCGAACCAUUAAAUACCGAUUGUCCGAAGGAAACAGACAUGUAUCCAAUUCGGCCACGGAUAAGCUUGACUACGGCAAUCGGACCACGGACAAGCCAAGCUCGAUCGAUACGCGGCGACCAAGCAUGCACACAGCUCGGUCGCUACGUAGCGACCGAGCGUCCGUCCCGCUCGGUCGCUACGUAGCGACCGAGCGUGCGUUCUGUCCGGUCGUUACGUAGCGACCGAACUCUUCCGAAACGUCGAUACGACACCAGUUCAUGCAUUCUCGUCUAUCCUACGAUGCUAUCUCCCAAAGACCGUAGCGAACUCAGUUCAUGUCUUCCGACCAUUCUAAAGACAUCAAUCAAACUUUGCGGUAAAAACCGCAGAAAGUUCCUUCUUUAUCGAAAGAAGUCGUAAUAAAUGUUUCGAGUCGUAAGACGGCCCAAAGGGACCUAAGACACGACUUGAGGCCCAACUUAUGAUUUCUUAACCAAAAGCCCAUAAACCGUAUGACGGUUUAUGCUUGGCGCGCAAGGAAGGAUAAAUGUCAAGUUUCCGCGGAUGAAUACAAAAUUUUGAGGAUAAUUACGAAGAUCGGAAAAAAUGGAAAAUCUCCAUUUUAUGCUAUGACGGCUUAAGGGCAGAAGAGUAAAAGCGUAAACCGACCUUGGAGCUAGUAUAUAAGGAGUCCUAGGCGAGAGGCAUGAGGAGAACUUUUUAGAUUCGGAAUUCUCUGCACUUAGAAACUUUAGGAUUUAUUCUCGACAAGUUCGGUUUCUAUGACUGGCACACAAUUACUAGACGAACACGCCCAGGCAGUUCGAUCUCAUGUUCAGCUCUAUCAAUUGAACUACGUUCGGCUUGAUCCUCGAAAGGGGUAUGUAGGCAGCCUUUAACAAGGUUCAGUCCGAAAUCAAUCAAAAACCUUUUAUGUAUCUUUUUCGUCUUUUGUUAUCGAGCUGCGACUCAACUAGGUUUGAGCUUUUAGGCCGCUAGAACUAAGUAACUCGCUGACAGCCUUUGCGGCCAAAGCUCUUAUGAUCUCUUCUAAUGAUCGCAACGCUCUUAUGCGGACUCGAAAUAAGAUCUACUGUUUUCUCUAAACUCGUUUUUUAUCUUUUCAUGAUUUCCGCAUAUAUUCGGUAACUUGUCGUUGGCUCUCGCAGAGAUCCGGGACCUCUGGGAAAUUAGGGUUUUCCAAGUUUCCUUAUUUAAACGGAAAUCGACAGUGCGAAUUUUGAUUCCCACAGUUUGGCGCUAGAAGGAGGGGGGGGUUACGGAUUACUCUUACUCAUGGCCACAAAACGCUUGAUCGGAACAAUGUCUGGAUAUAUGAAAGACAAACUCGCAGCACUGACUGCUCCUAUGGUUAACGCUUACGCAAACGCCGCAUUGUUCAACAAAAUUGAAAACUUAGUGGCGACCUUCCGCCACAGGAAGAGCACUAAAACAUGCCCGCGAUUUCCCUUUCUAAACAUAAAGGGAAAUGAUAAAUCUUAUCAAACCCCGUAAGUUUGGCUCAUUACCGAACAAAAUAAAUCUCGAUGCGUAAGGGUACCAAAACACGUUUUCCGAAAACAUUUCGGAAGGAUAAAACUUGUUCUCCCAAAAACCGCUGAAAAACCCCUAGGAUAAUCGCGGAAAAAGGAAACACAACAAAACGAUUACACAGCUCGGUCGUUACGUAGCGACCGAGCACGCACAUGCUGCUCGGUCGCUACGUAGCGACCGAGCACACACACGGCUCAGUCGCUACGUAGCGACCGAGCACGCACGCUGCUCGGUCGCUACGUAGCGACCGAGCACGCACACGGCUCGGUCGCUACGUAGCGACCGAGCAUACACACUGCUCGGUCGCUACGUAGCGACCGAGCACACACACUGCUCGGUCGCUACGUAGCGACCGAGCACGCACACGCUGCUCGGUUGCUACGUAGCAACCGAGCACACACGCUCGGUCACUACAUAGCGACCGAGCACGCACACCUCUCGGUCGCUACGUAGUGACCGAGCUCAAGCCAACUCUCCACUCGCUACAUAGAGACCUGUAAGGCCUCAAAAAGUUCCUCCUUCGGGUUCUCUUUUGAAUCCUCAUCGAAACCCUUUUCGUUUCGUCUCAAUCGGAGUUUCCGUUGAGAUUUUAUGAUGAAAACAAGUAGGACUCUUCUUGGCUUGUUUCCGCUCGCUACGUAGCGACCUGUCAGACUGUCAGUCGCUAUGUAGCGACCUGUAAGGCCUCAGAAAGGUCCUCCUUUGGGUUCUCUUUUGAAUCCUCGUCAAAACGCUUUUCGUUUCGUCUCAAUCGGAGUUUCCGUUGAGAUUUUACGACAAAAACAAGUAGGACUCUUCUCGGCUUGCUUCCACUCGCUAAGUAGCGACCUGUCAGUCAGACUGUCAGUCGCUAUGUAGCGACCUGUAAGGCCUCAUAAAGGUCCUCCUUUGGGUUGUCUUUUGAAUCCUCGUCGAAACGCUUUUCGUUUCGUCUCAAUCGGAGUUUCCGUUGAGAUUUUACGACGAAAACAAGUAGGACUCUUCUUGGCUUGCUUCCACUCGCUACGUAGCGACUUGUCAGAUUGUCAGUCGCUACCUAGCGACCUGUAAGGCCUCAGAAAAGUCCUCCUUUGGGUUGUCUUUUGAAUCCUCAUCGAAACGCUUUUCGUUUCGUCUCAUUCGGAGUUUCCGUUGAGAUUUUACGACGAAAACAAGUAGGACUCUUCCUGGCUUGCUUCCACUCGCUACGUAGCGACCUGUCAGACCCCCAGCUCGCUACAUUGCGACCUUUCAGACCCCCAGCUCGCUACAUUGGCUCUCGCAGAGAUUCGGGAUCUCUGGGAAAUUAGGGUUUUCCUAGUUUCCUUAUUUAAACGGAAAUCGAUAGUGCAAAUUUCGGUUCCCACAGUUUCCGUGACCAAAGCAGGACAUGGAUGCACAAACCUCAACGCCUUUCGAACUCUCUUCGGCGUAAAGGAAGUCCAGAAAAACGGACCGUUCCUGAGAAGAUCCCUCACUGCGAUAAUAUCCUUAGGGAACGGAGCAACAGGAUUGAUGAAGGGACGAUCGUUCGGCAACCUCCGGAACAAUGGGAUACAACUCUCUUCGACAGAUGCAGCGUCUAUACGAACAAAGAAGAAAAACUUCUUCCACGAGUUGAAGUUGGAAUUAAACCUUUUAACCACCGACAUGAAGCUCCAAGGGACCAGCCUAUACUUGUCCGUAUCCUUGACGAUUUGUAACCUCAAAAGUGCUUCAAAGUGGUCGACGGUAAGGGAGAGACCAUGCUCGUAGCUCAGGAUCAGGACUCCAAUGAGGUGCUGAAUGGCAAGGGGAUUCAGUUGGCUUAUCGCCACCUCGAAACGAUUCCACACAUGGACGAUAAUUUUGGGAAUUGGGAACCACAAGCGACAGCACACUACGAACGCUUUGUAACAAGUAAAGUAACCCUCCGAGGGAUUACUAGCGCGCUCUCCUUGACGAGGAACCCGGAAUUCCACCGUAUCCGGAAUUUGGAAGAACGACCGCAUUGAUCCCGAGAAACUCGUUAGUAAUCCUGCUUGGAGCCCCUUCCUCGGCUAAACGAUGGGUCAUGACCGGGAAUGCCUUUUCAUUGGGAGGUGUGAUCGAACCAUAACACGCAACCCACCAUGCCUCAUUCUUGGCCGGGCUACCGAAUGAGGCACGAACUCUCUCUUCGGCACAAGGAGCUCUUCAGGAACGUUUCCGGACGAGGGCCCUUUCUUCGAACUCCUUUUCUUACUCGACAUUUCGUAUUUUCCUUUUGAGAAUCAAGAAGAAAAGGAUAGAGAGAAAAAAGAAAAUUUUCAAGUGAACUCUCUAUGAGAAUAAGUAAGUGAAAAGGUUAUGAAGAAGUUACCUCCCUUCUUAUCGGCAUGAGAAAUUUCUAUUUACUUGCGGAUUUUUGGACACGAACUUCGCCCAAAUACACCAAUCUCGUCCGAACUCGCCAUACGAUGCGUUAGAAUGUCACUAGAAAUCCAUGAAAUCAACGGGCUGGGGGGCUAACUGUUGGGGUCGAAAACGGUUACAACGAUGUUAACGUCCAAACCUCCACAAAAUACAAGUAUGUCUUUCCGCAACAAAUCGUGCUCGGUCAAGAAAACAUCACAACGUAUGUUCCCAAGAUAAAGCUUCAUUCAAAUUCUAUUUAGAUCAAACAUAGUCAUCGGAAACAUGCCCAAACCAGCUACGGAUAGGUUCGAGUAUGACGAUCGGAACACUAGUCAUCGGAAACAUGCCCAAACCAGCUACGGAUAGGUUCGAGUAUGACGAUCGGAACACGGACAAACCAAGCUCGGUCAUUAUGCAACUACCGCACAUGCACGCUGUCCGGUCCCUACGUAGCGAGCCAAGCUCGGUCGCUACGUAGCGACCGAGGUUCCGUCCCGCUCGGUCGCUAUCCGUCUCGGUCGGUCGCUACGUAGGGACCGAGCGUCCGUCCCGCUCGGUCGCUACGUAGCGAUCGAGCUCGAGCCAAGCUGGAUGACGGUUUACGCUUGGUUCGCAAGGAAAGAUAAAUGUCAAUUUUCCGCGGAUAAAUACGAAAUUUUGAAGAUAAUUACGAAGAUCGGAAAAAAUGGAAUAUCUCCAUUUUUAUGCUAUGACGGCUUAAGGGCAGAAGAGAAAAAGCGUAAACCGACCUAGGAGCGAGUAUAUAAGGAGUCCUAGGCGAGAGCCAUGGAGAGAGACUUUUUCAGAGCAAACUUAGCAAUUAGAGUGAUUUAGGCAUAUUUCCGUUUUUGUUAUUCGAGCUGCGACUCAAUUAGGUUAUUGUCGUCUUAGGGUUUAAGAACUAGGAAUCUCACCGACAGUUCUCGUAGCCCAGGCUCUUACCUUGUUGUAACGCUCAAACGCGAAUUCGGAAUAAGAUCUACUUUGCUCUCUUUUCGAUUUCUUACUUUUCUCGUCUUUUAUUUCGUGUUCUGAUUGCUUAGCGUGUGGUAUUAACAGAUCGCCGUGACCUCUGGGAAAUUAGGGUUUUCCUAAUUUCCUAAUUUAGACGGAAAUCAACAGUACGAAUUUUGGUUCCCACAGUCCUGUUCACUUCUUUUUGACAUAUAUCCAUAAUGGUCGUUAAUGGUCAUUAAUGGUCGUUCAUGCUUGUCUGAGAAAGUAUCGAUCGACGCUCAGGCCAUAGCAUCGAUCGACACUUGCUCCAAGUCAACAAGUGACAGCGGAGACUGGACUUAGACAUCUGAUUAGCAAUUACAUGCGAAAGCUGGAUUACUUACUUAUUAAAAUCGGGUUCUAGAAUUUAAUCUAUAAACCAUUAGAAUCCUUGAAUUGUAGUUUUGAAUUUCUUGAUUGAUAAAUCCCUAGGUCUGGCUAUUUCUCCUAACUGUUUACAACUUCAAUCAACCAAUCGAACAAAUACUUUGUUCACCUUGCUUUCAUUUAUUUACUGCAUUAUAAACUGUCUGCCUAGCUUAAUCAUGAUUUCUAGUCUAUUGUGUGCCCUAGCUCUCUGUUGAUUUGAUCCUUAAGUACUACAAUUGAACCUCUUAUUUGAGAGAGUAAAAUCACUCCUUAGGGUAAUUUGAGUGAUAUCAAAUUUGGCACCGUUGCCAGAGAACUUUGAUCGCCAUUAGACUUGAAUAAUAGGUUUAGUCUGGGUUUUAUUUACUGUCAUAGUUACUUACAUAAAAAAAUUUCUUGUCUUUCAGGUAAAUGCCUAUAAGUACCAGAAGCAGCAAGGAGGAAAUACUUUUCUUUUCAGACCCAUCACGUUUGGAACGCUCGAUCCGCAAAGAGAACCGCGCAUCAUUGAUCAAAAACACCUCUAAUACGUCCAUCGACACCACCGCAACUACGUCGAUCGACAGUUUAACUCGAACAUCGAUUGAUACCAAUCCGCGAGCAGACAUGGUUGCGACACUUGUGCUAUAGAGGGAUGAGAAUGGAGACCUGCAUGACCCUGGAGGUCAUCUGUGUAAUGCAGCAGGUCAGAGGAUAGAUGGACAAGGGACAGCAAUCCUUGAGCCAUCUGCUGCCACCGAGGAUGCUAAAGUUCUUCUUCAGAGAUCGUUAGCGGAUUUGACCAGGCCUAGUCAGUUCUACACCAACAGGUCUGCGAUUCGACCUCUAGAAAUCCAGGGAUUUCAGAUACACCACACACACUUCUCUCAUGUGGGUCAGCACCCUUAUUGUGGUCUUCUUGAUGAAAAUCCCUCGGAUCAUAUUGAGACACUCGAAGACUUUGUGUCUGGCAUCCAAAAAUAUGAAGCAACCAAAGAUUACAUCAUCUGUAAGCUGUUCAAAUAUUCUCUCUCUGGGAAUGCUAAAAAUUGGCUGAGAAGCCUACCACCAGGAUCUCUCACUACAUGGACUGAUGUCAGGACUGCGUUUAUGACUGAAUUCUUAGAUGAUGCAAGGGCUGAAGAGAUGAGAGAUAAAAUUUGGACAUUCUUUCAGGAACCUACAGGAGCUUUCAAAAGCUCUGGGGAAAGGUUUAGGAGAUACCAAAGGGACUGUCCACAUCAUGGUUUUACGGAGACUCAGUUUUUGAAAAGGUUCUGCAAGGGUAUUGAUGUGCGAUAUCAUGUGAUGCUGGAUACUGCAAGCGAAGGAAACUUCAAGACAAGGGUAUUGAUGUGCGAUAUCGACUCUUUCUAUUGAUCAAUAUAACGAGAGUUGAAAUCAUAGAUCUAGUUAAUUGACAAGUCAAUACAUGCGAAAGCUGAUUGACUAGUUGAUCAAAGUAGUUGAGUUUUACAUUAUCAUGCAUGCAACUAAUUAGGCAUCUGUAGGAUUAUAAUCCCAAUUUCCCUGAAUAAAAACCCUAAGUCUAACUAUUUUCUUUCUAAGCACCAAAACCCCAAACCUGCUAUUGAACAAACACUUGUUCAAUAUAAAACUGCAAUUUACAUUUAAAACUCUAAAAACAAUCUUACUUAACAAAUCAUAUUAGAAAUCCUUAGGUUCCUUAGCUCCCUGUGAAUUUGAUAUCUUGCAUAUUUUCAUUGCUUUAGCAUCCCAUUUUAUGCACUUUGAUCAUAUAAAUUAGGACUUAGACAUCUUUAGGAUCCAUUUUGCAUUCAUUUGUCCCUAUCAGGUGUUGGAGCAUCCUAUGGUGUGAUUUGAGGUGUUUGGGAGCUUUAAAACCCAAAAGAAGUGGAGAAUGAAGUGUGGCCAAGGAAAAACAAAGUAAAAGUGAAGCUGGCUGAGUCCCCACCCGGGUUGGCACACGCGGCCUGAAGCACCCGCAAGGGUUCUGAACAAGGGAGAAUCGAGAGACGUACCCAGCCUGGCACACGCGGCCUGAAGAACCCGCACGGGUUCUGAACAAGGGAGAGACGCUUGACGUACCCGGCAUGGCACACAGGGCCUGAGGCACCCGCACGGGUUCUGAACAAGGGAGAGACGAUUUAUGUACCCGGCCUGAAGCACGCGGCCUGAAGGACCCACACAAUUUACAUACCCGGCCUCGAUCACCCGGCCUGACGCACCCGCACGAUCUACAUACCCGGCCUAGCCACCCGGGUUGGUCGAGCCUCUCUCUUCCCGGGUAUCAGCUUGUCCUGGUCGAGUUCCAUCAUAUUUUAAGGGUUUUUUGGUCAUUUUCCUUGUUAUUUUAAGGGCUUCCAUGCCUAGUACUUUUUGUAACUUAAAAGCAGUCUUUGUGGUGAAAGUUCUCAUCUUAAAUCAAAUCAUCAUCUUGUUCUUGUGUUUUCAUCUGAUUUUAAGUUCUUAUUUUGCUUUCUUCACAUGAUUAAGCUAAAAUCCUUCAUGGGUUUAAUAGUAAUCAUGGUAAUUAGUGAGUAAUUCACUUUUGGAUUCAUGGGUUAGGCAGACUAAGGGUGAUUAAGCUAGAUCUAAGGUUUUCUUAAUAUAGAUCUAUCUUGUUCCUUGCUAGUAGAGUGCUUUUAAUGCUAUUUUAGAGUUGGUCUCUCUAAAGUUGAGCUCUAGGCAUUUUAUACCGAAAGGUAUUUGAUGACAUGCCUGUAUGAUUUUAGAGAAUAUAGUAGGUAUUGAGAGAUUAAAGGUAGAUUAGAGAAGGUUAAUGGGAGAUUUGUAGAGAGAUUAGAUAGUAAUCAUGUUUAAGAGUAUUUAAGAAUCAUCAUGAACAAGGGAGAGAGUCUAGAGAGAUAAUCCCAUACUUCUUAUUAUUAAUCUGAUCAGAGAUUACAAUAUAUAUGAGGCAACACUAGGAUGAGGAUUUCAUAAAAGUGCACUAUUACAAGAGAUAAGGUUUGCUUUAAUUCAAACCAUCCAAUGAGCUUCUUCCUUGUGCAUAAAGCUCCUUUUGCUUUAUCCAGCUCUUCUCAAGCCUGUCACACGCGCCUCCUCUUCCCUUACAACGGACUGAUACCUUAGCUAAGGGAAUAGGGCUUCUCUUCUUCUUCCAAAGUUACCCGGGUAACUAGUAUAACUAGUAUACUAGUAUUACUAGGGUAACUUUGGUUUACCCUUUGUAAGCUACUCGAGUAACUAGUAUUACUACGACCUCUUCAUCGUACUCAACUCCUCAUGUCUUUCUCUUCCUAUAUAUUGAUCUCAUCUCAACACUCCCCCUCAAGCUUAGCUUUGUGAAAGUCUAAGCUUGGAUAGCCAUGAGAUCUUCCUCAUUAAAAACCUCACCAAGGAAAACCCAUUGGGACAAAACCUUGAUGAGGGAAAAAGAGUAAAGACCUCAUGACUUAGGGGAUCAGUUCCUUCUCUUCCCAAGAUCUAUGAGUCCUAAUCUAAUGUGAAUGGACUUCAUAGUCUUUUGUCUUGCUGCCUUGGUGAACACAUCUGCCAACUGAUCUUCACUUCUUGUAUAACAUGGCAAGAUCACUCCCAAGACUAUCGUCUGACUCACCUUGUGGCAAUUUACUUCAAUGUGCUUUGUCCUCUCAUGAAACACUGAGUUUGUAGGAAUGUGAAUAGCCGCCUGAUUGUCACAAUGCAUAAUCAUUGGUGUUGCUUGCUCAAUCUCCAAGUGCCUAAGAAUCCAUUUGAUCCAUACCAACUCGUUGGUAAGCUUUAGCAUAGCUCUAUAUUCAGCUUCAGCACUAGAGCAUGAUACAACUUUCUGCUUCUUACUCUUCCAAGUAACCAUGUUUCCUCCAAUGAAAGUGCAGUAGCCUGUUGUAGACCUUCUGUCUGCUUUAUCACCAGCCCAAUCAGCAUCACAAUAACCCACAACUUCCGUGCUUUUAUUGCAGCCCAUCCAUAUUCCAAGCCCUUGAGUUCCAUUCAGGUACAUGAGAACCCUCUCCACCAUGCGCCAAUGAUGCUCUUUUGGAGCUUGCAUAUGUUGGCUCACGUGAUUCACAGCAAAACAAAUGUCUGGCCUAGUGAUGGUCAAGUAUAUCAGCAUCCCCACAAGCUUUCUAUAAAGCUUUGGAUCAUGGAACAACUUGUUGUCUUCAAUCUCCCCCUCACGUGAAACCUUGUACCCAUCCUCCAUGGGAUCUUGGCUGUUCUUCCUCCAUACGCACCAGCAUCCUUCAAGAGAUCCAAUGCAUACUUCCUUUGAGAGAUAAACAUCCCUUCCUUGGAUUUGCACAGCUCAAUCCCAAGAAAGUACUUCAUCUCUCCCAAAUCCUUUAUAUCAAAUACUGAUUUCAGAAACUCUUUGGUGGCUCGGAUUCCUUCCUUAUCACUGCAUGUUAUGAUGAUGCCAUCCACAUACACAAGCAAAACAAUGAUACCUGAUGGAGUAUUGAGAGUAAAGAGAGUGUGAUCAAGCUCGGACUUCCUGAAGCCUCUACCAUUCAGUGUUGUGCUUAGCUUAUUGUACCAUGCUCUAGGUGAUUGUUUCAAUCCAUAGAUGGCUUUCUGCGGUCUAAGAACGUUAACUGGCUUCACCAUUCCUUCAAGACCCGGAGGUGGUAGCAUAUGGACUUCAUCUUCUAGCUCUCCUUAGAGGAAAGCAUUCUUCACAUCCAUUUGCCAAAGAUCCCACUCAAGGUUGGUUGCAACUGAUAGUACAAUCCUAAUGCUAUGAAGCUUUGCAACAGGUGCAAAAGUAUCAAUGUAAUCCUCUCCAUAGGUUUGUGUGAAACCUCUUGGUACCAGCCUUGUCUUAUGCCUAUCGAUCUUCCCAUUAGGUAAAUACUUGAUGGUGAAGAUCCACUUGCAUGACACAGCUCUCUUCCCCUUAGGCAACUCACUCUCAUACCAUGUAUCAUUUCUAAUCAUGGCAUCAGCCUCAUCAUUGACUGAAUCCCUCCACUCUUGAAUCAGCAUUGCUUCUUCAUAAGUUCUUGGCACAUAGCUUUCAUCUAAGCUUACUAUGAAGGAGUAGUGCUCUUCUGGAAACUCAGCAAAGGAGCACACCGCUUGGGAAGGAUGUUCCACAGCCUGGGCAUUGUAUAACACUCUCGUGUUUACCAAAUUUCUUGUGUUUGCCCACUCAGAAGCAUCCCUCCUUACCCAUGUGCUUCUUCUCAAAGGAACUUCUACUUGUUCCUCAACAACUUCCUUUUGUAUCUGGAUUUCUUCUCCAGCUUCCUGACCUUCAUUCUGAACUUCUCUUCCUGAUUCAUCUCCACUUUGGACUGGAGAAUCUGAGCCUUGAUCUUCUAGACCUCCAGCUUCUUCUGAGCAUUGAUCUUUUAACCCUUCAGCUUCAGAUUCACUUCCCCCCUCAUGUUCAAAGUGGGUUGUUUCUUCAGCGGCCACUUGAGUAGGCUCUUCACGCCUGCUCUGAUCCUGGGACACGCCAAUACCGAGUUCUUCUAGUAUGUUUCUCAAACUAGCAGCUCUAUCUGAUGGUUGAGAAAGCCCUUCAAUCUCCUCCCAAUUCUUCUCUUCAUAAUACCCUUUAUCUUCCAUGAACUUCACAUCCCUAGACACCAAGACUCUUCUAGCAGUGGGAUCAAAGCACUUGUAUCCACUUUGAGAUGUGGAAUAGCCAAUAAGCAUAGCCUUGGUGCUCUUUGCUUCAAGUUUGUUUCUCAUCUCUCCUGGCACCAGUACAUAGCACACACACCCAAAUGUCCUCAAGUGAACUAGAACUGGUCGACUCUUGUUGAGUACCUCAAAUGGAGACUGAUCCUCUAGGAUUCUGGUUGGUAUCCUGUUGAUUAGAUACCAAGCAGUCAUCACAGCAUCACUCCAAAAUCUCUUAGGGACACUCUUGUGGAACAUCAUUGAACGAGCCACUUCCAUGAGGUGUAUGUUCUUCCUUUCAGCAACUCCAUUCUGUUGUGGAGUGUAAGGACAGCUAGUCUGAUGUAGAAUCCCAUGUUGAGCUAGGUGAUCUUUGAAUGUGUGGCCUAUGUAUUCCCCACCAUUAUCUGACCUGAAAAUCUUAAUCUUGGCAUGAUAAUGGUUAGUAACAUAGCUUUGAAAAUUUUUAAAUGCAUCAAGAACCCUAUCUUUUGUUUUGAUGAGUGUUAACCAGGUGUAUUUGGAUUUUUCAUCAAUGAAUGUGGCAUAAUACUUAUAAUCAUCCCUAGAUAAAUAAGGCGCAGUCCAAACAUCAGAGGGAAUCAAAUCAAAGCAAUUCUCAUAAAUAGUGGAUGAUCUUUGAAACACUGUCCUACAAUGUUUGCCUAAAUCUAUGCCUCACAAUCAUUAUUUUUAAACAUGACACCUGGUAACAUAAUGCUUAAAGCCCUAACAGGUGGAUGUCCAAGUCUAGCAUGCCACAAUGCAUCUUUAAUUAAGGAAGAAACAUAACUAAAAGAGAAACAAGAACUUGAGAUGGGACUAAGAUCUUCAAGCAUAUAAAGGUCUCCUUUGGUUGCUCCUUGCCCAAUCAACUUACUGCUAUUAAUAUCCUGAAACUUAACAUCAUCAGGACUAAAGAUAACCUUGCAUUGAAAAUCAGUGGUGCAUUUUUUGACAGAUAAAAGAUUAGAAGUAAACUCAGGCAUAAAAAAAUGCUUUUGAAUCCUUAUCAAACAGUUUUAGUUUCCCAAUUCCUCUAAUAGGAAUUCUAUCACCAUUAGCAAUCAUAACAUGUCAAUGAGCCGGUUCUAUGUCUCUAAUCAGGUUAUUAUCACUAAUCAUAUGAUGAGAUGCACCAGAAUCAAUAAUCAAAGGUUUAUGCAUGUUUCUAGUAAUCUCAGUCCUUGAUGGUUCAUUUUGUUUUAUCAGGUUUCCUAGUAAUCCUAACAGUUUACUAGUUAUACUAGGCUCACUAGCAGUAGUGUAGGCGCUUUUAAAAAUGUCUAGUAACUUAUCAGUAUUACUAGGAUUACUAGCAGUAGUGUAAGAGCUUUUAAAAAUAUCUAGUAAUUUAUCAGUAUUACUAGGCAAUGUAUGAGCAGCAUAUGAGUAUCCAAGGGUGUUUCCGAGGGUGUUACCAGACUCCUUAAGAGCUUUGAAGAAGGCUUCAAGGUCAGCUCUCUUGAACACCUCCUGAUCCAUACCCUUUCCAAUCAGUUGAUGAGACGUCAAGGCUCUACUUUCACUUUCACCCACCUUAGCGCUUCAGCAAAAAGAUGAGCCUUUGCUUCCCUAUCCCUGUUGACCCCGCGUGGCCUGAGGUGGGGAUGUAGGAUCCAACACUCACUCUUCUUGUGACCGGUCCUCUUGCAAUACUCACAGCUUCCCUCAUACUUUUUAUACUUCCUUCAUGAGCCUCUGUAUGCAGCCUUGUUUGCUUGCAUUCCUUCAGCUUGAUGAGCCAUAGUAAGCUCACCCUUGCCUCCAAACAGGCCAAGAGAUCCCCCCUCCUUCUGAAGUUGCGCGCAUACUUCCUCCAUGGAUGGUAGGUUAGGCGAUCUCAAGAUGUGUUUGAUGACAUCCUUGUAGCAAGGAUCCAAUGUCAUCAACAACCCAAACACGAGACCUUGUGCAUGUACAAGGCUUCUCCUUUAUAUUGUGGUCGUGGCCCCCUUGUAUCAGUAUCCAUCUUUUUAUCAAAAACCUUUGUUUUCUCUUUUCUUCUUGUUUGUCCAGUUGAUUGAGUGUUGGUGUGUAAUAUCCAACUUCUGGUGUGUAAUAUCCACAGACUAAGCGCUCUAGUUCGGUGUGUCACCAUUCGAGCCACAUACCUUGAGAAACUUGAGUCUUUUGAUUCGUUUCAGCAAGGAUUAUCCCAUCUGUUCCAGAGCAUCAUCCUAGGAUCUCAUUACCCUUGUUGGCGACUUGGCUAAGAGUUCAUAGAAGCAAACUGGUUCUCCAAAUCUCUGAUCUUGUUGUUGAGCUCAUUGUAGCUUCCAUCAAUCUUGGAGUGAAUGUUCUUGAACUCAUAGCCCAUUGUUUUCUCAUUCCUUGCCUGAAAAUCCAAGAGUUUCUUGAACAUUACAUCCACACUUGUAUGUGAAGCUGGAGCUUGUGAAGAACUGCCUUGAGCUUGAGUAGACUGAUUGCCGUGAUUGCUGAAACCAGGAGGGAUGUUUUGCCUAGGAUGAUAGCUCCUUUGCUGAGUGUUUUGCUUGGGCUGGUAUCCUCCUUGCUGGUUGUUAGAGUAAGACAUUUGCUGGUAGCUGUUAUACUGAAACUUAGGUUCCUUCCUGUACCGUGUACCAUUGUUGUUGAUGAAGCAUAGCUCUUCUUGGCCUUCCAAACCAUCAACCUCAUUGAAUUUAAGAGGAACCUCUUGACUAGGACCACCCACAAAGUUCACCUGCUCCUGUUUAGCUUGGUUGGAAAGAAGCAAAUCCAUCUUCUCUUGCAAGGACUUGAUCUCUUUAUUUGUCUAUUGAUCAUCACUUAUGUUGACCCUAUCAUGCUCCUCACUGUAGACUCAGUCACUCUUGGCCAUGUUCUCUACCAGUUCCUCUGCCUCUUCCUCAGUUAUUCCCAAGAAAAAACCAUUGCUGGCAGUAUCAAGCCUGUUUCUGCACUGUGGUAGACCUCCUCUAUAGAAUGUGCUAAGCAAACUCUCCUUGUUGAAAGCAUGAUGAGGGCAUUGAGACCAAUAGCCCUUGAAUUUCUCUCAUGCUUCACUUAAGCUCUCAAGAUUCUUCUGUUGAAACCCAGAGAUUUCAUUCCUGAUAUUAGUUGUCCUUGAUGUAGAGAAGAACUUGUGUAGGAAAGCUCUCUUACACUCUUCCCAUGUCACUCACUUGGGAGAGUCUUCUCCCAAUAGUGUGCUUUGUCUCCCAAAGAGAAAGGGAACAACUUUAACUUGAAAACAUCUUCAGAACCACCAUUUGUCUUGGACAAGCCACAAUAUUUAUAAAACUUGUACAAGUUAUCAAAAGGGUCUUCAGCAGCAAGGCCAUGAUACUUGUUUUCUCUAUGGUGUUGAGCCGCCCUGACUUGAUCUCGAAGUUGUUGUUCUCCACUGCUGGUGCUCUGAUUCCCAACCUAUGACCAUUAAUGUGAGGUUGAUCAUAGGCUCCAAUGGCACGAGCUUGGCGCGGUUGAUGUUGUGGCUGGAGAUGUGGUCUAAGAUGAUCAGCUCUUGGACCAUUGCCCCCUAGGGCAUCACCAUCUUGAGGCAGAUUCUCCAUAUCAAAAUCCAACCUUUGCAAGUGAGCCUGGUGCUCUACUGCUCUUCUAUGUCUUCCUAUCUCCCGCUCAAGUGUAGCAAUCUCUUCAACAGUGGGAACCAAGUUGGAUGCACCUCUGCAUCUUGUGAUCAUACACCUGAAAAGCAAAGGGAGAAGAAGGAGAAUCAAUAACACAAUAAAAGAAAAAUGACUUAGUCUCAAGAAAGUGACUAAAUCCCAAUGUCACAAUCAACUUAGAAUUUGGCAACGGCGCCAAUUUGAUGUUAAGAGUUUUCAAGGCUCUUAAUCAAAUGUUAUAGUAUAAAGGAUAUUAAACCAGUUCUAAGUGAUUCUAAAGCAAAGGAAAUGUAAGACCAUGCUUAAUCUAAAUGCUAUCAAUUGGUGAGAUGAUUUUGAGCUAGAAUACUACUAAAAUACAAUAAAGAACAAAGCUUUCUCUUUUAAUGAGAUGGAAGAACUCAUGGGCUAAGAGAAUUGACCUUGGGCGAUCAAGUUUCAAUCUAAAGGUGGCAGCUUUCAAUUGAUCUAUCAACCUUAGGCCUAGUCACUUUGGUUGAAUAUUAUCUAAGCAAUCAUUAAUAUCAAGUCCAAUAGCCAUCUUAACACCUUUAACAACAAAUCUCUUUGGUAAGAAUGAUAAAGCUUAGGAGAGUUGGUUCUGGCUGUUGAGAUGAGAUCAAUAUAUAGGAAGAGAAAUACAUGAGGAGUUGAGUAUGAUGAAGAAGCCGUAGUAAUACUAGUUACCCGAGUAGUUUACAAAGGGUAAACCAAAGUUACCCUAGUAAUACUUGUAUACUAGUUAUACUAGUUACCUGGGUAACUUUGGAAGAAGAAGAGAAGCCAUAUUCCCUUAGCUAAGGCAUCAGUCCGUUGUAAGGGAAGAGGAGGCGUGUGUGACAGGCUGGAGAGGAGCUGGAUAAAGCAAAAGGAGCUUUAUGCACAAGGAAGAAGCUCAUUGGAUAGUUUGAAUUAAAGCAAACCUUAUUUCUUGUAAUAGCAUCACUUUAUGAAACCCUCAUCCUAGUGUUGCCUCCUCAUAUAUAUUGUAAACUCUGAUCAGUUUAAUAAUAAGAAGUAUGAGAUUAUCUCUCUAGUCUCUCUUUCUUGUUCAUGAUUCUUCUUAAAUACUCUUAAACAUAAUUACUACCUAAUCUCUCUACAAAUCUCCCAUUAACCUUCUCUAAUCUACCUUUAAUCUCUCAAUACCUACUCUAUUCUCUAAAAUCAUAUGGUAUCAGAGCCAGGUUGGCUUUGGUAUUGAGAAACCUCGUUCCAUUUCUUUCUUUCUCUAGCUCUUGUGUCCUUGUGUUCUUGCUCUUGUGUUCUUGAGGGUUCCGUGAAGCUGUGUGAUAAAGUUGAGUCCUGUGGUGCUGUGCUUUGAGUUUGUAUGUUCUUGAAGUCUAGUACUGUGUGUUCUUCAGCUGAGUUGCAAGUUUGAAGAUUUCUGGUCAUUUCUGGUUCAAGCAAGAGAAGAUGGAAGGAAACAACUUCAGCAAGCUAGUUAUUGUCCCGGUUGCGUUGAAGGGUGGUUCAAACUACCUCUUGUGGUCUAGAUUGGUGAAGACUGCCAUUUGAAGGCUAGGGCUGUGGAGCCACAUCACUGAUGAUGGACCGAAGCCAGUGGCCAAAGAAACUGAAGAAGGUGAAGAGGAAUAGACUCUCACCAAAGCUGAAUCCAAGAAGUGGGUACAAGAAGACUUGAUGGUGCUCUCUGGGCUGCAAGGAUCUCUUGAUGUUCCUCUUCUUGAAGCUUACAGCUACUGUGAGACUCUCAAACACUUGUGGGAGACCCUCUCAAAGACGUUUGGAAACGUCUCCAUCAUCAGCCGUGUGUUUGAGCUGAAGAGAGUCAUUAACUCCAUGAAGCAAGAUGGAGGAGAGCUCACCAAACACAUGGGAAAGUUUGGAUCAUUAUGGUCUGAACUUGAAAGUCUAAGACCUAACACCACUGAUCAAGCAACUCUUAUGGAAAGAAGAGAACAAGAUCAAGAGUUUUCGAAAACUAAAUAAUAUAAAAGCAUAGCAUAAAAUAUAACAUAAGGUCUUCAUGUGGACAGACCAAGAUCAAUCAUCUAGGAGAUAAGAGAAGUAGACUUGUGGCCUCGUUAAAAACCUUCCUUUGGAAAACUAAGUGGGACAAAACGAAAGGUUAGGAAAAGAACACACACAAGCUACUUGCCUAGAUGAUGAUCAGCUUGAAGGUGGAGUAGUUUGAAUGAUGGUUAAGGUGUCUUGGAUGAUCAAGCUUUGAGCAAGACUAAUGUAUUCUUCUUGCUUCCAAGCAUUCUUCAAUGUUGCAUACUCAGCUACAAUCUCUUCAGGUUCAGGUUUAUACUUCCAUUCCUUGGUGCUUUCCAUGAUCACAUCAAAGGGUCAUUACCUGGAAAGCCAGAGCAAAACCCCAAGGAAACAAUGAAGGCAAUCACCCUAAGGAGUGGUAAAGAGUUUCCUCCAAGAGUUCUCACCAAGGAUGGUGAGAAACAAGGUGGGUAGGUGACCAUCAACAUUGAUGAUGAAGUGGUGAUUGUAGAUGAGAAGGUUGAUGAAGAUAUUCAGGAAAAGAUUGUUGAAGCUAAGGGUAAAGGAAAGGUUGGAGAAGAGAAGAGGACAGUGAAACAUGGUGAAAUUGCUACUCCAACAAAGGAAUCCUCUUUUGUUCCUCCUCCCUAGGAGCCAAGGCUACCAUUCCCUGGAAGAUUCAAGAGACAGCUAUUGGAGAAGUACAAGGCACUCUUUGAGAAAUAAAUGAGUGAAGUUCAGUUCACAAUGCCCAUAAUUGAUGCUUUUAUGUUGGUCCCUCAGUACAGAAAGUUCUUAAAAGAUGUUGUGGCUGCAAAGAAGAAAGAGAUGGAAAGCUUGAUGAUUCUUGCUCAUGAGUGCAGCGCCAUUAUCCAGAGGUUAGAUGUUCCAAGGAAGCUAGAGGAUCCAGGAUGUUUCACCUUACCUUGUGCUCUUGGACCCAUGGUGUUUGAGAGGUGUCUAUGCGAUCUUGGAGCUAGUGUCAGCUUGAUACAUUUGUCUAUUGCAAAGAAGCUUGGAUUUGACCCGUUUUUAUCCAUGGUAUUUAGGUGUUUUAUUAUAUAUAUAUCUAUGUUUUCUACUCUUCUAGGUAUGUUUUCAGGUUAAGGUGCAUUUCAGAGUAAAGCUAUGACUUUGGAGCAUUUUGGAGCUUAAAGGACAUUUCAUCCGAGCUGACCAUGUAGUGGUCGACGAGAGGAAGACCAAUAGAUCGAUGCACAUCCAGUGCUGUCGGUCGACACCAUGAGAUGCCUCGACAAAUGAAAAUUAAUAUCGAUCGGUGUACACAAGUACCAUCGAUCGAUGUCGAGACAUUGGACAUUUUGGAUCCAGCGGACUUGAAGCCCAAGUCCAAGCUAAAUUACGAAAAUGCCCUGACGAUUUUUUUAACCUUGUAGAUUAUAUACUGCCUAAGUGUUUUUGUUACAGUUUUACUUUGAGAGAAAGAGAGAGUUUUGGAGAAAAGAUCACUUGUGAUUGGAACUCCUUGUUUUCAUUUAUUUUCAUCUAUAAUAUGAAUUUCCAUUUCUUCAUUGUCAUGAAUUGCUUUGCUAUGUCUGAGUAGUUCAAUUAUUAGAUCCACGGUUCAGAUAGAUUUGUGGGAUAAGCCCCAAACUAUAGAUCUGCCUUGUUGUGAUAUUCAUGAUAGAUUUAUAUUCAUUGCUUGUUUUAGCCUUGCUAACUAGAACAUGAUCAUAGGAUUGCAUACUCAAGCACCCUUGUUAUCCCAUCCUGACAUCUAUCUAUCAUAUUAGGACUGCUAGAGAGGGCUAACCACCAAUUUAAUAUCUUAAUAGGGCAUGUCAUACUCGCGCAUAGGCCUGGCUAGAACCCGUCGAUCGAUGUCCUCAACUGACUAUCGGUCGACGUAGGUAAAGGUGUAUCGGUCGAUGUUCCUAUAGGACCAUCGAUCGAAACUAUUUCGUUGUCAACAUACUAACCGUUGAGACACGAGAUCUAGUUUGUUAACCAGUGAAACAUGCGAGAGCUGAUCACUGAGUUAAGCGGUUGAGCUCUAACAUAUCAUGCAUGCAACAAAUAUGCAUCUAUAGAUAUUAUAAUCUCCAACACCUGAAUAGUGGCCCUGCGUCUAAUAUCAUUUCCAACCAAGUUACAUUUACUAUUUACUUCGCUUUUUACUAUUGCUAUUUUAUUUAAACAUUUACAACUCUUAGAAUUAAUAAAUACUAGAAUUAAUUCUUCCCUAGCUCCUUUUGGAUUCGAUCCCUAAGUACUACAUCUGAACCUCUUUUGAUGAGAGUAACACUCCUUAGGGUAAUUUGAGUGGUAUCAAAUUUGGCGCCGUUGCCGGGGAGCUUUGAUCGCCAUUAGAUUUAGUUUUAUUAGAACUUUUUAGAUGUGGUUGCAAAUUUUUUGAGGAAAUGAUUUCUGUGCUUUAAAAUCUGUGAGUCCCUAAUAUUUUCAAACCUCUUUCAGAGAGACUGCAUGUAUGUUUUGUUUGAGGACAAGCAAAAGGGUAAGUCUGGGGGAGUUGAUAUACCUUGGAUUUGACCCGUUUUCAUCCAUGGUAUAUAGGUGUUUUACUAUAUAUAUAUAUAUGUGUGUUUUCUACUCUUCUAGGUAUGUUUUCAGGUUAAGGUGCAUUUCAGAGUAAAGCUAUGACUUUGGAGCAUUUUGGAGCUUAAAGGACAUUUCAUCCGAGCUGACCAUGUAGAGGUCGACGAGAGGAAGAACAAUCGAUCGAUGCACAUCCAGUGCUGUCGGUCGACACCAUGAGAUGCCUCGACAAAUGAAAAUUAAUAUCGAUCGGUGUACACAAGUACCAUCGAUCGAUGUCGAGACAUUGGACAUUUUGGAUCCAGCGGACUUGAAGCCCAAGUCCAAACUAAAUUACGAAAAUGCCCUGACGAUUUUUUUAACCUUGUAGAUUAUAUACUGCCUAAGUGUUUUUGUUACAGUUUUACUUUGAGAGAGAGAGAGAGUUUUAGAGAAAAGAUCACUUGUGAUUGGAACUCCUUGUUUUCAUUUCUUUUCAUCUAUAAUAUGAAUUUCCAUUUCUUCAUUGUCAUGAAUUGCUUUGCUAUGUCUGAGUAGUUCAAUUAUUAGAUCCACGGUUCAGAUAGGUUUGUGGGAUUAGCCCCAAACUAUAGAUCUGCCUUGUUGUGAUAUUCAUGAUAGAUUUGUAUUCAUUGCUUGUUUUAGCCUUGCUAACUAGAACAUGAUCAUAGGAUUGCAUACUCAAGCACCCUUGUUAUCCCAUCCUGACAUCUAUCUAUCAUAUUAGGACUGCUAGAGAGGGCUAACCACCAAUUUAAUAUCUUAAUAGGGCAUGUCAUACUCGCCCAUAGGCCUGGCUAGAACCCGUCGAUCGAUGUCCUCAACUGACUAUCGGUCGACGUAGUUAAAGGUGUAUCGGUCGACGUCCCUAUAGGACCAUCGAUCAAAACUCUUUCGUUGUCAACAUACUAACCGUUGAGACACGAGAUCUAGUUUGUUAACCAGUGAAACAUGCGAGAGCUGAUCACUGAGUUAAGCGGUUGAGCUCUAACAUAUCAUGCAUGCAACAAAUAUGCAUCUAUAGAUAUUAUAAUCUCCAACACCUGAAUAGUGGCCCUGCGUCUAAUAUCAUUUCCAAACAAGUUACAUUUACUAUUUACUUCGCUUUUUACUAUUGCUAUUUUAUUUAAACAUUUACAACUCUUAGAAUUAAUAAACACUAGAUUUAAUUCUUCCCUAGCUCCUUCUGGAUUCGAUCCCUAAGUACUACAUCUGAACCUCUUUUGAUGAGAGUAACACUCCUUAGGGUAAUUUGAGUGGUAUCAAAUUUGGCGCCGUUGCCGGGGAGCUUUGAUCGCCAUUAGAUUUAGUUUUAUUAGAACUUUUUAGAUGUGGUUGCAAAAUUUUUGAGGAAAUGAUUUCUGUGCUUUAAAAUCUGUGAGUCCCUAUUAUUUUCAAACCUCUUUCAGAGAGACUGCCUGUAUGUUUUGUUUGAGGACAAGCAAAAGGGUAAGUCUGGGGGAGUUGAUAUACCUUGGAUUUGACCCGUUUUCAUCCAUGGUAUAUAGGUGUUUUACUCUAUAUAUAUCUCUGUUUUCUACUCUUCUAGGUAUGUUUUCAGGUUAAGUUGCAUUUCAGAGUAAAGCUAUGACUUUGGAGCAUUUUGGAGCUUAAAGGACAUUUCAUCUGAGCUGACCAUGUAGAGGUCGACGAGAGGAAGAACAAUCGAUCGAUGCACAUCCAUUGCUUUCGGUCGACACCAUGAGAUGCCUCGACAAAUGAAAAUUAAUAUCGAUCGGUGUACACAAGUACCAUCGAUCGAUGUCGAGACAUUGGACAUUUUGGAUCCAGCGGACUUGAAGCCCAAGUCCAAGCUAAAUUACGAAAAUGCCCUGACGAUUUUUUUAACCUUGUAGAUUAUAUACUGCCUAAGUGUUUUUGUUACAGUUUUACUUUGAGAGAGAGAGAGAGUUUUGGAGAAAAGAUCACUUGUGAUUGGAACUCCUUGUUUUCAUUUCUUUUCAUCUAUAAUAUGAAUUUCCAUUUCUUCAUUGUCAUGAAUUGCUUUGCUAUGUCUGAGUAGUUCAAUUAUUAGAUCCACGGUUCAGAUAGGUUUGUGGGAUUAGCCCCAAACUAUAGAUCUGCCUUGUUGUGAUAUUCAUGAUAGAUUUGUAUUCAUUGCUUGUUUUAGCCUUGCUAACUAGAACAUGAUCAUAGGAUUGCAUACUCAAGCACCCUUGUUAUCCCAUCCUGACAUCUAUCUAUCAUAUUAGGACUGCUAGAGAGGGCUAACCACCAAUUUAAUAUCUUAAUAGGGCAUGUCAUACUCGCGCAUAGGCCUGGCUAGAACCCGUCGAUCGAUGUCCUCAACUGACUAUCGGUCGACGUAGGUAAAGGUGUAUCGGUCGACGUCCCUAUAGGACCAUCGAUUGAAACUCUUUCGUUGUCAACAUACUAACCGUUGAGACACGAGAUCUAGUUUGUUAACCAGUGAAACAUGCGAGAGCUGAUCACUGAGUUAAGCGGUUGAGCUCUAACAUAUCAUGCAUGCAACAAAUAUGCAUCUAUAGAUAUUAUAAUCUCCAACACCUGAAUAGUGGCCCUGCGUCUAAUAUCAUUUCCAACCAAGUUACAUUUACUAUUUACUUCGCUUUUUACUAUUGCUAUUUCAUUUAAACAUUUACAACUCUUAGAAUUAAUAAACACUAGAGUUAAUUCUUCCGUAGCUCCUUCUGGAUUCGAUCCCUAAGUACUACAUCUGAACCUCUUUUGAUGAGAGUAACACUCCUUAGGGUAAUUUGAGUGGUAUCAAAUUUGGCGCCGUUGCCGGGGAGCUUUGAUCGCCAUUAGAUUUAGUUUUAUUAGAACUUUUAAGAUGUGGUUGCAAAAUUUUUGAGGAAAUGAUUUCUGUGCUUUAAAAUCUGUGAGUCCCUAAUAUUUUCAAACCUCUUUCAGAGAGACUGCCUAUAUGUUUUGUUUGAGGACAAGCAAAAGGGUAAGUCUGGGAGAGUUGAUAUACCUUGGAUUUGACCCAUUUUCAUCCAUGGUAUAUAGGUGUUUUACUAUAUAUAUAUCUCUGUUUUCUACUCUUCUAGGUAUGUUUUCAGGUUCAGGUGCAUUUCAAAGUAAAGCUAUGACUUUGGAGCAUUUUGGAGCUUAAAGGACAUUUCAUCCGAGCUGACCAUGUAGAGGUCGACGAGAGGAAGAAUAAUCGAUCGAUGCACAUCCACUGCUGUCGAUCGAAACCAUGAGAUGCCUCGACAAAUGAAGAUUAAUAUCGAUCGAUGUACACAAGUACCAUCAAUCGAUGUCGAGACAUUGGACAUGCGACAUUUUGGAUCCAGCGGACUUGAAGCCCAAUGUUGGGGUCAAAAUCGGUCACGACGAAAUCAAUGUCUGAAAGUCCAUAAAAAUCAGCAUGAACAUUUUUACAAAAAAGUAAUCCUCGUAAAGAUAUCUUUACGAAGAGCCUUGUGGUAAAAUCUUGUUCAAAUCUCAAUCGAACCACUAAAUACGAUUGUCCGAAGGCAACAGACAUGUAUCCAAAUCGGCCGCGGAAAAGCUCGAGUAUGGCGAUCGGACCGCAGACAAGCCAAGCAGGAUCGAUACGCGGCGACCAAGCAUGCACACAGCUACGUAGCGACCGAGCCCGAGCCUAGCUCGGUCGCUACGUAGCGACCGAGCUCGAGCCAAGCUCGUUCGCUACAUAGCGACCGAGCGUCCGUCCCGCUCAGUCGCUACGUAGCGACCGAGCUCUUCUGAAACGUCGAUACGACACCAGUCCAUGCAUUCUCGUCUAUCCUUCGAUGCUAUCUCCCGAAGACCGUUGUGAACUCAGUUCAUGUUUUCCGCCAUUCUAAAUCAUCGAUCAAACUUUGCGGUAAAAACCGCGGAAAGUCCGUUCUUUAUCUAAAGAAGUCGCAAUAAACGUUUCGAGUCAGAAUACUGCCCAAAGGGACCAAAGACACGACUCGAGGCCCAUCUUACGAUUUCUUAACCAAAAGCCCGUAAACCAUAGGACGGUUUACGCUUGGUUCACAAGGGAAGAUAAAUGUCAAGUUUUCGCGGAUAAAUACGGAAUUUUGAAGAUAAUUACGAAGAUCGGAAAAAAUGGAAUAUCUCCAUUUUAUGCUAUGACGGCUUAAGGGCAGAAGAGUAAAAGUGUAAACCGACCUUGGAGCGAGUAUAUAUGGAGUCCUAGGCGAGAGGCAAGGAGAGAGAACUUUUUAGACUCUGAAUUCUCUGCACUUAGAAACUUUAAGCUUUAUUCUCGACAAGUUCGGUUUCUAUGACUGGCACUCAAUUACUGGACGAACUCACCCAGGCAGUUCGAUCUCUUGUCCAGCUCUAUCAAUUGAACUUUUCGGCUUGAUCCUCCAAAGGGGUACGUAGGCAGCCUUUAACAAGGUUCAGUCCGAAAUCAAACAAAAAUAUUUUCUGUAUCUAUUUCGUCUUUUGUUAUCGAGCUGCGACUCAACUAGGUUUGAGCUAUUAGGCCGCUAGAACUAAGUAACUCGCUGACAGCCUUUGCGGCCAAAGCUUUAUGAUCUCUUGUAAUGAUCGCAACGCUCUUACGCAGACUCGAAAUAAGAUCUACUAUUUUCUCUUAACUCGUUUGUUAUCUUUUCAUGAUUUCCGCAUAUAUUUGGUUACUUGUCGUUGGCUCUCGCAGAGAUCCGGCACCUCUGGGAAAUUAGGGUUUUCUUAGUUUUCCAAUUUAAACGGAAAUCGACAGUGCGAAUUUUGGUUCCCACAGUUUGGCGCUAGAGAGAGGGGGGGGGGGGGGGUUACGGAUUACUCAUACUCAUGGCCACAAAACGCUUGAUCAAAACGAUGUCUGGAUAUAUGAAAGACAAACUCGCAGCACUGACUGCUCCUAUGGUUAACGACUCCGCAAACGCCACAGUUCUUGAGAAAAUCGAAAACCUCGCUGCGACUUUUCGCUGCAGGAAGUGCAAUGAAACGAGCUCGCGAUUUCUGUUUCUAAACAUAAAGGGAAACGAUAAAUCUUAUCAAACCCCGUAAGUUUUGCUCAUUUCCGAACAAAAGAAAUCUCAAUGCGUAAGGAUUUUACCAAAACACGUUUUCGGAAAACAUUCCGGAAGGGUAAAACUUGUUCUCCUAAAAACCGCUGAAAAACCCCUAGGUUAAUCGCGGAAAAAAGAAACACAACAAAACGAUUACACAGCUCGGUCGCUACGUAGCAACCGAGCUCAAGCCAACUCUCCACUCGCUACGUAGCGACCUGUAAGUCGUCAGAAAGAUCCUCCUUUGGGUUCUCUUUUGAAUCCUCAUCGAAACGCUUUUCGUUUCGUCUCAAUCGGAGUUUCCGUUGAGAUUUUACGACGAAAACAAGUAGGACUCUUCUUAACUUGCUUCUACUCGCUACAUAGCGACCUGUCAGACCUUCACUCGCUACGUAGCGACCGGUAAGGCCUCAGAAAGGUCCACAUUUUGGUUCUCUUUUGAAUCCUCAUCAAAACGCUUUUCGUUUCGUCUCAAUCGGAGUUUCCGUUGAGAUUUUACGACGAAAACAAGUGGGACUCGUCUUGGCUCCCUUUCACUCGCUAUAGCGACCGAGAUGACAUCCUCACUCGCUAUAGCGACCUGUCAGACCUCAAAAGGAUCCUCCUUUGCGUUCUCCUUUGUAUCCUCAUCAAAACGCUUUUCGUUUCGUCUCAAUCGGAGUUUCCGUUGAGAUUUUACGACGAAAAUAAGUGGGACUCGUCUUGGCUCCCUUUCACUCGCAAUAGCGACCGAGAUAACAUCCUCACUCGCUAUAGCGACCUGUCAGGUCUUAAAGAGGUCCUCCUUUGCGUUCUCCUUUGAAUCCUCAUCGAAACGCUUUUCCUUUCGCCUCAAUCGGAGUUUCCGUUGAGAUCUUACGACGAAAACAAGAUGGACUCGUCUUGGCUCCCUUCCACUCGCUAUAGCGACCGAGAUGACAUCGUCACUCGCUAUAGCGACCUGUCAGGCCUCAAAGGGGUCCUCGUUUGCACUCUCCUUUGAAUCCUCAUCGAAACGCUUUUUGAUUCGUCUCAAUCGGAGUUUCCGUUGAGAUUUUACGACGAAAACAAGUAAAACUCAUCUUAAACUCCUUGGCUUGUUCCUGCUCGCCCUACCUCCAUCUUUGCGUUCACUUUCGAAUCUCGAUCGAAACGUCUCUUGUUUCUCCUCGAUUGAAGUUACCAUUGAGACUUUAUGAUAUAAAAAAAAACCGCAAAGACUUUUUUCCUCGCAUGAAUUCAAACUGAUCGUAUAAAACGGCAAUAGUUAACUUAACACUUUAGCGGCCUCAAUUAUACGAUUACGGUGAACCUUUUUAUAAAAAUUGACGUUGUAUCGAAGGAGAAGAUAACAGUCAAGUUCGGAAGAUAAAUGUCAAGUUUCAAAGGAUAAAAACACCAAUAUCAGAAAUGGCGAACAUACACGAGAAGAGGAAAGGGAAAUGAGCAAGCAAAACUGAGAAGAGACAAAACUGCACCUUCGAGAGAACUAAGGUAUUUCCGAAUAGAAAUUUUUGAAAUCAGACUUGGAAUUUUCAUAGGAAAUUACUUUGAGGCUGCCAUAGAACUUUAGGGAACGUAAAACCUAGGCUGAUAGUCUAGCGAACUAAGUCUUAAGCGAUUUUUCCUGUCUCGAUAUAUUGUUCCAUAAUUGUUUAUCCAGAUCUUGCAAACCGAUCUAAACUCUUUGAAAAUCGAGAAACGAUCGCCACGCAUAUCAAGCUCGCUUCCUAAAGAGAGAAAAACUAGAGACAUGAACGUCGUCUUAAAACCGAUUCGUUUCUGGCAAUUUUCUCGGAACCGACAUAUUCCUAGUCGUCAAAGUGGAAACAACCAAAUCACAGUCCAAGCGUCGUCUAUAAAUCGUCUCAAAUUAUCAAUCAUUCCAAACCUUGAAGAAACGUACACAACCCUUCAAAGUAUCGGUUCAACCGUUUUUUUUUCAUAAAAAAAAAAAGAAAGCGGGGAGUAAGUACGUAUACUAUACACAUAUACUCCCAAACUUCAAAAACUUCUGCAAAUCGUCAAGAAUAGGCAAACGACAAUCUAAUAUUCGUUUAACCGCUUGCAACAUAUCCAGACGAUCAUGAACAUAAAUCUCAAAGACUAUCCAUCAUUUCUUGUCGCAAUCAUGCGUACAGAAAACCUGUACCAAUAUCAAACUGAAACUCGACGGUUAGCCAAAGUAUUGAAGCCCUUUCCGGCUUCAGAAAGCCAGUUUCGUUUAAAACUUCCUACAAGAAAAUCACCAACGAACUUCUUUCAGUUUCCGUUGAACCAAGCAAGUCACAGAAAAGCAUCGAAAACAUUUGCGACGAAGAAAACUCGAGAAUAGAUGUAGCAUCGUGCACAUUAAAAGGAGCACUUUCCUCCCGAUGGUUAGCUAGAUCCACCUCUGGUUGACCAAUUCGUUCAAGAAACGAAUGUGUCAUGAGAAUCCUCUCAAAAAACCUAUGAAAAACGUUCUGCGACUAGAUCGUACUGAAAUAAACUUCGGUAACACUCCAUGAGUAACUCCAAGCAACUUUCGCCUAAGAUCAAAAUCACAGCAGAAACGUUUCUCGUAAAACCGGCAGAAACAACUCUACUUUGACAUAUGUACACAUAUUACUGAUUUACAACCUUCGUAAAACCGGUUAUAUGAUAUGAUAAAUUAUCGUAUAGCCCACAGUCGGAAAUAAUAUGAUAAAUUAUUCAUAACGAAACUAAGUCCUAACAACCAAACGGUUAACGGAAAAUCUAAACUUUUCGAAAAUUGACCAAGUUCAAUACGCUCCACAAUUCACUUUGAGCUUGCAACGUUUUAACCAUAAUACACGGAAUGUAAGGAAAAAUUCGUAACAAAGCUUCUAGAGCUAUACGAAACAUCCUAAAAAAUGCACGAAAUACAUCUCGGAAGUCCAACACUUCAUAAAGCACUAUGAAGGUAAACGCUUGUUCCCAUGGACAAAUUUACCUUUGUGUCUGCUCUGGUGUGUGGAGGUGGUUUCGGGGGUGCAAAACGUUUUAUAUAGGUAUCUAUAAACCUAGUUGGAGAGGGAAUAUUCUCCUGCUCCUGAAUUUUCGCUGUGGCGCGAAUAUCGAUCGAUGUUCCUGUAUAAGUGUCGAUCGAUGUGAGCGUUUGUUUUGCUGGACGAGGGUGGGUAUCGACCAAUGUCGAGUGCACUUUGUCGAUCGAUGUUGGAAACGUGUUGGUGAACUUAUGUGUUUCAAGUCUUUCUUCCUGAAAAGACAUUUCUAUUGCACGUUCUUUUCAAUAAUCCUCAUUGUAUUCCUCUGUAUGUUCCUCGUUAGGUGAAGUAAUUACAGUGUCAACUGCAAAACUUUCAUGGAAACCACUGUCUACCCAACUGCCUAUGGAAUAAUCAUCACGUCCUCUCUUGCUUGGAGGUUGGAAGGAAAAGUGUGGGUAACAAUGAUUAGGUGGAGCGAAAUGGUCAACCGGCUGCUUUACGUCGAGCGACGUGUUGUUGCGGUCAUCGGUCACUGUUGACUCAUUGGAAUCGAUCGAUGGAAAAGUGGGGGUGUCGAUCCAUUCCGAGUACUCUGUUUUGUACUCCGAUUCGUACUAUGCUCUACAAUGGCAUGCGCCAAUGAAGCCAAGUUCUUUCCCGUAAUCCACAAAAUUAAUGACCUUUCUCUUAAAUUGGAUAGGGUCGUAGUGGAUGUUGGGGUCUAUGAGCGUCAGACGCAAUUGUUUUUGUUCAUGUCACAUACAACUCCUACUGUAGCUAGGAAAGAUCUUCCAUGCAGAAGUGAAGAGGUCCAGUUAAGCUCGAUGUCUAGGACAUGAAAAUCUACCAGAACAAGGGCAUUACCAAUCUGUACCUCCAGAUCUCUUAUGAUACCUCCUGAUCGUUUUUCUGAAAGAUCCACGAAGGUGAAGGAUUCUGUUGAAGGUUCGAUGGUCAAACCAAGCUGGUCUGCCAUGAUCCUAGGGAGGAUACUAACUGAUGCUCCUAUGUCACACAUUGAAUGGGGAAAUUCAACACCCUUGACUACGCAUGGUAUUGCAAACUUCCUAGGAUCACUUUUCUUCGUCAAUGUGAUCCUUUGUCUCAUCGUCUCUCUGAUUUGAUGAAACAUUCUCCUAAUGUCCUCCUCAGUUACCUUUGUUUCUCUGAAGAACAUCCACAACCGGUGUGUGAAGUAAGCUUCAUCAAAAGCUUUUUCGAUUGGGAUUCUGAGGACUCUUUUAGUGAAACCAUCCAUCUCCUUAUCGUUAGCUUCCCUCUUAAGGUUCUUAGGAAUUGUCUCCUUUCUUUUCCUUAACCUUCUCCCUUCAGUUUCCUGAUUUUCUUGAACUGGUUCUGGUGAACUAUUUAAAGGGUUGGGUUUUGGUUCGGGUGGGUUAGCUAAUGGUUUAGGUGGUGGUCUGAGUGCGUUGAUAUAAUCAUUAUCGAUUGAGGGUAACCGCACUCGGUAUGUCAGAGGUGCAUGUCGAUCGAUGGGAGGUGGGGUGUGACGAUCAACGUCAGACUCACUCUGUCAAUCGAUGGUUGGGUCAACCGAUCGAUCGAUUUUAUCAUAGAAAGGGGAGGGUGGGUGAGGAUGCUUAGCUGCGAAUUCUUCAUGAGUUAGAAUUUGAACCGCAUUGCAUUCAGUCGAUUCAGCGGACGACGUCGAUUGAUGACUGAAGUAAUCCAUUCAUCGAUCUUCGUCAUGGUCUGUCGAUCGAUGCGAGUUCGUCGACAUCGGUCGACACCAUUGGGAUCCGCCGAGACUCAUGGAGCUUUCGAUUUCGAAGUCUCCUUCCUCAAGCUUUUCAUGUCUCACCACUUGCCAGAAAUCAUCAUCUAUGAUGGCAUUUACGUGGUGUUUUCCUUUAUCAGCUCCUGCCUCUCUAGCGAAAACUUAUUGCCCCUUUAUAGUCUCUUCAGUCUGAAUUACUUGCGUUUCAAGUUUUUUCACCUGAGUCGCUAAGGUCUCGAUUUUGGUGUUCAGAUUGUUGUAGGCGGAAUCUAUUUUACCGUUGAAUCCACGGUUAUUUGUUGUUGUCCCAACAGUACUCGAUCAAGCAUUUCUUCGAUCUUGCUUUCCUGAGUCAGGGGUGGUGGAUUCUGGUAGUAAGAGUUCGAGUAGCUUUUGCUGUUGUUGAAGGGUUUUUGAAAUUGUGAACUCUGGUUACUUCUUUGACCAUUUCCAAAGAAGUUUCUGUUUCCGCCCUGGUUUCCAAAUUUCUAGAAUCCGGUACCUCCGAUGUAGUUCACAUUUUCUUCUCCUUCCGUAUCUGCUACUACUCCUUCGGCUGAACAGACUUGCUUCCUAAGAAGCUCGUGCACCACAUCUAACUUAGCUCUUACUUCGUCCAUCUGUUCCUUCCCGAUAGAGGCUACAAACUUCUUCCGUUCAGAGUCAAUGUUUUUGGUGCUGCUGAUGUUAGCGAGGUUUUCGAUAAGUCUCACAGCUUCCAACGGAUUCCGCGUAGUGAAGUUUCCUUCACUCACCGUAUCAAGAGCCAUUUGAUACAUUAAGGCGAGACCUCGGAAGAAAGUGCUUAGCAGCUGCACUUUGUUAAAUCCGUGGUGUGGACAGUCUCGCUGGAAGAACCUAAAUCUCAUCCUUGCAUCUUUGAAGGACUCUCCAGCGUCCUGAGAAAAUGUGAAAAUUUUGUUCCGAAGUUCUUCAGUGAGCGCCUCAUCGAAGAAGUUUCGUAAGAAAGCAUUCUUAAUGUCGGCCCAGGAUGUUAAGGAUCCUGUGGGUUGCUGCCUAAGCCAGUGCAUCGCUUCUCCAUUUAGCGUGUAUCUGAAGAGCUUGCACAGCAGGUAAUCUUCGGGGACUCCUUCCAUCCGAAUAGCAGCGAUUAGAUCCUCGAACCGUUUCAGAUGGUCCAUAGGAUGCUCGUGCGGUAACCCAGAGUAGGGUAUCUGCGACACGAGAGUGUAGUAUUGAGGCUUCAGCUCGAAAUUCUGCUUCUGGAUCUCCGGAAGUCGAAUAGAUGAUCUGUUGGAAUAGUACUCAUCUGGGCGAUUGUAGUCGGCCAGUGGUUUCGAUCUAGCUUCCUCGUCUACAGGUUGUGCAGCUCCUGUAGCAUCAGCAUCAGGGAUUACAGUCCCCUGAGCGUCUAUUUUCUGACCUGUUGCAUUACGCAGAUGACCGUUCUGAUCAUACAGGUUUCCGUUAUCGUCCUGUUUUAGAAUAAUAAUGUUUACCAUUUUUGACGACACAGUAUCGAUCGACGUACGCGGUGUAGUAUCGAUCGUUGUCGAACGAUUGGGAUCGAUCGACGAUGAAGGUCUGGUGUCAGUCGACGGUUGGUUGUGCAUAUCGAUCGACGAUGAAGUCGUUGUGUCGAGCGAUGUGGAACGUUGACCUCUACGGAUGGUGCGUUCCAAGUGAGCAGGAUCGUCUGAGAACAGCAAGUCUUUCUCCUUGUUGCUUCUGGUACCGUUGGGCAUGCACCUAAAAAGACAAGAAAAAAAAAUUAUGUUAGAAAGGGGGUAGAGAAAAGAAUAAGAAUCAAUAAAACUAAAUCUAAUGGCGAUCAAAGCUCCCCGGCAACGGCGCCAAAUUUGAUACCACUCAAAUUACCCUAAGGAGUGUUACUCUCAUCAAAAGAGGUUCAGAUGUAGUAUUCAGGGAUCGAAUCCACAAGGAGCUAGGGAACAAUUAAAUCUAGUGUUUAUUAAUUCUAAGAGUUGUAAAUGUUUAAAUGAAAUAGCAAUAAACAAGCGAAGUAAAUAGUAAAUGUAACUUGGUUGGAAAUGAUAUUAGAUGCAGGGCCACUAUUCAGGUGUUGGAAAUUAUAAUAUCUAUAGAUGCCUAUUUGUUGCAUGCAUGAUAUGUUUCACUGGUUAACAGGCUAGAUCUCGUGUCUCAACGGUUAGUAUGUUGACAACGAGAGAGUGUCGAUCGAUGGUCCUAUUGGGACAUCGACCGAUACACCUUUGCCUACGUCGACCGAUAGUCAGUUGAGGACAUUGAUCGACGGGUUCUAGCCAGGCAUAUGCGCGAGUAUGAUAUGCCCUAUUAAGAUACUAAAUUGGCGGUUAGCCCUCUCUAGUAGUCCUAAUAUGGCAGAUAUAUGUAAGGAUGGGAUAACAUGGGUGCUUGAGUAUGCAAUCCUAUGAUCAAGUUCUAGUUAGCAAGGCUAAAACAAGCAAUGAAUACAAAUCUAUCAUGAAUAUCACAACAAGGGAGAUCUAUAGUUUGGGGCUAAUCCCACACACCUAUCUGAACCCUGGAUCUAAUAAUUGAACUACUCAGACAUAGUAAAGCAAUUCAUAAUAAUGAAGAAAUGGGAAUUCAUAGAAUAGAUGAAAAGAAAUGAAAACAAGGAGUUCCAAUCACAAGUGAUCUUCUCUCCAAAACUCUCUCUUCUCUCUCAAAAUAAAACUGUAACUCCAAAGGCUCUCCUGCCGUCAAAACAGUUAGAGUAUAUAAUCUACUAGGUUAAAAACUCGUCAGGGCAUUUUUGUAAUUUGGCUUGGCCUUGGGUUUUAAGUCCGCUGGAUCCAAAAUGUCGCGUGUCUGAUGUCUCGACAUCGAUCGAUGUAGACAAACAUCGAUCGAUGGUACUUGUCUACAUCGAUCGAUAUUAAUCAUCAUCUGUCGAGGCAUCUCUUGGUAUCGAUCGUCAGCACUGAUGCGCAUCGAUCGAUUGUUCUUCCUCUCGUCGACCUCUACAUGGUCAGCUCGGGUGAAACGUCCUUUAAGCUCCAAAAUGCUCCAAAGUCAUAGCUUUACUCCGAAAUACACCUGAACUUGAAAACAUACCUAGAAGAGUAGAAAACAUAGAUAUAUAUAUAGUAAAACACUUAUAUACCAUGGAUGAAAACGGGUCAAAUCCAAGGUAUAUCAGACGUCGACAGACAUCCAAGAAGACUCAGAAGCCGAUCUGCUCGGGAUAGCUCUCCGUUCGACAAACCGAUGACGGAAGAGGAGGAAAUCCUCUAUUGGAACGAACAAGAAGCGCUGGCUGAAAAGCAAACCGAGCUCACUCGCAGUAAACGCCGAUAGGCUCGGAAAUCUGCUGGCGAGACGUCGGAUAUCCGCGAUCUUCGCAACUACAUCACCAAAACUGCGGCAGAAGUAAGAGCCGUGAAAUCCCGAAUCCAUUAUGCUACCAGCGCUAGGCUGCUGGAAGGGGCUCGGAAGACCUCCUUCAGCACUCGUAUUUCAGAUAUGAGGGUAUCCGAUCCGGGAAAAAUCAAAGUACCAAAGUAUGAUGGUACGACCGAUUCGAAAGCGCACCUUCAAGCUUUCCACAUCAUGAUGGGAAGAGCGAGACUGAAGGACAGCGAAAAAGAUGCCAGCUACUGCCGCCUGUUCGUCGAGAAUCUGGAAGGAGCGGCACUCGAAUGGUUCGCACGGCUUAAGCGCAACUCUAUCGGGAGUUUCUGACAGCUCACGUCGGAAUUUCUCAAACAAUACUCUAUGUUCAUAGAUUGAGAAACUUCCGAUGUCGAUCUCUGGAGUCUGUCCCAGAGGGAAGACAAACCCCUCCGCGAGUUCAUCAGCCGGUUCAAGCUGGUAAUGUCCAGGGUCAGCGGGAUAAGCGACAAAGUGGCCAUUGACGCGCUCAGAAAGACGCUCUGGUAAAAGUCGAAAUUCAGAAAAUGGAUAACCCUCGACAAACUGCGGACGAUCCAGGACGCCCUCCACAAGGCAACAGACUACAUCAUAAUCGAGGAAGAAACAAAAGUUUUAUCGCAAAAACAUAAGUCGGCAAGACCAUCCUCGAAAGACGUAGAUCCGAAAGCAAAGAAGAAGAACUCUCGUAACAACAAGUAUGUCCAUCACGAGAGGGGAGAUCUCCAAGGAGCGCACAAUAACGCAAUCGGUUUGGACCAAGGCCGAACCACAGGUAAUACAUGGACUCGCAAUCAAUGAUAUGACGAAAACACCUUCUGCGAGUUCCACCAGUCCCGAGGACACUCCACGACUAACUCCAAAGUCUUGGGAGCAUGGCUGGCCGCGAAGCUACUAUCUGGGGAACUCUCGGAAGUGACCAGCGUGAAAGAUUUCAUCCUCGAUUCCGAUCGCCCCCCGAAGGCGGAUAGAAAUCCUACCGCGGAAAAAUCCCCUCAAAGAAAACAAUCCGGGGAUAAACGCGGCAGAAGGCCAGAUGACAAGGGAAACGACAACAAUCGUCGCAGGAUCAACAUGAUCAUCGGAGGAUCGCAAUAUUGCAACGAUACGGUUUCGGCCAUCAAGGCUUACCAGCGGAAGGCCAAGUCGAGUGCAAACUGGCCCACAUGGUCUCCUCCCCGAGACGGUCAAAAUUGCUCAAUCACCUUCACCAAGGAGGAAGCUGGCGGGAUCGAUCAACCUCACUGCGAUCCGCUCGCUAUAGAUCUCGUCAUACGAGAUCUGGAAGUCGGAAGAGUACUCAUUGACAUGGGAAGCACGGUCAAUGUUAUCUUCCGCGACACUCUCAAUCAAAUGAGCAUUGAACUCGGAGAAGUAACUCCAACGCCGAAACCACUCACGGGUUUUUCAGGCGAAGUGUCGAUGACCCUCGGGUCAAUCCAGCUGCCAGUCAUGGCCCAGGAGAUCACGAAAAUCGUCGAGUUCGCGGUGGUCGAUCAUCCUGCCAUCUACAACGUGAUCAUGGGAACCCCAUGGCUCAAUGCCAUGCAAGCCGUCCCAUCGACAUACCACCUGGGUGUCAAAUUCCCGACCCCAAGCGGAGUCGCAGCUAUCUGGGGAUGUCAGAAACAGUCGCGGCUAUGCUUCCUCGCAGAGCACAAGUUAAGGCAAAUCGCGACUUCUGCGACGACAAAUCGCAAGCGCAUGAAGAUAGAUCAAUCUUCGGCCAAAAACACUUCAAGGAAAGACGAUUUAACAUCGUCCGCCAACGCAAAUGCCUCGGACGUCGAAACUCAACACGAGUCCGAACCCGACACUACAACUCAAUCUGAACAUCCAAAAAGGAGCACUGACCCGGCCACGGUCGUCACGAUCAAGGCGGUCAGCACGGCGACAACCGCCGAGUAAAAAACGCUCGCGGCAUAAGACAGAACUACGAGAUGGCUUGAUCCUCGAAAGGGGUACGUAGGCAGCUCGUCGAAAGACGAGUUCAGCCAUCCCCCCUCUCUAAAAGGGGGGGGAGUGGGUGCGUAUACUCGUAUACUCCCACAUAGGAAAAGAUGCGUUAUUGUAAUCAAGUUUUUUUUGGUUUAGCACUUCCACUUGGCUUAAAAAUUGUCUCUGGGAAGAUGCUCGAUUCAUACCAUACAAGUCGUAUAAGCCGAGAACCUAUCGCGGACUUUAAAUCGGUACGAAUCAGGAAGAAAUUGCAACAGGAAAAACGAUAGCCGGCUAGUCACCGCACAAACCUUAAACCGAAAGUAAACCUAGGUCUUGCCCUAAACCCAUCGCAUUGGUCUCAGACAUCUUAAGACAUGAUAUCUAAACGAUACGAGAUCCUAAAUCAUGUCUCUCCGUUCACAUCUCAACAUUCCCGAAAGUCGUAAGAGUAAGUAAUUUUUUAUGAAAAGUCACGGACGAACCGACAGAUUGAACGUCUCAACGGAAUUGAAUAUGAGAUGACAACUCAUAUUUAAUUCGAACCUACUCAGAAAAAUUCAUAAAAACAUACCCAUCAUAUAUAUAAAAGUCGCAUAAAGCGGUAGGGAUUCAAAGCCACCAACGGCCAGUCCCGGUAAAACGAUAAAACAGCCAAAACAGGUCCAUACAAUCUCUCGAAAUAAAGACCACACUCGGCCACAAACGCAAGACAAAGAAACAAACUCCUCCCUCUGAAUGAUCACUUCACCUCUCAAGGUUCAAAGUAAAAGUCUCUGGACAGCGAAGCUCCAAACGCAUCCGAAGGACGAUCUACUUCCUCGCCAUCACCGGGAAACUCGGUCGCGAUCAGGAGAAAAUGGGAUGGGAUCCCAGAAUCCCUGGAUCUUCCUGGCGAUCAGAGGAAUCAGCGCCUCAGCAUGAGCAUGUUCCUUCAUGCCGCCCUCCAUCAACAUCAUCUCCUUCUCAAAAACGUAGUCAUCCGCCUGCGUUUUCCAAAGACUCCCGACCGAACCGCGACAUUUGCGGAAAUCGCCCACCAAGGUGAAAGCAUUCUUGAGAUUCCCGUACUCAGUCUGGAAUUGAGAGGCACGAGUCUUCAUCACCUCGAUGAUCUCCCUCUUACCCUUAUGUUCCGCUUUACGAACGGCCCUUGCAUGAUCACGAGCGAGUUGCGCAUCUCGCUCCAACAUCUCGCCUUGCAUGCGAGCAAGUUCCCUUUCCGCUUUCUCCUCUUUAAAGUGAUAGACCAUGGCUUCUCUAUGGCUCGCCUCAAUGGCCGAGCCCAGCAAGCUCAGGCCCUGAAAAACCGAUUGGAAUGUUAUAAGCGGAAAAAAUAAAUACUUAAGGCAAUCACCAAAAAAUUCUUGAAAACUAACCCCAUUGAUGAUGAGAGACCCUUCUGCGACGACUGUCGGCCUCACCGUUUUGUUCGUAGGCGGAGGAGCAGCGAAGCCCGAGGGUAGACCAGCAAAGAAAUCGUCAAAGUCCAGAAUAGGGACCUUGCUCGUACCACGUCCAUCGCCAUAAGCAAGGUCUGGAUCCCAUCCUGGAAGCAUAGAGUCGUCCACCAAAAACUCUAUGUCACCAAGGUCGAUAUCUCUCCCUUUCCAAGAGUUCAACUCCGUCGCAACUGCUGGAGCUGCAACGGGACUCUGGUCGUCGGGUUCGGAGUCGCUUCCCAUUUCCGCGACCGAAGUAGAACCAGGAUGUACAAACCUCAACGCCUUUCGAACUCUCUCCGACUGUGGGCUAUACGAUAAUUAUUCUCUUAAUAGUCACACGAUGUUUUUAGACAAAUCGUAGAUUGUCGUUUAGCCGUUAAGCGAUGGAGCGAUGGUUUCUCAAAUAGUUUGGCUUGGGGAGAAGGAUGUGUUCACUCAGAUAGCCAAGGAUGUUGUAGGUCAAAGAUUAGACCAUGGUACUUUAACAUUUAAGGUCAUGUUAGUUUACAAUCGUCCAUUAAAGGUGAUGGCAAAUAUUGGUUUGGACCUUUAGUGGAAGGCAUAAUUGACUGAUGGCUAAAAAGUGCUUGUCGAGAUUGAUAGGCCAAGUUUGUCGUGGUUAUCCGUGCUAAUAUGACCGAUAGUCGUAGAAAACGAUUCUCCGCUCUAGGUUUCAGUUAUACGACGAAUAUUUCGUAUAAUGUGACCUAUAGUCUUAUGACAAUCGAGUCUUUUUGUCUUAGGAAGACGAAGCCCAAGAGGUUUGCUAUACAAGACAUACUUCUUCAUAAGGCCUGUUAUGUUAACUUUAGAAAGUUUCUUCGUAAGACUUCGUCUGAUUGUACGAAGGAUUUUUCGCGGAAGUAAUGGGGACCGGUUUUACGAUGGUUGUAAAUCGGUGAUAUGUAUACAUAUGUCAAAGUAGUGUUGUUUCUGCGGGUUUUACAAGAAACGUUUCUGCUGUGAUUUCGAUCUUAGGUGAAAGUUGCUUGGAGUUACUCAUGGAGUGUUACCGAAGUUUAUUUCAUUACGAUCUAGUCGCAGAACGUUUUUCAUAGGUUUUUUGAGCGGAUUCUCAUGACACAUUCAUUUCUGGAACGAAUUGGUCAACCAGAGGGGGAUCUAGCUAACCAUCGGGAGGAAAGUGUUCCUUUUAAUGUGCACGAUGCUACAUCUAUUCUCGAGUUUUCUUCGUCGCAAAUGUUUUCGAUGCUUUUCCGUGACUCACUUAGUACAACGGAAACUGAAAGAAAUGCUUUGGUGAUUGAAGAUUUCUCGUAAAAAAUUUUAAACGAAAAUGGCUUUCUAAAGCUGGAAAAGGGUUCAAUACUUUGGCUAAUCGUCGAGUUUCAGAUUGAUAUUGAUACAUGUUUUCUGUACGCAUGAUUGCGACAAGAAAUGAUGUUUAGUUUUUGAGAUUAUGUUUGUGAUCGUCUGGAUAUGUUGCUAGCAUUUAGACGAAUUUAAGAUUUUUGUUUGCCUAUUUGGGACUAUUUGCUUUGACAAAAUCGUUUUCUUGACGAUUUGCAAAAAAAAAUUGAAGUUUGGGAGUAUACAUGUAUAGUAUACGUACCUACUCCUUUUUUUUACGGAAGAAAACGGCUGAACCGAAUACUUUGAAAGGUUGUGUACGUUUCUUCUUCUGAGGUUUGGAAUGAUCGAUAAUCCGAGACGAUUUAAAGACGACGCUUGGACUUUGAUUUGGUUGUUUCCAUGUUGAUGACUUAGAAUAUGUCGGUUCCGAGAAAAUUGCCAAAAACGAAUCAGUUUUAAGACGACUUCGAUGUCUCUUGUUUUUUCUACCCUUAGGAAGUGAGCUUGAUAUGCGUGGCGAUCGUUUCUCGAUUUUGGAGAGUUUAGAUCGGUUUGCAAGAUCUGGAUGAACAGUUAUGGAACGAUAUAUCAAGACAGGAAAAAUUGCCUAAGAUUUAGUUCGCUAGACUAUCCACCUAGGGUUUACGUUCCCUAAAGUUCUAUGGCAGUCUGAAAGGCGUUUUUAUUUCUUAGUAAUUUCCUACAGAAAUUCCAAGUCUGAUUUCAAAAAUUUCAAGUCGGAAUACCUUAUUCUCUCGAAGAUGCAGUUUUGUCUCUUCUCAGUUUUGCUUGCUCAUUUCCCCUUCCUCUUCUCGUGUAUGUUCGCCAUUUUUGAUAUGGGUGUUUAUCCUUUGAAACUUUGCAUUUAUUUUCCGAACUUGACUGUUAUCUUCUCCUUAGAUAUGAUGUCAAUUUUAAUAAAGAGGUUCAACGUAAUCGUAUAGUUGAGGCAGCUAAGGUGUUAAGUUAACAGUUGCCGUUUUAUACGAUUAAUCUGAAUCCAUGCGAGAAAACAAGUGUUUGCGGUUUUUUUUUAUCGUAAAGUUUCAAUAGUAACUCUAAUCGAGACGAAACAAGGGAUGUUUCUUUAACACUCUAGAACAAUUUUAGACAUCGGUCAGUCAGCCGGGCAACAAUCAAACAAGAACAUGCCCGAACGACCUUCCUCUGCCAAGUCCAGAAGUGUCACGAUGGGUUGAGAAUAGACUUCCCAAGUCACAAAACAUAAUUCUGUAACCUAGAAAAUCCAUUCAAAACUUGUUUCCUCUAAUCUUCGGCCUGAGGCUUUGCAACCCGUACCGAAUCAUAGAGUUGUGUUAGGUUGGACUAACCUAAUAUCAGAUUCAACCCGACACGAAUAUAAAAUAUACUUUAUUUCAUAUAUAUAAAACAUGAAGUUCACAUACCCAAAAUAUUAUACAUAGGGUCCAUGGACGAAGUCGAAAGUAAAACAUACAUUCAUAUAUCUUGAAAACGAGUCUUUAGCAAAAUAUGUCCAAUCUAUACCCGAUCCUACAGUUAAGCGAGUGCUACGGUCUUUUCUACUGGUCAACUGCAAAAGGAUGUGAGGAGUGACUGAACUAGUUUCACUCAGUGAGCCAGGGUUCCCUAUCUAACAUAUACAACUACCCGUCAUUCUAAACCCAACCCCAAACACAAGCAAGACGGAUAGUUUAACAAUCAAUAAAGCAUGACCGAUUUACGCAAAAAACCAUUAAACCCUAAUAAAUCAAAACACUCUUUAUGAGUGUCGCGUCAAUCAACCAUAUAUAUAGACUCCUAGGGCCCAACAGAAUCAUUCUUCCUCCACAUAAGGGACACCGGCAAUCCCUUCAUGAUAUCACUCAAAUUACCCUAAAGAGUGUUACUCUCAUCAAAAGAGGUCGAGUUAUAGUACUAAGGGAUCGAAUCCACAAGGAGCUAGGGAACCGAUUAGAUCUAAACAAUUUAUAAUAAACUAGGCUAAUAGAUUAUAAAGCAGUAAAAUAGCAAUUAAAUAAACAAAGCAGUAAACAAGUUGAACAAGUCAAUUGUUCAGCUUGGCAAGGGUUGUUCGAUGGAAGGAUGGUUGCUAGAUCUAGGGUUUCUAUUCAGGUGUUGGAGAUUAUAAUUACUAUAGGUACCUAUUUGUUGCAUGCAUCAUAUGUUAGAGCUCAACCGCUUAACUCAGUGAUCAGCUAUCGCAUGUUUCACUGGUUAACUCGCUAGAUCUCGUGUCUCAACGGUUAGUAUGUUGACAACGAAAGAGUGUCGAUCGAUGGUCCUAUAGGGACGUCGACCGAUAUACCUUUACCUACGUCGACCGAUAGUCAGUUGAGGACAUCGAUCGACGGGUUCUAGCCAGGCCUAUGCGCGAGAUGAUUUGCCCUAUUAGGAUGCUAAAUUGGCGGUUAGCCCUCUCUAGCAAUCCUAAUAUGAUAGAUAGAGGUCAGGAUGGGAUAACAAGGAUGCUUGUGUAUGCAAUCCUAUGAUCAAUAUUCUAGUUAAUUACUCUAGAACAAGCAAUAAGUAUAGAUCUAUCAUGAAUAUCACAACAAGGCAGAUCUAUAGUUUGAAGCUAAUCCCACAAACCUAUCUGAACCCUGGAUCUAACAGGUGGAUCUACUCAGACAUGAAAACAUAAAUCAUAGAUGAAUAUAUAGAAAAACUGAAAUGAAAUAGAUGAAUAAAACCAAAGGAGUUUGAGGAGGACUCUGAUAGGAGUUCCUCCCUUCUCUCCUAACAAAACUAUGAAUCAAAGAAAGUGUGUAAAAAGCGUAGCCGUCAACAAUGGCUUAGAAAUAACAUAAAUAGGGUUUCUGGUCGUCCAAGGGUAUUCUGGUAAUUUGUGGUUACUUCUGGGCUUCACGCAGUCAUAAAAUAUACAAGGCCCACGAUCUGGGAUCUCCAUCGAUCGACGUGCAGAGUGCUGCAUCGAUUGACGUGGCUUCCUCUUCUCGGCAGCUUCCUCUCGCGAGGCAGACUGACCACUCUUCAGUAAAACGGGCAUGCUGAUUGACCUGAGACCGGUGGCAUUGGAAAGCUAACUCAAAGCUCUAUCUUGUGUCAAAAUAUGGGCUCAAUCUAACGGUCGGAAGGUCUCCAUCCAUAGAUAAACAUCUGACGCGUCUGUGCAACUCUGCACUUCCAAAGGCUCCAAAAGACUCCAAAAUCACCAUAUUUCUCCUAAACGUCCUUGAGCCUGUAAAUACUCUAAAUAGACUCCAAAACAUAAUAAUUGUAUCUUAAAACACUUUAAAACACUUAUAGACCAUGAUUAAAAAUAGGUAAAAUAUAUGGUCUAUCAACUCCCCCAGACUUACCCUUUUGUUUGUCCUCAAGCAAAACAGACGGGUAGUCUCUCUGAAAGAGGUUUUGAAAACAGCAGGGACUCACAUGAUUUAAAACUUAGAAUCAUCACCUCUACAAUAUUGCAAUCCACAUCUAAAAAGUCCUAAUCACAGAAGCACAUUAUACAAUAUCCUAGCUUAGCAAUCAAAUUCACCUAGCCAACAUCUUAGCAAAUCACGUCUGACAUUCCCCUCUACCAACCUCAUUUCUUAACAUAAAUAAAUGUGUAUGCUUUACAUUGAGAGUAUCGAUCACAAGACACAUGGACUCUUACCCCAACAGGUAUCUGAGUAAACAGGUAAGUCUUGUUCUGGUUUCUUUUACUCUAUAUCUCCCUUCUCUGAAUCUUUUUUUAUCUCAAUUCCAAUGAACAAAGAUGCUGAUGCAGUCCAUCUUAUUCACCUUCUUUUCGAUUUUUUAUUAUUAUUAUUUUUUUUCUUUUUCUUUUCUUGACAAAGUGUAGGCGAAUAGUGGGGUCAUCGGUAAUGUACCUACCCCUCGCUUCCAAUAAUGUGUGAUCAUUCUAUUAGAGUAGAAUAAUGGGGUCAUCGGUAAUGUACCUACCCCUCUAAACCGCAAGAAAUCAUCUCAAUCUUUUAUUUUAUUUUAUUAGGAUGCCAAAGGGAGGAGAUAAGGAAACCAAAAUCACUCAUAUUUUUAUGUUUCCGACCUGAAGGAGGAAUCCGAUCCAGUGUAUACCAAGCCCCAAGACAAGCAGUUAAGUCAAAUUAGGUUGGAGGUCAGCUUCGGUUCCUUCAAACAAUCUCAGCAAGUGUGAACAUAGUUGACAGGUUGAUCCACUUAAGUAUCUUUAGUACUAUCUGCAAUCAGUAAGUCUAGAAUGGUGCUAAAGAGUGGUUAGAUAACAAGCAUGAAUCUAAUAAGUUCAUUAUCCCCUUC
Molecule: long non-coding RNA, 99087 nt
Filed under: Brassica rapa (field mustard)
Lineage: Eukaryota; Viridiplantae; Streptophyta; Magnoliopsida; Brassicales; Brassicaceae
Description: long non-coding RNA (BRAP_LNC006887)
Rfam family: Plant small nucleolar RNA R71 (bases 72084-72190)
Source: RNAcentral